AUAAUUGUCACAUUCUUUAUAUUGUGGUUGGGAGUAGACAUACCAUCUAGGCAGAAUAUAAUGACGUAGUCAGGUUCGCCACUACAGGUGAAUGUGCUGUUUUUAUCAUCAUAAGCGUAGCUAUAAGCUUGAGGGCACUGCUUCUCAAAGAUCUCAGAGUACUCAGUGGGAGGACAUGUCCUCGGCUGAUCAUUCGGCGGAGUGCAGCAGUACUUCGGCUCGCCGUAUGCCACACAAGCGCUUUUGCAACUGAUGACACUCUUAUCAGCCGCUUUCACUUGUAACUCAGUCGGGCAUGCCGCGUUAACAUUCGCAGGGCAAGUCGAGGCCAUGCACUCGCCGGUGCCGCCUUGUGGGGCGACAAAUAUGGGCAAGUUAAAACCGUCAACAAGGCUAACAUCGUAAAAAUCUUGACCCCCAUUUUCUGCGAUUGUGAUUUCUACUAAAGUUGCUGGUGGAACUGGGGUUGUGCCGUUGCAUGCAACCUGGCCAGAGCCACAGUCUGCAGUUUCACAACUGAAUUUUCCAGCGGCAUUUGUGGCGCAUCUGGUUCGGGCCCAGAAACGACCAGACCAAGAGGAUGGAACGUUCACUGACCGGCUAAUUUUGGAUGCUAGUUCGAACCCGGUGAGUGAUAAUUGAGGUUUUUGGUUACCGGUUACGGUUCCUGGCCAGACAGUGUUGGGGCAGUUGUUUGUGAAAGUGAUUUUCGCUGCAUGUGCACCUGCAUUUAUAUUCAACAUAAAACUAGAUGCUAAGAAUAUUGAAAUCUAAAUACAAUUGUAAAAUAUAUCAAAUUAAAAAUAAAUAAAGGGUAAUGGUAGGGAGACAAAAUUUAUAAACUAAAUGAUGUGUCACCAAUAUGAAUGAACACGUUUAUUAACGCUUAAGUAAUACACCAAUCAUCAACUUCCAUGUCCUUUAGUUUCCAAAAUUUUGUCUACAAAUUUAGUCUCCCCAGCAUUACCCAUAAAUAAAUAAACGAUUUGAAAUCAUAUUAAGAACUUUUUCAUAACUAAUCAGUAAUUUUAUUAUGGGAGACUUUGUAUGCGGUCCUUAGUUAUGAAUAUUCUUUGAUUGAAAUCUUGUUGGUUUUUAAUUUUUGAUCGAGGUCCUUGAAAAUAAUGUGAUAAUUUAUUUCAAUGUACGUUACUAUAUUUUUUAAAUUAAAAAUUAGAAAUUUUAGUUGUUUAUAUAAAUGAGAUUUUAAAUAAAAAAACAUAAUUUGUGGGAUUAAAAAUAUUAAAAUAUAAAUAUACUAUUGUGUGUGUGUAUAUAUAUACAUGGGUACAUUCAUCAAAAAAUAACCAAAAAAUUUAUUGUAUCAAAAUAUGGGUACAUUCUUCAAAAUCACAAAAAAAAGAAAAGAUAUUAGGCUUAAUAACAUUGGUAAAUUUCUUCGAUUAAACUUGACAUGGAUACAUUUUAAAAUUAAAGAAAAAAGAAUGUACCCAUAUAAGUUUAAAAAUAGAUUAUAAAAAAAAUUGAAUAGAUUUUAUAUAUAAAAAAAAGGGUACAUUUUGCAUAUAACAAAUUGAUAUAUUUAAGAAUGAGUACAUUUUAAGAUUAAAAAGUUUUACAUGAAUGGGUGCAUAUAAUUAGCAUGGGUACAUUUAGCAAAAUAAAAAGUACAGAUAAAAAAAAUAUAUGGGUACAAAUUAAAACUGAAAAGAAAAUUGGCACAAGUUAAAAAAGAAUUACAAAUUAAAAAUGGGUACAAACUAAAACUAAAAAUAUAUGAUAAAAAAUUUAGUCAUAAAUAUAAAUAUACUAAUUGUAACAUUUUUAACAUUAAAUGAAUAUAUUUAGAAAUAAAAAACUAUUUUAUUAUUGAAAUAAUUAAUGAUGUUAUUAAUACCCAAGGACCUUGAUCAAAAAUUAAAAAGUAAUAGGAUUUUAAUCAAUGGAGUAGCAAAAGGAAUGAUGAGAACUUAAUUUCUCUUUUUAUUAUAAAUAUAAUUUGAUGAUGAUUCAUCUAAUCUCAUGCCCUCAUCACCGCAUUGGCAGGGCUCACUUCCAUGUAUCCACAUUGCUCAUCAUCGAUCGUUAUUCUCUUUUAGACUCCCUACUGUUGCUUUUAACGUUGUUACAAUGUAAAGCGUAAUAAGGGUAAUAUUGUAAACAAAUCUACGCAGGACAGUUGAGAUUGUUAUAAGGCAGUUCUAACAGUUUUUGUAAUUAGUUAGUGAUUAGUUAGACAAGAUGUAAUUAGUUGUUAAUACAAGUGAGUUAGUCACUAGUAUAUAUACAACAUGUAAUCUUAUUCCUUAUGAAAUGAAAGCAUAAUUUUCCUAUUAUGGUAUCUCUCGCCCGUGCCUAACGACCUUUCUAUCCUCCUUUCUUCCGCUUCCCACUUGUCUUCCUCUUUGAAGCUCCAAACCUUAGAAAUCCAGCCAUGGCGACCUCUGGAUCUCCCUCCUUUGAAUCUGCUUCUCAAAUUCAUCAUGCUCCUAUGAAUUCUUGCCCUAAUACUCCUCAGGCAAUUUCUUCGAUUACGAUCCAGAAUAUUUGAUCUAUGGAUCUAAUUAAGCUCACCACAACGAACUAUCUCACACGAAGUGUAAAACGUGAGUCAAUAUUCACGGAAAGGAAAAAAAGGAAUGUAAAUAGGGUAAAUAUUGGGAGUCCUUUACUAGGUAGGAUAUUGUAUAUACCCUUUAUUAUUUGUUUCCUUAUAUAUCAAGGAUUGUAUAUGUAUAUAUUUCAAAAGAAGUAAUACAAGAAAUCAUUCCCGUAAGAUUCUUUUUGGCAUCUGAGCCUGGUUGUCGUAACCCUAAUCGUAAAAGGUUUUCCGCUGCUACUCUUUCUGCAAGAGUCGUAUCUGCUCUUGCCGUGGACAGUCGUGAAAGUUUCAGGGGCUGUUUUUUUGCCUCUCAUUGUGCUGUGCCAAAUUCUUUUGCUGCUGCCGUGACUUUCAUUCUUGUUUGUAAGUCAAGAUGGCGAAUAAAGGAGAUGAUUCAAUCUUAAAGUUGGAAGGUGGUUCCCACAAACCAACCAACAAUACGGUAUUGAGUCCUGUUGUUAUUCAGAACGAUGCAUCUGCUGUACCGAGCACUGUGAAGUUGAAUGGACAAAUUAUCUUCUUUGGUCCAAAGUAUUGGAGAUCCAUAUUGUUGGACGUGGUAGAAAUGGCUUUGUGACAGGGAAUACUAAGGAACCUGCUGAGGAUAAUGUUGAGUAUGAGAUGUGGGAGACAGGGAAUGCAAUAGUAAAAGGGUGGUUGAUUAAUUCCAUGGAACCUGCUAUCAUGGGAUUUUUUAUUCACCUGCGUACUGCUAAAGAAGUUUGGGAGGAGGUGGCUCGGACCUAUUAUGAUGGUUCAGAUAUCUCUCAAAUUUAUGAAUUGAAGGUUAAGUCGUUCAGGCUUCGUCAAGAGAGUAGGCCGGUUGGUGUGUAUUAUGCUGACCUCAAGUCCGUUUGGCAGGAGCUAGAUCAACGAAGACCAAUUAAGAUGGAUUGUGCUGCUGAUUUUAAGACACUUCGAGAAGAAAUUCAAAUUGAUCGUGUGUAUGCUUUUUUGGCGGGUUUGGAUGACAUCUUUGAUAAAGUACGCAGUGAUAUUCUACGUACUCAACUGUUACCAUCUGUCAAGGAAGUGUUUUCUAUUGUUAGGCGUGAAGCACAACGACAUGCCACUAUGAUGGGUGGGAGUAACAACCAAGGGGGGCUGCCAUCCAUGGCCAUGGUCUCUCGACCACUUGCAACUUCCCGUCCUAAUAAUUCUUCUAAUCAGUCUUUUAAUUCUCGUUCCUUUACCCGAGAAAACAAAGAUGAUUUGAAGUGUACUUUAUGUGGUCAAAACCGCCAUACUGAAGAUACAUGUUUUACCAAGCAUGGGGUACCUGAUUGGUUUCCAAAAUUUAAGAAAAAAUUGUGUGCCAAGGAACGUGGAGCAGCUGGGUCCAGUGGAGGCCGUGCCUCCCUUGCCGCAGCAAUACCAACAUCACAGGAGGCCGGGGCUAGCUCAGGUGAUCCUAGUCAAACUUUGUUGACUCGUGCUACUCCUGGUGAUUCGUCCUCCAACACAAGUACUAUAGGACGUGUCCUCUUAGUCUCCGAGAGUGAGCAACAUACAGGUUGGAUUCUUGAUUCUGGUGCAACCGAUCAUAUGACAUAUGAUAAAAAUAUGUUUCAAUAUAUGACAAUGUCUCACAGGAAAAGCAUAGCAACUGCCAAUGGGACUCUUUGUACCCGUGUAUGGCACCGGCACUGUGCAACUUUCCCCAUCUCUCCCAUUACAUUGUUGCUUAUUUGUUCCGUCUUUAUCCCAUCAUUUAUUAUCAAUACCACAAGUUACUGAACAAUUGGAUUGUGUUGUUCUAAUGUAUCCGUCCUUUUGUCUACUUCAGGAUAUUCAGACCAAGGAGAUAAUUGGGCGUGGCACUAAGAGAAAGGGGUUGUACUAUGUGGAUGACGUUGUUCCAGGCAGGGCUAAUGCGGUUCGAACAUCACAUACUAGUAAUUUGCAAGAAGUAUGGUUAUUACAUCGUCGGUUAGGGCAUGCAUCUUUUGGCUAUUUACGGCGUAUGUUGCCUAUUCUAUUUAGUAGAAUAAAUGAAUCAGACUUACAUUGUGAAGUAUGUAUUCUUGCUCAAAGCCAUCGUGCUUCGUUUCCUCCUAGUAUAAAUAAAAGGUCUUUGCCAUUUGAACUUGUGCACUCUGAUGUUUGGGGGCCUUCUCCAGUUGUUGUUUCUUCUGGAUUAAAAUGGUUUGUUGCAUUUGUUGAUGAUUGCACUCGAAUGACUUGGCUGUAUGUGUUGAAAAAUAAAAGUGAUGUUGGUAUGGUCUUUCGUUCUUUCUCUCAUCUGAUUCGGACACAAUAUUCAUCUGUGAUUAAAGUACUACGUUCUGACAAUGGUGGUGAGUACAUUAAUUUUGAGUUGUCAGAGUUUCUUCGUGAUCACGGCAUCGUCCAUGAAACGACUUGUCCUUAUACCCCACAACAAAAUGGGGUUGCUGAACGGAAAAACCGCCAAAUCUUAGAAACAACACGUGCUCUUAUGCUUGGAGCUUCUGUUCCUAAGGUUUUUUGGCCUGAAGCUGUCACUUAUGCUGUAUAUGUGAUUAACCGUAUGCCAUCUCGGGUUCUGGAAUUUCAAACACCUUUUCAAGUCCUCACUCAACAUGCUCCAGUAGUGUCGACUCAUACUCUCACUCCUCGAGUAUUUGGGUGUGUAGCUUAUGUGCAUAUUCAGAAAAUUCAUCGUACAAAGUUGGAUCCGUGUGCCCUAUGGUGUGUGUUUGUGGGUUUCUCCCCUAACCAAAAAGGCUAUAAAUGUUAUCACCCUGAGACUCGGCAUAUGUAUGUAACCAUGGAUGUGACUUUUUCAGAAUUGGAGUCUUUUUAUCCUUCCGUGCAUUUAUCUUCAGAUCACCAGGGGGAGAACACUAUUGGUGAUCUGGGGUGGUUAGACACUAUUUCAGAUAAUAUUAGCAUCGAAUCUGCUACUGAACUGGUUUCUGCUAAUAAACCAGAUUUUGCCGAGAGUACUGAUAUUGAAGUUGCAGCCGAGCAUCAGGUGGUGGUUCCUACCGAGGAAUCUAAUAUAUAGGAAUCUGCCGAACAGCCAAGACAGAGUUCUGCAGAUCACAGUAUACAAUUGCAACAGUCACAUGCCGAGUCUACUAAUGUACUUUCUCCUCUCUCUAGCUCCAAAGUGCCACCCAAUUCAUCUUCUUUGAAUAUACCUGAGGUAAGUAUUGUGAAUGAUUAUGAAAUUAAUUCAAGUGAUAAUGUAAAUGCUUAUAGGUUGCCACCAAGACAAAAUCGAGGUGUGCCACAUGAUAGAUUUUCUCUAGAAGGGAAGGUGAGGUAUCCAAUAGCCAACUAUGUCUCAUGUAGUGGCCUUGCACCGGAACGCCAAACCUUGGUGAACAAUAUGGAGUCAAUUCAAAUACCAACUCGAGUGGAGGAAGCUCUAAAGGAUCCAAAGUGGGCAAAAGCAAUGGAUGAGGAAAUGUUGGCAUUACAAAAAAAUGAUACUUGGGAGGUGAUGUGUUUACCCAAGGGAAAAAGGACUGUUGGAUGUCAGUGGGUGUUUACAAUCAAAUACAAAGCCGAUGGAUCGAUAGACAGGUACAAAGCAAGGUUGGUAGCUAAAGGGUACACUCAAACAUAUGGUGUAGAUUACCAAGAAACUUUCUCUCCGGUUGCCAAGAUGAAUACGGUAUGUGUUUUGAUUUCUUUAGUUGCAAAUAUGGACUGGCCAUUAAAACAGUUUGAUGUGAAAAAUGCUUUUCUCCAUGGAAAUUUGGAGGAAGAAGUAUAUAUGGAUUUUCCUCCUAGGUAUAGUGCUUAUGGGAAUACCAGAGUAUGUCGGUUGCGUAAGUCACUUUAUGGACUUAAGCAAUCACCUCGUGCGUGGUUUGACAGGUUUACCCAAGUUAUGAAAAAACAUGGGUAUCGUCAGAGUCAUUCUGAUCACACAUUGUUUGUUAAACGGAGACAAAGUAAAGUGACAGCCUUGAUUAUCUAUGUAGAUGACAUGAUUAUUACUGGAGAUGAUCAUGAUGAGAUUUUAAGGUUGUAGAAUAAUCUGGCAGCAGAGUUCGAAAUGAAAAACCUAGGAGACUUGAAGUAUUUCCUUGGGGUUGAAGUUGCUCGAUCUUCAAAAGGUAUUUUCUUGUCUCAACGUAAGUAUGUUCUGGAUUUAUUAAAAGAAAUUGGUAUGCUAGGGUGUAAGCCGGUAGACACUCCGAUUGUUGAAAAGCAUCAUCUAUGUUUGGAUCCAAAUCAGAAAUCAGUUGAUAAAGGGAGAUAUCGGAGACUUGUAGGGAGACUAAUUUAUUUGGCUCAUACACGUCCAGAUAUUGCCUAUGUUGUAAGUGUGGUAAGUCAAUUUAUGCAUUCACCGAGUGUGGAUCAUAUGACUGCUGUUAUGCGUAUCUUAGCAUAUUUGAAGUUUGCACCAGGUAAAGGAGUUCUGUAUAGGAAGCACGGGCAUUUGACAAUUGAGGGAUUCACGGAUGCUGAUUGGGCAGGGAAUGUCAGUGAUAAAAGGUCUACUUCUGGGUAUUUUACUUUCGUAGGAGGGAAUUUGGUUACAUGGCGAAGUAAGAAAUAGAAGGUAGUAUCACGAUCUUCAGCAGAGGCUGAGUAUAGGGGCAUGGCCCACGACAUUUGUGAAAUUCUUUGGCUUAGAAAACUUCUUUAGGGUCUUGGGUUCAAGCCAAAGGAGACCAUGAAGCUAUAUUGUGAUAACAAGUCAGCAAGAAAUAUAGCUGAUAAUCCAGUGCAGCAUGAUAGAACAAAACAUGUGGAGGUUGAUCGAUAUUUCAUUAAAGAGAAGCUCGAGAAGAAGAUUGUGUCUAUACCAUUUGUGAAUUCGGAGGAGCAACUUGCAGAUGUUCUUACUCAUGCCGUAUGUAGUCGUAAGUUUGAUGACUCACUUAUCAAGUUGGGCAUGUGUGACAUCUAUGCACCAACUUGAAGGGGAGUGUAAAACGUGAGUCAAUAUUCACGGAAAGGAAAAAAAGGAAUGUAAAUAGGGUAAAUAUUGGGAGUCCUUUACUAGGUAGGAUAUUGUAUAUACCCUUUAUUAUUUGUUUCCUUAUAGAUCAAAGAUUGUAUAUGUAUAUAUUUCAAAAGAAGUAAUACAAGAAAUCAUUCCCGUAAGAUUCUUUUUGAAGUGCAUUGUUUGCUUCUAUCUUCCGCCGAUACAAUCUCAUUGGAAUUAUUGACGGCACGAUGACUGCUCCGCCCAAAUCUCUUCUUGAUUCGUCUGGAAAUCGUACCUCUACUCUUAAUCCUCAGUAUGUGACAUGGUUCGAAAAUGAUCCUAACAUUUUGAUUUGGAUCAAUUCUACACUCUCAAAUUCUCACAUUCCAUACACUGUUGGAGUCAACACCUCUCUAAUAUUUGCAUCCGGCAGGCAUGCAUAUUAUAGACUAAUACGAAACAAAAUAGAAAAGAAAUUAAUAAGAAGUUUGUAUAAUAAUACCUGAGAAGAAGAGGAUGGCCAUGGUGAGGCCGAGAAGGGAAUCGACUUGGCUCUUCAUCAUCGUCGUUGAAUAUAUCUUAAUUGCCUGCUUGUUGCUAAUUAGUUUGAACUUAUGAUUUCAUGAUAAACUUAGGAGCCAAGGGGGGCUGUACAUAGGCUUAUAGCGUGGCCCAACCUGUUUGAUCUUUUGCAUGAGUGGUAAUUGCGGGUCUAAGUUCGACGCUGACUAUUAAUACGAACGCGCAAACUAAUAAAGUAAUAAUAAAUAGACAAGGAAUAGUAUUUGGUCUUGGACUGGUUUAGGUAUCAUCAUUGACCUACAAUGACUAACAAAUUCAGUUUUAAUCCGUAAAAAUUUUUAUUUUUUUAUUUUUGUGUUAAAAAUAGGAAAAAAAAAACACAUAGAAGAAUGAGGGAUAUAGAAAGAAGGGGAUGAUGAGAGACAUACUUUAUUUAAUGGGAGUAUAACGUAUUGUCACACAGUUUUAAAUUUAAUCACUGAUCCAAUACCUUGUAAAUGGUUUGCCGACACAUUUUCAUAUAAUGAUAAAGUGAAUGAACAAAAUAGAGUUAUAUUCGAAUGAUAUGGAUAAUGAGUUGAGUUGAUUGAUCAUACAGUCUGGUUAACUAACUAGUACUAAAGCUUAGUAAUAUUUUUCUUUAAUUGAGAGAUCUUAUAUUCGAAUGAUAUGAAUAACGAGGGCGCAUUGUAUUUAUUUGAGUCCAAUAUGUAAUUAGUGGCUGACCCGAUGUAUGGUCUAACCCAAUACCAAUUUCCAUUUUAAAGUAGAAUAUAUCGUAGUUACAGCUGUUUGAUGGCAGUGCAUGCCUACUAGUUAAUCAACAUGAUCCAUAAGUCACGCAUCCUAUAUGAGUGAUGGCGAAGCCAGAACAUGAGAAUUGAUAAAGUGCCAUGGGAGAUCAACUAGAAGGUUGACUAGUUGUCGCAGGAUUUUGAAUUUGGACAAACAAGCCACACAGAUAACUGAGGUUGUGCCAUGUGUGUAGACUUGUAGCGUGAUAGACUGGGCGGGCUGCCGUGAAGGACGGGAUAAAUAAAUUUUUUUACCACUUAUAUAAAAUCUCGUUACGUAUCACUCUUGUUUUGAUCAUGAUGAAUAAUUUCCCGUGAAGGAAAUGGAACAAGCACUAGAAGACUUAAGUUGUCAUCUUCGAUUUUCCUCAUCCCAUCCAUUUUUAAUAGUGAAACUUGGUAUUACGAUAUAAUGGUAUUCCUCUUAUCAGUGAGAGGUCUUAGAUUCGAUUUUCAUCAAAAGAGGAUUUCAACCUGUUGACCCUAGAAACUACAAAGCCUACGUGGCGCGCAGGCCGAGUAAUCUAUAAGCUAACUACGUUCUUCGGUGAUUGCAGGGUGUGCCAACUCGUCGGCCGAGCUCGGCCGAUGAGUAAAUUUGUUGAUGUUGCGUUGGGUGCGCGGCUGACCUCUGCAACUUGCGAUUGCGGCCGAGAAAGGAACACGUCUCGGCCUCUUGGGCUCUCGAACCUGAAGACAAGGUUCCUAUUUUUACGAAGUUCAAUAUCAAAUUCGGUUUUCAACGUGCCGAAUGUAAUCACUUGUAACACAUCACUUCGCCGAGAAGGCUGAUGAGAUGACCUUGACCAACAAGGAUUCAGAAAUCCUUCUCGACCGAGACUUGGAUAGGUAAUCAAUCGUUCUCGCUGUAGUGUUGUUGAUGCCAACGGAAGAUACUGCGAGACCGACUGAUUCUACGGUGACAGAGCUAUCUAUGCCGACUUAAGAUAUCACCGGUUUCUUCCACAGUGCUGUUGAUGCCAACGGAAGAUGUGUCAGCGAACAAGGAAAAAGAAAAAUCACAAGUUGUGAGAAUUUGCGCAGGGCAAUUUUGUAUUGAUUUGCAGGGGUCCUUGAACGUUGCCUGCGACUCUGUAUUUAUAGUGACGAAUAUGCAUUGGUUGAUAAGCUGAAAAAGACUCCCAAACAAUUAAAACUCAUCUUAUCGAAUCCAAGAUAAUCUGCAAGCUUGGGUAACGUCCAUCUAAUCAACCACCCAAUAUAUAUAUAUAUAUAUAUAUAAAAAAAAGGUUGCACCUUUCCCAUGAAUUGGCAGACCUCAUGUCGUCAAUUAUAUAUAUAUAUAUAUAUAUAAAAGGUUGCACCUAAACCCUAUAUAUAUAUAUAUAAAAGGUUGCACCUUUCCCAUGAAUUGGCAGACCUCAUGUCGUCAAUUAUAUAUAUAUGGCUGAUAGCUUUUGACACGGCAUACAUGCCAUGUCCAUCAUCAAUUUACUUCAUCCGACAACACCCCUUAGGUCUCCUACCUCAUCCUCACCUCAUCCACAAUAGCCAUCAUCAUUCUGAUCAAACGAAUUUUAAAUUCAUCUUACUUCCUAGUGCUGACAGUGUUCCAAAUCAAUUUGAAUUGUACUGCUUAUUCGGGAUAUGAAUCGCAUUCUAUUUAUCUGGUUUAAGAAGAUACUGAGAUAAUUCAUAUUAAAAGAUAAUUAUAAUAUUAUCCUUUAAUAAUCAAAUUAUCUCUACUUUCUCAUCUAGCGGUCGAGAAUCAUGCCCACUCAACAGCCUCGAUCGCUUGGGCCGAUGAUGUAAAAUCGGGUCCAAACAUUGCCCCCCAGUUUCCUUGAGCUUCGGCUCGAAAGCCAGAUGGUCAAGGAAAUUAAUUGUCAACAUGACUUGAAACUAAGCAGAAUUCCCCACCUGCAACCACACAUUCAUAGGCUGAAGCUUAUUUACCCUUCUUCACGGCAAUGGCAUCCUUAUGUCAGCUAACUUUAUAUAUAUAUACAUAUAUAUAUAUAUACACACACACACAUGGCAAGCCGAAUGACCCUUUUUUUUUUUUUUUUUUUGCAUGGUCAAUUCGGCCAGAAGUUGCCUAGUCAAUUCGGCCAAAAGCUGCAUAUAUAUAUAUAUAUAUAUAUGUAUAUAAGUUUCGGCCGAGGCUUUGUUUGAUAAUGGGGCCGAGGCCGAGGCUUUUGUAAAGUAGCCGAGGCCGAGGCCAAAUCCGAGAAAAUUUUUUCUUUGUUUCUUUUUCCUUCUCGGCUAACUAAUAUAUAUAUAUAUAUAUAUAUAUAUAUUUGGAUUGCCGUACUGUUGUUGCCCCCCUUAUUUUCUUGGCAUCGGCUGAACAACCGAAUGGUUAAGAAAAUAAGUUAUUUAUUUAAUAAAAGAAAACAAAAGUGGCCGAACUAUAAAGUGGAGGGGGCCAACGAUGCUUUAUUCCGAGUCGAGAUCUUUUUGCAUCAAAAUUUUCAAAUUGAUUUCGCUCUGGGCCGAAUAAAGAAUUUUUCCCGAAUAUUUUUUACUCGGCAAAACAUUUUGCAUUUUCGUCCGCCGAAUGUGUGGAACAAUUAUUAUGCCCCUCAGGCAUAAUUUCGGCUUUUAAUUCAAACAACUUAGCCGAACAGGAUUUCUCCAAUUCGACUUUGUCGCCAAUAAUCAUAUCAAUUGGCGUAGUUUCUUGGGCUAGGCCAAUAUCUCGGCCUUGUUCGUCAUUGGAGCAUUCCUUUGACAAAUCAUUUUCCAAGUCAAUUUUUGUAUCUAGCUCAGGGACUUGAAUUUUUUCUUCUAGGCCUACCAUACUUUCAAUAUCGACCGAAACAACAAGUGGCCUAGGUUUUUCUUCGGCCGUCUCGACAAUUUUCUUAGGCCGAAUGUUGAUUGUGGCCGGAGUGGAAAUUUGCCCCCCGGCCUCUUGCUUUUUAGGAAUUCUUCUCAAACUCUCAAGGAGUUGUUUUUGCUUCUUUAAUAGGAGAUGACACUCUUCCCAUGAAGCCUGAUCGAGAUAAAUCAUGUGAACUUCGCAGUUUUAGCACUAGGUCCCACUGGGCGUGCCAAAAUGUUGACCCUAGAAACUACAAAGCUUACGUGGCGCGCAGGCCGAGUAAUCUAUAAGCUAACUACGUCCUUCGGUGAUUGCGGGGCGUGCCAACUCGUCGGCCGAGCUCGGCCGAGGAGUAAAUUUGUUGAUGUUGCGUUGGGUCGGCUGACCUCUGCGUCUUGCGAUUGCGGCCGAGAAAGGAACACGUCUCGGCCUCUUGGGCUUUCGAACCUGAAGACAAGGUUACUAUUAUUACGAAGUUCAAUAUCAAAUUCGGCUUUCAACGUGCCGAAUGUAAUCACUUGUAACACCUCACUUCGCCGAGAAGGCUGAUGAGAUGACCUCGACCAACAAGGAUUCAGAAAUCCUUCUCGACCGAGACUUGGAUAGGUAAUCAAUCGUUCUCGCUGCAGUGCUGUUGAUGUCAACGGAAGAUACUGCGAGAUCGACUGAUUCUACGGUGACAGAGCUAUCUAUGCCGACUUAAAAUAUCACCGGUUGCUUCCACAGUGCUGUUGAUGCCAACGGAAGAUGUGUCAGCGAACAAGGAAAAAGAAAAAUCACAAGUUGUGAGAAUUUGCGCAGGGCAAUUUUGUAUUGAUUUGCAGGGGUCCUUGAACGUUGCCUGCGACUCUGUAUUUAUAGUGACAAAUACGCAUUGGUUGUUAAGCUGAAAAAGACUCCCAAACAAUUAAAACUCAUCUUAUCGAAUCCAAGAUAAUCUGCAAGCUUGGGUAACGUCCCUCUAAUCAACCACCCAUAUAUAUAUAUAUAUAUAUAUAUAUAUAUAUAUAAAAGGUUGCACCUUUCCCAUGAAUUGGCAGACCUCAUGUCGUCAAUUAUAUAUAUAUAUAUAUAUAAAAGGUUGCACGUUUCCCAUGAAUUGGCAGACCUCAUGUCGUCAAUUAUAUAUAUAUAUAUGGCUGAUAGCUUUUGACACGGCAUACAUGCCAUGUCCAUCAUCAAUUUACUUCAUCCGACAACACCCCUUAGGUCUCCUACCUCAUCCUCACCUCAUCCACAAUAGCCAUCGUCAUUCUGAUCAAACGAAUUUUAAAUUCAUCUUACUUCCCAGUGCUGACAGUGUUCCAAAUCAAUUCGAAUUGUACUGCUUAUUCGGGAUAUGAAUCGCAUUCUAUUUAUCUGGUUUAAGAAGAUACCGGGAUAAUUCAUAUUAAAAGAUAAUUAUAAUAUUAUCCUUUAAUAAUCAAAUUAUCUCUACUUUCUCAUCUAGCGGUCGAGAAUCAUGCCCACUCCACGGCCUCGAUCGCUUGGGCCGAUGAUGUAAAAUCGGGUCCAAACAGAACCUUAUUAUUGUUAGUCAAUUGUGAGGCUAAACCGACUCUCUUCACUUAAUGUAAACAAUAUAAUUUGUUAAAAAUAAAUAAAUAAAAAAUAAAAAAAAGUAGCAACUUAGUCACUAUGUGACUUGGUCUGCAAAGGAAUUUUUUUUUUAAUUUUUUUCUUCAAACGGUCUGCAAAGUUAGUACAUAUUAUUCAUACCCUAUUACAGUUUUAUCUAAUUUUGUUUAAAUUUGUUUAGUAUUAAAAUUUUUAAGAUUGAAGGUUUUAGGGAUGACAUAUCAAGUCUUUCUCAUAAAUUCUACAAAUUAAUUUGACUUUUUGACAUUUUUCACUUCAUUAAAAAAGGUAAAUUGUCUCUCAUAUAUAAAGAGUGUUCCUACGCUUACUCCUCAAUGCUAUCUUUUCACCCACCUUAUAUUCUUACCCACCAUAAAAAAUUAAAAGCAUAUAAUACUCUCUUUACACCCACAAUUAUUCCUAGAAUGUCCUUGAUACAUUUUUCAACUAUUUUCCUACAAAAAAACAAAAAUUGAAAUUCAAAACCACGCCACCCGAUCCAAUCCGAUGGCAACCCCCUUCCCAUCUCUAGCCAACUUUUUCUCUCUGGAAAUUUGGAGGAAGAGAGGGCCUUGACAUGGCCCAUUUCAAUGGGAACGAGGAAAAUGAGAGACAUUCUCAGUCGAAUCGAUCGUCGUUUUCGGACUGGUAAAGACGAUUUGGGUUAAUUAAGGUUGAGUUUGUUUAUUAGUGGGUUCAAUUAAGAUGGAGAAAAGAAAAGACUAAGUUAGGGAUGAGACACCAAAACGGUGGAUGAUGGUUGCCGUCAUAUUGGAUGGGGUGGGUGUGGCUCUUCGCUUUCCUUCUAAUUUUCAAUUUUUGUCUUGUUUUUUCUUCUACUUUUAACAGAAGCAGCAACUAGAGCUAGUGUGUUGAUUGCAUCCACCAUUUUUUUUCAUAGCUUCUCAUAUCUUUUUCCUCAAAUCUCUCUUUGCUUUUUGGGACUUCUCCUCCAUAUUAAAGAUAACAAUGUUUUUUUUAAAUUGGAAACAAAAUGUUGAAUUUAUGUUAUUGGCCAUAAAAAAAUAUAAUAAUUAAUUUUGUUAGGAUUUCAAAAGUCGUUUUACAAAAGGUUAAAUAUGUCAUUAAAAUUUUCAAUAAUAAGUGGGUGGGAAAAUAAGGUUGAGGGGUGGGUAUAUUAUCAAAUUUCAAUUUGUAGGGAACAAAUUCCACAUGUCCGUAGAAUUACUUGAUAAAUUAGACCUGGCCAUACCGGUUUGGUGAUACUGGAUUUGUGAUUCAAUUGAAGAUAUACUUAUAUUAUGUAGUUUCAUUUUUAAUUACAGUCAGUUUUUUUCUAUUUUAAUUAUAAAACCCUCACCCCCUAUCAUAUUGUGUACGUUAUAAAAUGAAGAUUGAGAGACUAUAUGUAUGUAGUUAUUAGUAAGCCGUUAACUCGUCCUCUCAAACUUUCAUUGUAUUGCUUUUGUAACAUGCAUAUAUUGUAGAAUUAUAAAAGAGACGGGCUUCACUACUAACAACACUGAUAUUGUCCCUUAUUUGAUAAUUACCAUCAGCAUAAUCUGUCAGGUGUGAGUUUUAUCACAAAAAAUAUCGAUAUUAAUUGGAGUGGAGUUAAGAUAUUUAAACAUUUAUUUUUUAUUUUUAAAGAUAUGAUCCAUGUGAAAUAUUUCAACAUAUAUACUAAGCAAUAAAAUAAGAAGAAAAUGUAGAUUAUGCUUUAUGCGGUCGUAUGGUUUGGCAUGCAAAGAUGUGGAAGCUUAUAAUCCCCUUCGAUUUCUAAGACACAUCCGUAGAUCCAAACUUACAAAAUCUGUAUUAUUUUGUAUUUCAUGCCAAGACUGUCUUUGUAUGUUUUUGUCAUUAAACCUCACAAGUCACAAAAAUUUUCAUUCGGAAUCUUUCUAUUUUCACACUAUUUCGGGGAAGGAAAAAACCACAUUCUGAACAAAAAUAAAACAUGACAAAAGACUUCAAAAACUUUUUAUUGGCGAGUUUGAUAAGUCAUAAGUUAGAGUUUUUUUACUUUUCUUAACGUAUAUAAAUAUAUCGUUGUAUUAAGAAUAUAACCAAAAACUUAACGGAAUUUUUUUUUUGUGUGUGUUCGCGCCGCCCGGGGAAGGGGGGGGGGGGCGUUCACAGUAGAGUAAAGUUGAGCUCUGAAACAUGUACUAACUUAUGCAUAAUGCAGUAGUUUGUAUUGUACCCAAUUAAAAACUAUUUGACAAUGGUCGUAGAACUAAAACCCUUUAAGCAGAGGUGCUUCUUCAAACAAGCAUGAAGCAUGAAGGGAAAUCUAUGAGGAUGUGAAAGGUAAGGUCACACGAUAGAGAAAGAUCAAACUUCGCAAUGACUUAUAAAGAGUUAGAUCACACCUCUUAUUCUGAAUUGAUUUACCGGUAGAAUCUUAACUUCUUCUAGAAUCUCGAAAGCACGACCAAACAAACAUAUGAAUGGAACAUUUGAAAGCACCAGAGCCGAAAGAAUCAAUCUAAGCUCUAGCGCCAGAGUCUUAAAAGCCAAAAUUAGCUAACACAUUUGUAGUUAAGUUCGCUUCACCAUACAAACGCAUUAUAUAUAUGCUGAUGAGUGAUGACAAAAUAGAAUACAGAUGCCUGCAAUGCAUAUAAAGCACUACUCAUAUUAAUUAAUCUAUAUGGCCCUAAGUGAGAACUACGUACUAUUCAGUAUCUCAAAGAAAACCAAGAAUUAACUUUGAAGGCAAGUGGCAGAUUGUCUUAGAGCAUUCUCUUCAAUUUACUACGUUUCGGAUUUAAACUCUCUUACCUUUUAGUUUAGAUGAAUCUAAUGUAAAUUAUUCCAUCAUUUGGCGAAAUUUUUUGAAGAAGCAUAUGACCAGAUUUUUUAAAUUAGAUGGUCGGAUUUUGUCAUUAUUAUCCAUGGAUAGUGCUAGAUGUAGACCAUUUUUUACUUCUCAUACAUCUCUCAAGUUUUAUUUGUCGGAUUGAAUUAAAGAAGAUCAAUGACAAUAAGGGUGUGUAAGAAAUAAAAUUGAGCAUGUGGAUUGCACUUUCCUUACCCAAAUGAGUGGUCCGAGUCUGAUCCAACUAAAAAAAUCUGUGAGUAUUUAACGGAGUCGGGCAAGAAGAAGUAAUGCAUUAUCUGCCGAAUAAAAAGAACAUGUUGGUAAAAACUAUGAUACCGUUAUCCCUAAUUUUCUUAAUUCAAUUAUUAUGAAUAAUAAAUUCAGUACCAAUUAAUAAGACAUACUUAUUAUGUGGCUUAACUCAAAUUUUAUCCCUUAAUAUAAAUAUUUUAUUGUAUCAAAGAAAAUUAAGUUUUUUCAGCACUUGAAAUCACUAUUUCACGAAUUGAUUUUGCAAUUUCUCCUCACAAAAACAUUAGAAGUGUUGUAUAACUUAACUAAUCAUUUUAGCAUUUGAGGUUGAAUGUUCUAAGAGGUUAUAACUUAGUUAGUUAAGAACAUUCACCUCUACACAGGAGAUCUUAAGUUUGAUUUGCCCUUGUCAAUACUUCUACAAAAAAUAGUCAAUCAUGUAUCUGAUUUAGGAAUUUCUACUUUAUAUUACUCCUAAAAUAAAAAGUUUAUUUGAUACUAGCAGAUGAGCACACACUCUGUGUGUGUGAACAAUUGCCUACCUCCUCCCACGUUCUCCUCAAGCCCAACCGCUUCAGUUAAUUCAAACUAUCCAAAAAACAUCAUGAUUUCACUUAAUUGUAUGAAAAAAUGAUGUGGGACAAUUUCUCUUAAUAAGUGCAUAUUUUUUUAUCUUAUGUAAAUAUUUCGAUACAAAUUUACUAUUUUUCCAUCCUUAUGUAAAUAUUGUGUAUCAAAAGCGAGGGCAAAAUAGGAAAAAAAAGGGGAAAUCAAAAGAUACAAAAUUACUAUUUUUCCAUCCUCAUGUCAUCAUUGUGUAUUCAAAAGUGAGGGCAAAUUGGAAGAAAAUGGGGCAAAAAGUUGACAAGCCAUCUUUUCUUAAUAGAAUAACUAGCAUAUGGGCACACACAAAGUAUGAGAAAAUUUUUUAUUUUUGUUUUUGAAAUAGAAGGAGAGAGGAAGAGAGUGAUAGAGAAUGUGGGAGUAGGAAGUUUUUAAUUUUUUUUAAUUUUUAAUUUUUUUAAUUAGAGAUAUGUUAGAAUUACAUGUAAGUGAGACGUUGAAAAAAAAGCAAAAUUUGGCUGUAAAAUUACAUUUCUAUUCCAUAUUUCUUAUUCAUGUUUUGUUUUAAUUAGAUGAUUAAACUGAUAAUUUCAAAGUAUUUUGAUUGACAAUGAAUAUUUUAUUAAUUAGUAGAUAUGUAUGAUUUCAAAAUCCGACCCAUAUCUCAUUUUAGUUUAAAUAAAAUUAAAAAGAAGUUGUGAAGUAAAGAAAAUUUGAAAGCACAUUCAAAAUGAGGGAAGAAAAGACUAAAACAGAUGGGUGGCGGAUGGCGGUAGUUCCAAUAUCAGCCAAUCAUCAGGAGUUGGAUUGAGGACAGAACCAAAGCCAGACCAUCCUCUUUUAUCUUUCUUCCCUCUUUAAAUCGGAAUAAAAUUAAAACUGUCAGACAAAUAUCAAAGUUCUCUCUCUUUCUUUGUUUGUCUGCCUGUCUGCAAGCAAUCGCAGCCCCUCCCAUGCAUUUGAAUUAAGAAAAACUAAUGAAAAUAACUUGAAAACUUUGAGUUUUAACUAUAAGAAUAAAAUAAAAGAACCAUGUUUGACUUUUUAGUGUAAAAAUGUGGUUUUUCAUUAAAGUGAACAGUACCGUUGGUUUUUCGUUAAAACUUUAUCUCAAUUAUUUAUAAGGAAAACUAAUGAAAAAGACUUGAAAACUUUGAGUUUUAACUAUAAGGAUAAAAUAAAAGGAAAACUAAUGAAAAUGGUUUGAAAACUUUGAGUUUUAAUGAUAAGGACAAAAUAAAGGGUAAAGUGAAUAGUACCAGGAUUGACUUUUUAGUGUAAAAAUGUGGUUUUUCGUUAAAGUGAACAGUGCCAGGUGCUUUUCAUUAAAGUUCCCUAAAAUAAAGGGUAAAGUGAAUAGUAUCAUGUUUGACUUUUUAGUGUAAAAAUGUGGUUUUUCGUUAAAUGAACAGUACCGCAGACUUUUCAUUAAAACUCCCUUAUUUGUAAGUUUUUUAAUUCCUAAUCUCAUGCUCUUUCUAAGACUAGAAGAAAUAUAAAAGUAUAUAUUAUAUACUGUUAUAAAUAUGUCAAAGUUAGAGAGAUAACCUUUUUAGUAAAUGAUGGAGCAAAGCAGGUGUAAAAUGUCACAUUGAAAUUAUAGCACUAGGGGAUGACAAAUAAAAGAGGGAGGAAUAGAUGAUGUUAUUGAGCUUUCUUUCUUUCUGUAUGCUUUCCCUGUAUAUACAUCGAUGGCAGUAAGAGUGCUCUAUUUAUAGAGCGAAUCCAUACGAACAAAUUCUUAAAGUUUGAAAUUUACAACUCAUAGCUUUGACAAUACAACAUUUUGUUUCCAAAGUCUUCAUCAUAUUUGUGUGGGUAUUGACAAAGAACUUAUGUGGGCAUUCAUUAGAUAGUCGCUGGUUUCAUCAGCUAAUGUUUUCAACUGCCAAUAUUGACUGUCAAUGGUUUCAACACUCCAUCUUAGAUGCCCACAUAUCAACAUCAGUUGCCUCGUUAAAACCUUGCUUAGAAAAACCCAGUGGGAAAAAUCUAAUCGAAGGAAAAAGAGUACAACAAACAUGUAUCAUGGAUACUCCCCCUAAUAUAUAUCUCUCCUUGAUUCCGCAUUCUCCAAAUUGAGUUGUUUGGUAAGUCGAAGUAAUCCAAUAUUUUACACUAACUUUUGAAACGUGCACUUUGGUAGAGAUUUGGUGAACAAAUCUGCCAGAUUUUUAUUAGAACAUAUUUGUCUUACUUCAAUAACUUUAACCUUCUGAAGCUCAUGUGUACUGAAAAACUUUAGAGAUAUGUGUUUAGUUUUAUUGCCCUUGAAGAAUCCUUCAUUCAUAUGGGCAACACAGGCUGCAUUAUCUUCAUGAAUGAUAGUUGGAUUGUCUGUCUUCAAAGUUAGACCACAUGAAUUCCGGAUAUGAUGGAUCAUUGAUCUUAACCAAGAACAUUCACGACUUGCUUCAUGUAAAGCAAGUAUUUCUGAAUGAUUUGAAGAUGUAGCAACUAAUGUUUGCUUUGUUGAGCGCCAAGAGAUUGCUGUAUCUCUAUUCUUGAACACAUAUCCAGUUUGUGAGCGGGCUUUAUGCGGAUCAGAGAGGAAACCAACAUCUGCAUAUCCAACAAGGACCUGGUCAUUUGUUGAGUUCUUUGAGUAGAAGAGACCCAUAUCUGUUGUCCCACGAAGGUAUCACAAUACAUCUUUGACACCCUUCCAAUGACAGAUUGUUGGAGCAAAGCUAUACCUGGCUAACAAGUUGAAAAAGCUAUAUCUGGUCUUGUCCAUUGUGCUAAAUACAACAAAGUUCCUACUGCACUCAGAUAUGGUACUUCUGGACCAAUGACCAUUUCAUCAUCUUCUUUUGGACGGAAUGAAUCUUUCUUAAUGUCCAGAGAACGAACGACCAUUGGCGUGCUGAGUGGAUAAGCCUUGUCCAUACCAAAACGCUUCAGGAAUUUUUUCAAUGUAAGUUGAUUGGUGGACCAAAAUUCCACUAACACAAUACUCGAUCUGCAGGCCGAGACAAAAUUUUGUUUUUCCAAGGUCUUUCAUUUCAAAUUCGUUUUUCAGAUAUUCAGCAGUUUCAUUGAGCUCUUCAGGAGUUCCAACUAGGUUCAUAUCAUCAACAUAUACUGCCACUAUAGCAAAUCCAGAAUUGGAUUUCUUAAUGAACACACAAGGGCAAAUGAUAUUAUUGAUGUAUCCUUCUUUGGUCAAAUACUCACUGAGAUGAUUAUACCAUAUUCGUCCAGAUUAUUUUAGCCUAUACAAUGAUCGCCUUAAUUGAUCGAAAGCAUAUCUCGUGGUUUGUUAGCUGUUUCAGGCGACUUAAGUCCUUCUAGGACUUUCAUAUAUAUGUUAGUAUCUAAUUCUCCAUAUAGAUAUGCAGUGAUGACAUCCAUAAGUCGCAUGUCAAGCUUUUCUGAAACCACUAAACUUAUUAAGUAACGAAACGUAAUUGCGUCCAUUACACUAGAGUAUGUCUCCACAUAAUCAAUUCCAGGUCUUUGUGAAAAACCUUGUGCAACGAGUCGUGCUUUAUAUCUUGCAAUCUCGUUUUUCUCAUUGCGUUUCCUUGUGAAUACCCAUUUGUAACCCACGGGGUUUACACCAGGUGGGGUUUGGACUACAGGUCCAAAAACACUUCACAUUUCCAAGGAAUUUAAUUCUGCCUGGAUUGCAUCUUUCCACUUAGGCCAAUCUUGUCUCUGUUUACAUUCAUCAAUAGAGCGGGGCUCAAGAUCAUCACUUAAUAUGAUUUUAGUGGCUACUGCGAAUGCAAGCAUAUCGUCAAUGAUUAUUUCAUUUCGAUCCCAUAAUUCAUUAGUACAUGCAUAAUUUAUGGAGAUUUCUUUGCUUUCAUGUACUUCUAUCUCUUCAGGAAUAUGUGUCUUAUGAAGGACAUUUUCUUUUUCUGGUAGUCCAGAAUCAUGAAUUGUGGAUUUAUCAUCCAUUUUCUCUUCCUGAAUGAUUUCAUUUAGAUUUAGAUGUGCCUUUGUCUUUCUCUUGCGAGGGGCUGAAUCUUUUGAACUUGGGGGUCUACCACGCUUCAGGCGUGCACCAGAUAAAUCAUUCGCUACCACUUUAUUUUGUCCAACAGGAACAUCAAUUUUUGCUGGUGCAUUUGCAGCUCGUAUAUGUGAUUUUGUCACUUUCAUAGCAUCAUUAAAUGCAUCUGGCAUGUGAUUGGCAAUGCUUUGAAGAUGAACGAUCAUUUUUACUUCAUUUUCACAUUGCAUGCUUCGAGUAUCAAAAUGAGACAAGGUGGGAACAACCCAUGUCAACUCUUUCCGUUCUUCUGGAACGGUAUUUUCUCCCUCUAAUGACAGGAAGACUGUCUUUUCAAAGUGAUAAUCAGCAAAAUGAGCUGUAAACAUAUCACAUGUCAAGGGUUCCAAAUAUUUAAUGAUAGAUGGUGAAUCAAAACCCACAUAAAUUCCCAGUCUACGCUGAGGUCCCAUUUUAGUGCGUUGCGGAGGUGCAAUAGGCACAUAAACAGCACAACCAAAAACUCGUAAAUGUGAAAUGUUUGGCUGAUGCCCAAACACGAGUUGUACUGAGGAGUGUUGGUGGUUAGAAAUAGGUCUCAAUCGAACUAAUGAUGCAGCAUGUAAGAUGGCAUGUCCCCAUGCAGAAACUGGCAAUUUGGUUUUCAUAAGCAGAGUGCAAGCUAUCAACUGCAAUCACUUGAUCAAUACUUCUGCCAAACCAUUUUGAGUAUGGACAUGAGGAACGGGGUGUUCAACAUCGAUGCCUAAUGUCAUGUAGUAAUCAUCAAAGGUUUGAGACGUAAAUUCACCAGUGUUAUCAAGUCGGAUUGACUUAAUGGGAUAAUCUGGGAAUUGUGCUCGUAACUUAGUUAUCUGAGCAAGAAGUCUCGCAAAAGCUACAUUCCGAGUAGACAACAGACAAACAUGUGACCAUCUGGUAAAUGUAUCAAUCAAAACCAUAAAAUAUCGAAAUGGUCCACAAGAUGGUUGAAUAGGUCCACAAAUAUCCCUUUGAAUUCUUUGCAGAAAUGAUGGGGAUUCAACAUCAACCUUUAGUUGUGAUGGUCUAAUUACUAACUUCCCUUGAGAACAAGCCUUGAAAGGGUUAUCAUUUGAGAUAACAAUGUCUCUGCUCAAUAAUGGAUGUCCAUUAGAGUUGGUAAUGAUCCUACGCAUCAUGGUGGAUCCUGGAUAACCCAGAUGGUCAUGCUAAAGCAUGUAAACUUUUGAAUCAAUGAACUUCUAGUUCAUGACAGUAUGUGAUUCAACUGUCUUUAUGUAUGUAUAAUACAAUCCACUCGACAAACCAUGCAACUUCUCCAAUAUACGCUUAUGGGUAUCAUUGGAGGUAAUGCAUAGAUACUCCACAUUUUCUGCACUUUUUGUUUCAAUGUGGUAUCCAUUUAAAUGUAUGUCUUUGAAACUCAACAAGUUUCAAGUAGAUCGAGUAGCGUACAACGCAUUCUGUAUGGAUAAUAUUGUUCCAUUUGGUAACAUAAUCUGGGCUUUCCCUCAGCCUUUAAUCACAUCUGAUUGGCCUGAUAUUGUUGUUACCUUUACUUUUGUAAACAUCAAGCUUGGGAAAUACUUUCGAUCUCGAAGUAUUGUAUGCGUUGUUACGCAGUCUGCAAGACAGAUAUCUCCACCAUUUCUCAUGUUCUGAGAAUGACCAUAGUUUUUAUCCAUGCUCUUUGAGUAAAGGACUCAGAGUUAAAAGCAAGUUAUAACAAGAAAUUUACAUGCCACUUUUAUUGAAUCUAAAAUGCUAGUUUUACACAACAAGUUCAGCAUAAUAAAAGUACAUCAAACAUAAAUGAUUCAGUCAGACUGGUAUACUUCAUUCCCUCUUUCUAUAAUGAAGUCUGAAACAUCUAGGUGGGUUGUGUCCAAUUGCCCUGAUAAAUCACACACUGGAUCAGGUAUAUCCAUUGGUCUAGCCUGGUCGAGGAAAUUAGCCUUGACACCCUUUUGCCUUGAGGAAGGCUUGAUACAGAUCCACUAGAUAUUUUGGGGUACGACAAGUGCGUGCCCAAUGCCCAUUGCCACCACACCUAUGGCAGGCUCCUUCAGAGUUCCUGGGAGCAUUGGUCAUAUGAGCUUUGCCUUUGUGGCGAUUCAUUUUUUUAAAGCUCAGGCCUGAAUUAUGCCUCAGAACCUGGUUGUGAAACUGACCACCAUGGUUCUUGCCUUUCCUAUUCCAUCGACCUCGCUUGUGGCCACGUCCUCAUUUAUGAUUAUCACCACCAGAGGAUGUGGUGUUCACUUUGGGAAGCAGCAUUCAUUUCUGGGAAUGGUGUAGAUCCAAUAGGUCAGGAAUUAUGGUUUUUCAUCAGGAGCUCAUUGUUCUGUUCAGCUACCAGGAGCACGGAUAUCAGUUGGUUGUAUUCAGUGAAGCCUUGUGCUCUAUAUUGCUGCUGCAUGAGCAAGUUAGAGGCAUGAAAUGUGCUGAAAGUCUUUUCCAGCAACAUUUCCUUAGUAAUACUAUCCCCACAGAGUUUCAUCUGAGAGGUAAUUCUGAACAACGCAAAAUUAUACUCAGCCACUGACUUGAAAUCCUGGAUCUUAGGUGAGUCCAUUCAUAGCGAGCUCUUGGAAGAAUCACCGUUGUCUGGUGAUUGUAUCUUGCCAAAGAGCUAACGGAUCUUCAGCCGUUAAGUACUCACUCUUUAAUGCCUCAUCAAGAUGACGACGAAUAAAAAUCAUAGCCUUCGCCCGCUCUUGAAAGGAUGAGCUGGUCUUUUCCCUGAUGGUAUCUCCAAGAUUCCCUGCUUCCAGAUGGAUCUUGGUAUCCAGUACCCAGGUAAGGUAAUUCUUCCCGGUAAUGUCCAGGGCAGCAUAUUCAAGCUUUGCCAAGUUCGCAAUUUUCUUUUCUGAAAGAAAAAUGAGAUGUGUAAGAACUUGCAAUACUAUGUAUUCCUGGAGGAAUAUAGUGUUAGAACUUAUGGCUCUUACAAAUUUUUCACUUUGAUCUUUAGGCCUAAAUGAUAAGCACUCGAAAGUUCUAGCUCGAGAUUUUUAGGAUGACUAAGGAAGGUGAUUGUACCGCACCAUUCUCAUUAAAAUAAUAUAACAUGUUAUGGGUGAUUAUUCCGUACCACUCAAGUAGCAAGAAAAUUUAAAUAUGUAGAGCAAUGUGGGCGAUUAUACCGCACCACCUAAAAUUACAAUGAAAUUAAACCGCAGGUGUUGAUGCACAAAAUCAGUGAGGACUUUGGUACAACAGAAAGUGUUAAGUUUGUGACCUUCGCUAGAUUGCUCCGGUCACUAGUAUGGACAAGUAUGUAAAUGGAUAGAGACAGGGAAGCAAACACAAGAUGUACGUGGUUCACCCAGAUUGGCUACGUCCACGGAGUAGAGGAGUUCUCAUUAAUUGUGAAAGGUUUACACAAGUACAUAUGUUCAAGCUCUCCUUUAGUGAGUACAAGUGAAUGAUUUAGUACAAUGACAUUAGAAAAUAUUGUGAAAGAAUGAUCUCUAUUUAUAGAAGAGAGCUUCUAGUUUCAUUUUGACAUUGACACGUGUCGUGUUGUGAUUGGUUUCUGAUGUUGACAGUUGUCGAGCUAUGAUUGGCUUCUGAUGUUGACACGUGUCGCGCUGUGAUUGGCCUCCUGGUUGGAGGGAAACUCUUCUGGGUCCUUGACAGUAUAACGUUGACGGUGCUCAGUAGUUUUCGGGAUUGGUCAAGUAUGGUACAAACAGUGCUCCCCUAAGUUCCCGAGUGAGGGAAGCUCUCUCGGUUGGGGACUUGCAAGAUCCAGAGCCAUUGAGUAAUAAUCACGAAACUUCUAAGUACCGAAGUGUGGUCAUUUUCAACUUGCCUUAUCUGUCUCAUAUGUAGAUGUGGCAUCUUCUCUGGAAGUACUUUUCCUCCAUCCAGGGUGGUAUCUUUAACCGAUGAAGAUGCACAAGGUAAUGUAUCAAUUUUCACUUGAAGCUUACUUGUAGUUUCGGGCUUGGUCAAGUGCGAUACAAACCCUAUAGUAGGAGUCCCCCAAGUCGCCGAGCUAGGAGAUUUGCCGAAUGAGGUAACAGACAAGGUAAGCAAUCAGACUUCCAAGCAAGCAACCUGGAUCGGAGGUUCGACUUCGGCUUCCGGUUGAUUGUUCUCCUUCUCCUUGUGUCGUAAAUAGCAACAAGGAUAAGGAGAAGCAAAUGGAGAAGAGAUGAUAUGAGAUACUUUUGCUUUUGAAGAAGUAACUUUCCACAGGCUUAUUCUUGAACUGGGCUGGAGGGUUUUCUGGUUUCCUCCAGAGUAUAAGGCCGACUCAAGAAUUUGAGGGUCAAAACAAGUCCAUCAAAUCUAGAGUACGUUCGACCUUGAUGAUAUGGGAUACUUUUGCUGUUGACAAAGUAGUGGAUGUAUCGGCACGUGUUCUGUUACGCUUGUCUCCACAUGCUUCCUUGUAUCCUUCUCACUUGCCCUAUCUGUUCCUCAGGCAGAUGUGGUAUCUUUCUGGAAGCAUAAGAUGUUGAAGAUGAGUACUCGAGAGCAAUGCCAGGUAAGUAAUCAGGCAAGGGGUUCCAGGCAGUCAGUUCCUGACUGGAAGCUUGAUUCCAAGUGCUGACUGAUUGCUCUCUUUCUCCUUGUCUUGCAGGUAAGAACAAGGCCAAAGGAAAAGACAGGGAAAAAGCAUGAUAUGGAUACUCUUGCUUUUAACCCUGAUGAUAUGAGAUACUCUUGCUCUGGUGUGGCUUGUUUGCAGAGGUAUUAUCGGGAGGAAAAAAAGCUGAGUAUUUCGAGAGACUCUGCUGAGAGUGCCCUCUCGGAUGUGAAGAAAAGUUGAGCAUUUUUUUUUAUUUGCAGGUUUGCCUGGUUGUGGAGGAUGGAGGUCGACAUAUAUAGGAGUCUCCCUAACAACAAGUAGUAGUGCUAUUCCUUUACCUUUCUUGGUCGUAGCAAUGUAGUGGGAGCUGCAAGCUUCACGUUUUUUAACUUUGUCAUAGCACUUUGAAAAAGUGGUAUGUGGUAUUUGGAAGGCUGAUGUUGCGUGUGAAAAUUGCAGACAAGCUUUAUCCAAGGAAAUCUUGCUCUCAAAGUUCAGAGAGCAAUGCCUCUUCGGUUUUCGAACAAGCAAUCCUGUCGGGGAUCUGGCUCUCGAGAUUCGGAGAGCGGUGCCUCUUUGAUUUUUGAGAAAGCAAUCCUGUUGGGAGUCUGGCUCUUGAGAUUUGGAGAGCGGUGCUUCUUCGACUUUUGAGAAAGUAAUAAUGUUGUUGGGAGUCUGGCUCUCGAGAUUCGGAAGGCGGUGCCUCUUCGAUUUUUUAGCAAGUAAUAAUGUUAUUCCUUUACCCUUCUUGGUUAUAGCAAUGUAGUGGGAGCUGCAAGCUUCAUAUGUUUUAACUUUGUUAGAGCGCUUUGAAAAGUGGUAUGUGGUAUCUAGAAAGCUGAUGUUGCGUGUGAAGAUUGCAGACAAGCUUUAUCCAAGGAAAUCUGGCUCUCGAAGUUCGGAGAGCAGUGCCUCUUCGGUUUUCGAACAAGCAAUCCUAUCGGGGAUCUGGCUCUUGAGAUGUAGAGAACGGUGCCUCUUUGAUUUUUGAGAAAGCAAUCCUGUUGGGAGGCUGACUCUUGAGAUUCGGAGAGCAGUGUCUCUUCGAUUUUUGAGAAAGUAAUCAUGUUGGGAGUCUGGCUCUCGAGAUUCGGAGAGUGGUUCCUCUUCGAUUUUUGAGCAAGCAAUCUUGUUGGGAGUGUUUUCUCGAAUAUGAGUAAAGGUUGGGCAUUUUUGCCAGUCUGCCUUGCCACGGAGCACGGAGGUUGACACACAUUGGGACUUUCUAGUUAUCAAGCAGUGGUGCUGUUCCUUUACCCUUGUGGGUAAUAGUAGGGUAGCUGGACCUUCAAAAUUUAUGUGUCUAAACUUUGUCAGAGAUCUUUGGCAAAGUUAUCUGUGGUACCCGAUGAGCUGAUGUUGCGUGUGGAAAGUGGUGCCUCUUCGAAAUCUGGAGAGUGGUGCCUCUUCGAUUUUUGAACCAACGGCCUUGUUGCCCUUUCUUUUAUAAGGGCACCAAUUGUGUGCAAGAAGUACAUUCAGAGAGUUAUUGCUUGUAGGAAUUUUCCCCUUACUUCAGAGAUUUAUUGCACCUCAUUUCUCCUUCAUCAUUUCUGAGAAUGUCUGGCCCAUCCGACCGUCGUUUUGACUUGAACUUUGGUGAAGAGGCAGCCAUGCCUUCUCAAGACAACAUAUGGCGCCCAUCCUUCUUAUCCCCUACUGGUCCUCUUACCGUUGGGGACUCUGUGAUGAAGAAUGAUAUGACCGCUGCGGUGGUGGCCAGGAACCUUCUCACUCCCAAAGAUAACAGACUACUUUCCAAACGGUCUGAUGAGUUGGCUGUUAAGGAUUCUCUGGCUCUCAGUGUUCAGUGUGCAGGUUCUGUGUCUAAUAUGGCCCAACGCCUAUUUGCUCGAACCCGCCAAGUUGAAUCAUUGGCGGCUGAAGUGAUAAGUCUCAAACAGGAGAUCAGAGGGCUCAAGCAUGAGAAUAAACAGUUGCACAGGCUCGCACAUGACUAUGCUACAAACAUGAAGAGGAAGCUCGACCAGCUGCAGGAAUCUGAUGGUCAGAUUUUACUUGAUCAUCAGAGGUUUGUGGGUUUGUUCCAAAGGCAUUUAUUGCCUUCGUCUUCUGGGGCUGUACCGCGUAAUGAAGCUCCAAAUGAUCAACCUUCGGUGCCUCCUCCUUCUGGGGUUCUGCCUAGUACUGAGGCUCCGAAUAAUCACCCUCUGGUGCCUCCUCUUUCUGGGGCUCUGCCGACUGCUGAGACUUCUCCUGAGCAACCUUUGUGAAGGCUCCCUCUUGUUUGUUUAUUUUGAUUCAUGUGUAUAUGUACAUAUUUGUAACUUAUCGGAGAUAUCAAUAAACAAGCUUUGCUUCAUUUCAACGUAUUGUGUUAAAUACACCAAGGCCUUCUUCACUAAGUUCUUUGAAUUUUUUCCUUUUGUUGAAUCUUGUAUGUUGAAACUUUGUGAGUGAAGCAUGUAGGUUGAGGUAGUGCUUCCUUAAUUUCCCGAGUGAGGAAAACUUUUCGUUUGGAGACUUGAAAUAUCCAAGUCACUGAGUGGUCGUGAGACUUCCGAGUAUCAAGGUGCAGUAGCAUAUGGUAGGAGUCCCCUAAGUCUCCGGUUGAGGCAUUUCCUUUCUAAGUGGUAGCCCAAAACUCCUUCAUAUAUAUUUGUUAUGAAAGUUGUUAGGCCCAAAGAAGAGGAGGCCUAGGCAAUUUAUUUAUUUUUUUUGGUUUUUUUUUUCGAAAUUUCGAAUUUUUGAAUUUUUGAAUUUUUGAAUUUUCGAAUUUCUGAAAAGAAAAAAAAUAUAUAUAUUUUAAAGCUUUGUAGGUGAAGCUUUGGUGUUGAAGCUUUGUAGGUGAAGCUUUGAGGUUGAAGCUUUGUUGGGCACCAUGAAUUGAUUUUGCUUCACACUAUCUUGAUCAAGAUUGUGUGAAGCUUUUGUAGGUGAAGCUUUUGUGUUGAAGUUUUGUAGGUGAAGUUUUUGUGGGUGAAACUUUUGUGGGUCAAGCUUUUGUGGGUCAAGCUUUUGUAGGUCAAGCUUUUGUGGGUCAAGCUUUUGUAGGUGAAGCUUUUGUGGGUCAAACUUUUGUGGGUCAAGCUUUUGUGGGUCAAGCUUUUGUAGGUGAAGCUUUUGUGGGUCAAGCUUUUGUAGGUCAAGCUUUGUUGGGUCAAGCUUUUGUAGGUGAAGCUUUUGUGGGUCAAGCUUUUGUAGGUCAAGCUUUGUUGGGCACCAUGAAUUGAUUUUGCUUCAUAUUAUCUUGAUCAAGAUAGUGUGAAACUUUUGUAGGUGAAGCUUUUGUGUUGAAGUUUUGUAGGUGAAGCUUUUGUGUUGAAGUUUUGUAGGUGAAGCUUUUGUGGGUGAAGCUUUUGUGGGUCAAGUUUUUGUGGGUCAAGCUUUUGUAGGUGAAGCUUUUGUGGGUCAAGCUUUUGUAGGUGAAGUUUUUGUGGGUUAAGCUUUUGUGGGUGAAGCUUUUGUAGGUGAAGCUUUUAUGGAUGAAGCUUUUAUAGGUUAAGCUUUUGUGGGUGAAGCUUUUGUGGGUGAAGCUUUUGUGGGUCAAGCUUUUGUAGGUGAAGCUUUUGUGUUAAAGCUUUUGUUGGGUACCAUGAAUUGAUUUUGCUUCACACUAUCUUGAUCAAGAUAGUGUGAAGCUUUUGAGAAUUUGUAGUUGUCCUCCAUUGAUGAAGCUUUUGUUGGUGAAGCUUUGGAGUUGAAGCUUUUGUUGGGUACCAUGAAUUGAUUUUGCUUCACACUAUCUUGAUCAAGAUAGUGUGAAGCUUUUGAGAAUUAGUUGUUAUCUUCCAUUGAUGAAGCUUUUGUUGGUGAAGCUUUGGAGUUGAAGCUUUUGUUGAAUUUCCCCUUUUUUUUUUUUUUGGGAAACUAGAAAUUUGAAAAUGUGGGAGAGACAACAUAUACAAAUUUUGCUUCCACAUUGUUGAGCAAGAGAUUGUGAUGCAAGCCACACCUUGUAGUAGUCGAAGGUUUGGAUGAACCAUAUAAAUUGAAUUUGCUUCGAACAGUCUUGAAUUUGCUUCGAAGGUUUGAGAAUUGUAGUUGCCCUCCAUUGAUGAAGCUUUUGUUGGCACCAUAAAUUGGUUUUGCUUCACACUGUCUUGAUCAAGAGUGUGUGAAGCUUUUGAGAAUUAUGAUUGCCCUCAUUGAUGAAGCUUUUGUUGGCACCAUAAAUUUGUUUUGCUUCACACUAUCUUGAUCAAGAGUGUGUGAAGCUUUUGAGAAUUGUGGUUGCCCUCCUUUGAUGAAGCUCUUGUUGGCACCAUAAAUUGGUUUUGCUUCACACUGUCUUGAUCAAGAGUGUGUGAAGCUUUUGAGAAUUGUGGUUGCCCUCCAUUGAUGAAGCUCUUGUUGGCACCAUAAAUUGGUUUUGCUUCACACUGUCUUGAUCAAGAGUGUGUGAAGCUUUUGAGAAUUGUGGUUGCCCUCCUUUGAUGAAGCUCUUGUUGGCACCAUAAAUUGGUUUUGCUUCACACUGUCUUGAUCAAGAGUGUGUGAAGCUUUUGAGAAUUGUGGUUGCCCUCCAUUGAUGAAGCUCUUGUUGGCACCAUAAAUUGGUUUUGCUUCACACUGUCUUGAUCAAGAGUGUGUGAAGCUUUCUACGAGUUGUAGUGUUUGCAUUGUUACAGAGGGGAAAUGUUUGAAGCAGAUGCAAGAGGGCUGAAUAGCUUGAUCUUCGUAUGCCAUGCACUGAAGUUGUUGUUGGCUUGCAAUAAGACUUUGUUGGUGACUAUAACUCUUGUUGGGCAUAAGUGAUCCCCUAGUUGAGUUGUCAAGCUUGAGGGUGUUUGAUUAUUUGUGAAUGCUAGGAGUUCACAUGUUCAAGUUGUACCACUCGUCUUCUGGUAGGUGAAAUGAAUGAUGAGUUGCUUUCAUCACUUGGUUGGUGGUACGAAGGUGAGUUCCUUCUUCCCCUGGUUGGUGACAUGAAUGGUAAGUUGCCAAAUGAUAUUAGAGUACGGGUUGUACAUUUCAUCACCUGGUUGGUGGUAUGAAGGAGAGUACAGGUUGUACAUUUCAUCACCUGGUUGGUGGCAUGAAGAUGAGUUCCUUCUUCACCUGGUUGGUGGCAUGAGUGGCAAGUUGCCAAAUGAUAUUAGAGUACGGGUUGUACAUUUCACCACCUGGUUGAUGGCAUGAAGGAGAGUACGGGUUGUACAUUUCAUCACCUGGUUGGUGGCAUGAAUGGCAAGUUGCCAAAUGAUAUUAGAGUACGGGUUGUACAUUUCAUCACCUAGUUGGUGGCAUGAAGAUGAGUUCUUUCUUCACCUGGUUGGUGGCAUGAGUGGCAAGUUGCCAAAUGAUAUUAAAGUACGGGUUGUACAUUUCAUCACCUGAUUGGUGGCAUGAUGGAGAGUACGGGUUGUACAUUUCAUCACCUGGUUGGUGGCAUGAAAAUGAGUUCAUUCUUCACAUUUCAUCACCUGAUUGUUGAGAAUAAGGGCAAGGUGUCUAGGCACAUUGUAGCAAGUGUCGAAUGACACAAAGUAUGUUGAACCCUUUCAAAGCACAGUUGGCUUAUGUAUGAAUGUGUUGGAAUGUAUGAUUGAACGAAUAUACUGUGAAGCUGUUCGUUUAUUUGUAUAGUCUUGUUGACAUAUACUUAGGCUUUGUUUCAUGUUGGAAGAAUUCAUGUUGAAGCUUUGAACCCGAAUGUUUCAUUGCUAGGAAUGUAAGAGGAUUAGGAUCAAGUUGUCUAAAUCACCUCUUUAUUGAAUUCAUGCCAAAUAGUCUUCGUUACAUAGGAUGCCGAACGGCUGAAGCUUAACACUUGUACAAUAUGAGUUUACUUGUAAUAGUACUUCAAGUGAUCAGCGUUCCAUGGAUGGCCAAAAGUCUUGCCAUCGGAGCUUUUAAGCUUGUAGGAGCCAGGGCGACUGAUGCCAACAACUUCAAACGGUCCAUCCCAGUUUGGACUAAGUGUUCCUUCACUCGGGACUCUGUUGCAGAGUAAUCUUUUCUUCAAUACCCAGUCCCCCACUUUGAAAGAAUGAGGUUUGACCCUGGAGUCAUAGUAGUUGGAGAUGCGCUGCUUAUAGGCGACAUUCCUCAAGUGAGACUGGUUUCUGUGUUCCUUGACUAGAUCUAAGUUGAGGGUAAGUUAUUUGUCAUUUUCGCUUUACACAUAGUUCUGGACUCAGAACGUUGCUUGCUCAAGCUCAACUGGGACAACUGCCUCUGUACCAAAGGCAAGUGAGAAUGGGGUUUCUCCUAUUGAUGUCCGAUACGAAGUGCGGUAUGACCAAAGAACUUAGGGUACAAAUUCUGGCCAACAACCUUUAGCCUUGUCUAAGCUGGUUUUCAAAGUUCGCUUGAUUAUUUUGUUGAUGGCUUCAACUUAUCCAUUAAACUGGGGAUGAGCUGGGGAGGCAAAACAUAAGUUGAUGUUGAACUUAGAUCAGAACAUCUUGAACUUAUUGUUGUCGAACUGUCCCCCGUUAUUAGUGACUAUCGUAUUGGGAAUGCUGAAUAUGCAAAUGAUGUUCUUCCAUACGAAGUCUUCUAUUUUUCCCUCAGUAAUGGUUGCCAAGGGUUAUACUUCGGCCCAAUUUGUGAAGUAGUCAACUGCAACGAUUGCAUAGCGAACCUUGCCCUUCCCUGCAGGUAUUGGGCUGAUCAAAUCAAAUCCCCAUUGGGCGAAGGGCGAAGGGCUGAUCAUAGGAGUGAGCGGCUCGGGAAGGGAAUGAGGAAUAGUUACGUAGCGUUGACACUUAUCACAUGAGUAGGAUAUUCUGAUGGCAUCUUGGUGGAGUGUUGGCCAAUAAUAUCCUUAGCGAAAAGCUUUCUGUGCUAGGGAUCGAGAACCAGCAUGAUCUCUGCAAACUUCUUCAUGUAUUUCCCGAAGGACAGUUUCCGCCUCUGCGGGCGUAAGGCAUUUUAGAUAUGGUAGGUUAAAACUCCACUUGUAGAAUUGGUCAUUAAUGAUCAAGUAACGGGUAGCCUUGUAUCGAAUCUGCUUAGCUUGGACUUUGUCAUUUGGAAGGGUGCCAUGAGCAAGGAAUCUAUAAAUUGGGGGUACUCCAACUAUCCCCCUGUUGUAAGUUGCACACUUCCGCAGCCAUGAUGUUUGGUGCUGCCAACAAUUCGACCUGAAUUUUUCUCCCAAUCUUGUCUUCCACCGCUGAGGCAAGGCGAGCCAAAGCAUCUACAUGACUGUUUACCGCUCGAGGAAUUUGGGUGAUCUGGUAGUGGAAGUGCUUAAGCAACAAUUGUGUUUGUGCCAGAUAUGCUACCAUGGAGCUAUCCUUAGCGUCAAAGUUGUUGGUGACCUGGUUAACCACCAAUUAGGAGUCACUGAAGAUAUCAAUUCGUUUAACCUCAAGGUGUUUGGCCAAACGUAAGCCUGCUAGGAGGGCUUCAUAUUCGGCCUCAUUGUUUGACGCCUUGAAUUUGAAACGAAGAGCAUACUCCAUCGCCACUUUGUCAGGGGUCGUAAGGACUAGUCUUGUUCCACAACCCUGUUGGUUGGACGAGCCAUCAACAUAUAGACUCCAUGCUAGGGCUGUUGGUUCUAUUUUCUGAGCUUCUGAGGGUAAUGAAACCACUUCUUUAGGCAUAGAAACAAUGUCAAUAGGAUAUGUGAAGUCGGCGAUGAAGUCUGCCACUGCUUGGCCUUUCUCAGCUGGCUUUGGUUGGUAGGAGAUGUCAAACUCACCCAAUGCUAUCGCCCAUUUGAUCAUUUGUCCGGAAGUGUCGGGACUUUGGAGUAUCUAUCGAAAAGGAUGAUUGGUAAACACGAUGAUGGAGUGUGCUUGGAAGUAAGGGCGAAGUUUUCGAGCAGACAUGACCAAAGCUAGAGCCAAUUUCUCAAUGUUAGAGUAUCGUGUCUCUGCAUCUUGUAAGGCCUUGCUAGUAUAGUAGACAGGUCGUUCAACAUUACCAUCCUUUCGAAUGAGAACAGAACUUACUGCUGAAGCUGAUACCGACAGAUAGAUAAUGAGAGUGUCACCAACCUCAGGUUUGGAGAGCAAAUGGGCUUUACUCAUGUAGUCUUUGAGGUUCUUGAAUGCCUCAGCACAUUCAUCAGUCCAUGUAAUGUACUUCUUACUUCCCUUAAGUGCUUUGAAGAAAUGAGCACAUCUGUCGGUGGCCUUAGAGAUGAACCUAGUUAAGGCGGCCACCUUGCCAGUAAGGCUCUGGAUGUCUUUUGAAGUUACUGGUUCCUUCAUGUUGAGGAUUGCUUUGAUAUUAUCGGGAUUAGCCUCAAUGCCUCGUUGGCUUAUCAUGAAGCCUAGGAAUUUGCUAGAGCCUACGCCGAAGGCACAUUUGUUGGGGUUCAACCUCAUUCGAUACCUCUUCAGAAUGGUGAAAGUUUCAGAUAGGUUGGUGAUGUGUUGGUCAGCAUGUUUGCUCUUGACUAGUAUAUCAUCAACGUAAACUUCCAUGCUUUUCCCAAUCUGUUCGGCGAACAUUGAAUUGACCAGUCUCUAAUAAGUCGCUCAUGCAUUCUUUAGGCCAAAGGGCAUGACUUUAUAGCAAUAUAGUCCAUUGUCAGUAGUAAAGGCUGUGUGUUCUUGGUCCGGAGGGUUCAUGAGGAUUUGGCUGUAUCCUGAGUAAGCAUCCAUGAAGUUCAUGAGUUCACACCCUGCUGUAGAGUCUAUAAGUCUGUCUAUGAGAGAAAGAGGAAAGCUAUCUUUCGGGCAUCCUUUGUUUAGGUCGGUGUAAUUGACACACAUUCUCCACAAGACCUUUUGAAGCAAGAAACUUUCCUUGGUCGGAUUCUUCUUAACAAGGACAACAUUUGCUAUCCAUGUUGGAUAAUUGACUUCGCGGACAAAGCCUAUGCCUUUGAGUUUUUCAACUUCUGCCUUCAUUGCCUCGUACCGUUCAGCGUCAUAAGAUCUUCGCUUCUAUCUUACUAGCUUGGUCUUGGGGUUAAUACUUAAGCGAUGACAGAUUAUAUCGGGAGAUAUGCCUGGCAUGUCCUCGUAUGACCAGGCGAAGACCUCAGUGUUCUCUUGCAAAAAAGAGAUCAAUGACAACCGAAUGGGUGGUGACAAGGUGGUACCAAUAUUCACCAUGCGAUCCGGAUAAUCUUUUGAGAUAGAGACCUUCUUCAACUUUUCAGCGGGUUGUGCUUGCUGGGUGAAAAAGUCAUCUCGAGGAUCGUCGGGUUGACUGUUGCCACCGUGAAUAUCCAAGUUGGCUUCGUCUAGGCUGGUCUUUAUGACUUGGUCAUGUAUAGAAAGAGUUUCCUUGGGCACAAGCAGAUGUUGUUGCUUGACCGAAGUGUUGUAACAUGAUCGUGCACUAAGUUGAUCUCCUCUGAUGUAACCAUUCCCAUAAGGGGUUGGAAAUUUCAUCAACAACAUAUGUGUGGAUACCAUGGCCUUGAGAUCAUUGAUGCCUGUGCGUCCCAAGAUAACAUUGUAUGUCGUUGGGCAAUCAACCACCAGGAAGUUAAUGGUAAUGGUAGCUAUGUAAGGGCCUAUACCAAUGGUGAAAGGUAAGUGUAUGCUCCCUAAAGGUUGCACGAUAUCACUGGAAAAGCUUAUCAGAGGGGAAAUCGAGCGGUCGAGCAAGUGUUCAGCUACAUUAAGUGCCCUGAAAGCUUCAGCAAACAUGAUAUUAACCGAAGCCUCCGUGUCUACCAGGAUUCGUCGUACUUCAAAGUUGGCUAUGUGAGCUUCCACGAUCAGUGGGUCGUUGUGAGGGUAGAUGAUACCUCUUUCUUCCUCAGGGUAGAAACAUAUUGGAUCCCAGUUAGGCUUUUAAUACUUACCUCCCCUGAUGUCUUCCACGUGAAACACUUGGUGACCAGACCUUAAAGCUUGUUCACUAUUUUUCAUAGCCCUAUUGGAAGAUUUAGAUAUGGGUGUGCCACCACUUAUGGAAUAUAUCACAUUUACCUGGCGUUGGUUACGGUUACCCAUUGGAGGGUGAAGGAGGAAUUGAUCAAUUUUUCCUUCACUUGCCAAAGCUUCAAUAUGAUCAUGAAGGGUGAUACACUUCUCGCCGUCAUGGCUGUUAUGCUCGUGGUAGCAGCAAAACAUGCCCGUGUUUUUCGUGGGCUUGUAAUCUGGGUGCCUCGGUUUUGGCUUCGGUAUCAAGUGUGCUAUGCUGGGGUAAAUGGCCACGCAUGUGGCGUUCAAAUGUGUGUAUGCCUCAUACCUCGGGGUAGGGGUUGUCCUGAUACAUGCUUGACCCACUGUGUUGACUGCCUGGGGUCGGGGAUUAUCAUGGCGAUACCCUUGGUUAUCGCGGUAGUGUCCCUUACUCCUUUUACUAAAAUGAGACUGGUGAUGAUGGAAAUCUUUCCUUUUGCCCUGAGAUUGAUAUAUCUGUUGACUUGGCAAAGUAUUAAGUAAGGCAGGGGGAGGCAUCGUUGCCAUUUGGAAGGUCGAGGUCUUCUCAUUUGGUUGGAUCUGGCUUCCACUCCUUACUUGCUGAUAAGGGGUGGUUGUGGGGGGUUUUCCUUGAUAUGUCCUUGCCUCGGCGGAGGCAUGGUUAUAAGCCUGUGCCAUCACUUCAGAGUAAGUCUUCCAAGUGUUGGCAUUGAUCAUGUACUUGAAGAAACAAUCACGUAGGCCUGCCGUGAAGGCCUUGACGGCGGUCUUGGCAUCUGCCUCAGCGCAGCGAGAAUACUCAUGGCUGAAACGACCAGCAUACUCUUGUAGUGACUCGUCCGGCUUCUGGCGAAUAGUGUACAAGUCAUCUGCAGAAUGCAUGCGAUCGGUCUGGAAGAUGUGUUGAGAGACAAACAGUUUCCUCAGUUCCUCAAAUGAGUCUACUGUCUCAGGUGGAAGACGGCAAUACCAGUUUAGAGCUCCGCCAGAAAGGGUGAAGGGGAAGAGAAGACAUCGCUCUUCGUCGGUGUGCAUCCGAUAUGCCAUGGUGGACUCAAAGAGGUUAAGGUGUUCAAUUGGGUCCUCCCUUCCAGUAUAGAGUUGUAAACCAAGCUUUUGUUUUGUCUUCGCUUGAAGGGGGUGUCAAGGAUCCUCCUUGUGAAAGGGCCAGGCCUGGGUUGGUUCCAGUUAGGUAUCUCGGCCUGACGUUCGGCCUUCAACUUGUUUACUUCCUCAAGGAGCUGUAGGACAAGGGGGUCUUGAGUGGAGUCAUGUACCACUGGGAUUUUCUUUCGUAAGUCUCCAUCGCCUCUUGGAAGUCAGAAAGUUUGAGCAAGGGCGUGUGAUUUUUCCUUGGACUCACCGUACUGACUUCUAGGGCGAGUCUGUCGGAAUACCUCAGAGUCCCCUGUACCUUCAUGUUCCUCUAGGACAUGUCGCUCCUUCCCUAGAUUGGCAGCUGGCCUGGGUCGUGGGAGGGGACCAAGUCUUUCAGAAACCCUUGGGUCGUUGAUCUUCGAGCAUAUGUGGAGGGGAUUCUCUUGACGUUGCUUUAGGAAGUUUCGGCAGUCAUGAUAAACGGCUUUCGAUCCUUCCAACCCUUCUGCAAAGAGGUGUCUUCCUCUACUUCUCCUGCUUCGGGUCGAAACAGUUGGGUUGAGAGAAGUUUCAUGUUGAUUAAUAUUUUGAUGAUUAGCUCGCUCUUCAUCAGGGAUACCCAUGUCGAAAGAAGGUGACCUUCCGUGUUGGGGGGCACCUAGAUGAUGGUUGAUGUCUACAGGGGCAACAAGUUCACGUGUUUGAGUACGCAUAGUUUCAUGGAGCGUCUCAAAGAGCUUCUCAUACUGCUCUUGGAGGACCUCAUUCUUCAUUGCUAUCUUGUUGUUUUGAGCUUCUAGCUUAUCGACUUUAGCUUGAACAGCAACCCUAUUUCCUUCAUUCUUUCGUUGCUUCGCACUAGGUGCAAGAAGGGUGUCAUUCUGUGUGUUGUGGCUUCCUUCGCUCCCCAUGUUGAAGAGGGAUGCCUGGUCAAAAGAGAGUGUACGAAUGGUGGAAACCAGCUUGACAAAGCUGAAGAGAGUGGGAAUAAGUGUCGUUCCCACAGACGGCGCCAAAUGUUGAUGCACAAAAUCAGUGGGGACUUUGGUACAACAGAAAGUGUUAAGUUUGUGACCUUUGCUAGAUUGCUUUGGUCACUAGUAUGGAUAAGUAUGUAAAUGGAUAGAGACAGUGAAGCAAACACAAGAUGUAUGUGGUUCACCCAGAUUGGCUACGACCACGGAGUAGAGGAGUUCUCAUUAAUUGUGAAGGGUUUACACAAGUACAUAGGUUCAGGCACUCCUUUAGUGAGUACAAGUGAAUGAUUUAGUACAAAUGACAUUAGGAAAUAUUGUGAGAGAAUUAUCUCUAUUUAUAUAAUAGAGUUUCUAGUUUCAUUCUGACAUUGACACGUGUUGUGUUGUGAUUAUUUCUGAUGUUGACACGUGUCGCGCUAUGAUUGGCUUCUGAUGUCGACACGUGUCGCGCUGUGAUUGGCCUCCUGGUUGGAGGGAAACUCUUAUGGGUCCUUGACGGUAUAAUGUUGACUGGUGCUCAGUAGUUUCGAAAUUGGUUAAGUAUGGUACAAACAGCAAGCAAAUUAAAUACGUAGGGUAGGGCGGGCGAUUAUACCGCUCCACCUAAAAUUUGCAGUAAAAUUAAAUCUGUAAUUCAAGAUAGGCGAUGAUACCGCACCAUCUUGGAUCGCAGUAAGAUGAAAUUUGCAGUUCAAGAUGGGCGAUUGUACCGCACCAUCUUAGAUUGCAGUAAAAAUAAAUAUUGGGUUAGUAAUCAAUAUCUAUACCAAACAAGAAAUCAAAGAUGUAUGUAACUGUUAGGUUGAGAACGAGAAGCAGGCAUGGAGCAAAUAGUUCGUCGCGAGGGUAUAUCGCGUAGUUGAGGCAGAGGAAGAAGAUGAACAGUAAAAACCUUAGAGGAAACAUUUUUUCUGUCGGCAAAGAGAGAUGAGAAAAGGUUAUAUUUAGAGAGUUGUGCUGAUAACGUGUUAUAAAUAUGUCAAAGUUAGAGAGAUAACCUUUUUAGUAAAUGAUGGAGCAAAGCAGGUGUAAAAUGUUACACUGAAAUUAUAGCACUAGGGGAUGACAAACAAAAGAGGGAGGAAUAGAUGAUGUUAUUGAGCUUUCUUUCUUUCUGUAUGUUUUCUCUGUAUAUACAUCGAUGGCAGUAGGAGUGCUCUAUUUAUAGAGCGAAUCCAUACGAACAAAUUCUUAAAGUUUGAAAUUUACAACUCAUAGCUUGGACAAUACAACAUUUUGUUUCCAAAGUCUUCAUCAUAUUUGUGUGGGUAUUGACAAAGAACUUAUGUAGGCAUUCAUCAGAUAGCCGAUGGUUUCAUCAGCUAAUGUUUUCAACUACCAAUAUUGACUGCCAAUGGUUUCAACAUAUACAUAUAUAUACAUACACACACACACACACACACACACAUAUAUAUAUAUGAAGAUGUUAGUUUUAUUACUUGCAUUUUAUUGAGAGUCUAAAUCCCACGUUGAAGAAAGAAGAGAUCUUGCAUAUGCUUAUAAGAAAAGAUCUUGCAUGUGCUUAUAAGAAGGGACAUUGCAUGUGCUUAUAAAUAGAAAGAAUGAACCAAAGUCAGUCCCCUCUUUUACCUUUCUUCCCUCUUUAAAAUGGAAUAAAAUUAAAACUGUGACAAAUAUCAAUGUUUGCUAUCUCUCUCUCUUUCUCUCUCUCUCUCUGCCUUCCAAGCAAAAAUCUCACUCUUCCAAAAAUCGCAGCCCCUCCCAUGCACCUCAACUAUUUGUAAGUUUUUUAAUUCCUAAUCUCAUGCUUUAUGUUAUUAAGGGUUGUAAUGUAAAUGAUGCUGAGUAAGUGUUGUUAGAGUUGUUGUGAGAAGUUUGUUAUACCUUACUUAGUUAAUAAGUUAGGUAGUUAUCCUAUAUGUAAAUGAUGGUAUAUAUACCAAAAGUGUAACAUUAUUCAAGUAAUGAAAAUCACAAUUUCAUUUUUCUAUUAUCUCUCUAUCUUUCUUACUGGAUCUCUCUCUAGAUUCUAACAAGGUAUUUAUCGCCGGUGUCUAACGACUUCUGAUGAUGCUUCGUAUCCCUACGUUCUCUGUGUUCUCUCUUUUUGCAUUUCUACACUACCAACAAUGGCGGUCUCUCCUCCACCUCUCUCUGAUUAUACGUCGCAGUCAUCUCCUGCAAAUUCUUCAGCCCCAAAUUUGUGCCCUAAUUCGGUCAAUUCUUUGAUCACAAUUCAAAACAUUAGCUCGCUGGUCCCGAUCAAACUGACGAUUACAGAUUGGAUCACCUGGAGUGCUUUAUUUGCACUGAUCUUUUGUCGGUACAAUCUCACUGGAAUAAUUGAUAGUUCCAUGGUGGCGCCGCCUAAGUAUCUUCUUGGUUGUUUAGGAAAUUGCAUUUCGACUGUGAAUCCUCAAUAUGUGACGUGGUUUGAGAAUGAUUAGAACAUUCUGAUCUGGAUCAAUUAGGCACUCUCGGAUUCUCUGAUCCCUUACACUGUUGGUGUUACCUCUGCUCGUGAUCUGUGGGCAAAAUUGGAGUCUCGCAUUGCGACGGCAUCUCAAUCACACAUUCAUGAACUUCGUGCUCGCCUUCGAACAAUUACUAAAGGCGAUUCCACUGCGGCUGCUUAUCUUCAACAAAUUGAAGAAAUCGCUGAUGCUAUUGCGACUGCUGGUGCUCCGAUUGAUGAUUCAGAACUCAUCUCUAUUAUUCUUCAUGAAUUACCGCUUGAAUAUGAUGCCUUUAAUGAUACUAUUCAGUUUUGUCUUGGUUCAACCAUUAUUGAUGAGUUACACGGCUUGUUGCUAAGUAAGGAGAUUCAAUUGGCAAAUCGUAAGAAGGUUUCUCCAUCAGCGCCAUUUCAAGCUUAUAAUUCCUUUGCCGACAUUCUUCCUACACCACUCGGUGACUCCAAUUCUCAGGCGUAUUAUGUUCAACAGAGCUCCAAUUUCAAUUCUUCACAAGGCCAUGGCAUGGAUUGGAAUUUUUCUAACCCUAGAAAUUUUCAGUAUCGCCCCAAUAACUCUCGAUCUUACAAUUCUCGCUCGAAUUUCUCUCGCCAAGGUCAACAGAAGAAUAAUCGUGGCUCCAGAUCCAAUUUCAAUAAUUUCAACAAAAGAAAUUCAUGUUAAAUUUGUUGUCAACUUGAUCAUGAGGUUAUUAAUUGUCCGCAUCGUAUGAAUCCUAGUUAUGGCAACAAGAAUUCACAGACAACUUUUCAUGCUAACACUUCUCUUCCACCACUCCAACAUGGCUUCUUGAUACUGGCGCCAGUUCUCAUAUGACCAACUUUUACACAAAUCUUCAAAGUCCUGAAUCCUACAAUGGUCCUGAGCAGGUCUAUAUUGGCGACGACAAAUGUUUGCCUAUUACUCACUCUGGUUCUUCUAGUCACGCCCCGAUCCCGACAUACGUCCAGGAUCGAUACGUGACGUCACUAAAUACUCGUAUAACUCACAUACCCCGUCUCCAGGUUAUGGAAAAUCACAAUUCGAGAAUCAAAUUGCAAAGUAAUUUUUCGUUUACCUUAUGGCUGCAUCUAACCUCCUUGUUAAACUACCUAGGUACCCUCAAUAGGGAUCAAGUCAUUCGUAGUUCACUUAUCACAAAAUCAGACGUUUAUUCCAUUAAGUUCAAGCAUAAAAGUAUAGCAUUCCUCAAUCAUUUAUUAUAACCUGUCAACAUGUAAUUCCUGGACUCAGGCUACAUAACCAAUCCCCAUGAAAACAUGAUUUCUCUCCCAUCCAACAUAUAAAUCAUUAUGUCUCAUCAUGAUAUCGCAAUUCACAACACACAUCAUAUUUAAGAGCCGAUGAAACACAAAACCAUUCUCUAGCCACAUUAAUUACUUAAUUUGAUCAAGUAAUAACAAUCAUUCCCAUAUCUUCUAAAUUCAUACCUUAUGAAAUCAUAAUCGAAUCAUAGAAAAUCCAGAAGGAGUCACUCAGACGUCCAACAUCUUUUCUAACUCAAUUCACAAGACUCUCGAAACCAUUGACACAAAUAUAUAUAAAACUAAGGCUAGAGUGACACAGUUAGGCCAAGCCUACUUCUCCAAAUAAUGGGAUUUUAGGCCACUCCACGAAAUUCAACAACCUCGAGUUCCGGACCAUUCAACGAAACCAACCCAAAUAUGAUCACCUAUAAAAUGUACCAGGUACAACCAAUCAUCAUCACCUCUAGAAUGUGUAUGGUCCCCCAUCGCGGAUAUACCAAGCAGAACCAUAGGCAUAAUCUCAUCAUGCAAGCAGUGAUUAGCCAUCGCGGAUAUACCAAGCAUGAUCACCCCUGAAUACAUAUGGUCUCCCAUCACGGAUAUACCAAGCAGAACCAUAGGCAUAAUCUCAUCCUGCAGGCAGUGAUCACCUAUCGUGGAUAUACCAAGCAUGAUCACCCCUAAAUACAUAUGGUCCCCCAUCGUGGAUAUACCAAGCAGGACCACAUCCUAGCUCUAGAUAGUGACCACCCAUCGCAGAUUAACCAAGCAGGGUCAAGAUAACCAAGUAGGUAGUGACCCCCCAACACGAAUUAACCCAGCAAAACCAUCCAUGUACUAGGGCUACACGGUGCAGUUAGAUCAACACACAAACCACUUACCCUUAUCUCAUCCGCUAUGAUUUACAUCGUAAUCACUUGCACUAUCAACUUCUCAUGACCACUAUCUUAUCAUACAAGCAUAAAAGUUCCACAUAAACUUCUCAUAAGAUUUUGGGUUCACAUCGUCAUAAAAACAAUCAUUCACAUCAUACAUAUCUAACCACAUUUCAUAAACGUUUCCAAGCUACAGUAGAUUCACAAUUACUAAACAUAGAUCGAUGCUAAAAAUAAAAAUAACAAUUCAAUAAGAAACACAUUUAAUCAACAAGUAUAACUCGAUAUUAGGCCUGGCAAUUCCUGACACGACCCAAUAACCCGACACGACACGACACGAAAUUAACAGGUGUUCGGGUCGACACGAUAACGAAACGGGUCGUUAUCGGGUAACCCGAUAAGCACCUGUUAAGAUAACGGGUUGUUUCGGGUAUACACGUGGGUAACACGAUACACGAUAAGCAGAAUAUUAAUUUAAUAAUUUUAUAACCCUAAAAAAAAUACUAUAAUUACUAUAUAUAUUAAUUUAACAAUUUUAUACGCCUAAAAACUAUAAUAAUAUAUAUAUAUAUAUAUAUAUAAUAUAUAUAUAUAUUAUAUUAACUAUAAUAAUUAUAAUAAUUAUAUAUACUAUAAUAAUUAUACCCCCAAAUAUUAACUAUAAUAGUUAUAUUUAUAUAUAUAUAUAUAUUAAAUUUUAAAUUAAAUUUUAUACCCCUAAAAACUAUAAUAAUUAUACAUACAAAAUAAAUAGAUUUAAAUCUACUUAAUAAAUAAAUAAAUAUACACACACACACACACACCAUUGAACUUCAUGGGAUACGAAUUAUACGAAACUAAUUUCAAUAAUUCAACCGUCAAACUUGUUUGUAUAUGCUUCGAGAUCGCAUCAGCAAAAAAUUACAAAAACCAAACAUUCACAGAUCAAGUAACGAUACAAAACUUUUCGACGGUUAUAAACGAAAAAUCACGAUUUAACGGUUAUUUUAACUCCGAUUUUGAUGAUUUUUUACAGCUACACUCCUUGACCCUAUAUGAAUACAAUGAAUGAAUUCGAUCUUCAAUUUAAAAUAUUUACACUAGUAGAUAACACAAAAUCUUAUGUUAUAUUUGAUAAAAGUAUGAAUAAACUCUUAAGUGUUAGUGAAUCUAUUGUUUUGAUGAGAUACGCAUUCUACGAAACUAGUUUCAACAAUCCAACCGUCAAACAUGUUUGUAUAUACUUCGAGAUCGCAUAUGCCAAAAAUUGAAAAAAACAAACAUUCAGAGAUCAAGUAACGAGACAAAACCUUUCGACGGUUAUAAACGAAAAAUCACGAUUUAACGGUUAUUUUAACUCCAAUUUUGAUAAUUUUUUACAGCUACACUCCUUGACCCUAUAUGAAUACAAUGAAUGAAUUCGAUCUUCAAUUUAAAAUAUUUACACUAGUGGAUACCACAAAAUCUUAUGUUAUAUUUAAUGAAAAUAUGAAUAAACUCUUAAGUGUUAGUGAAUUUAUUGUUUUGAUGAGAUGCGCAUUUUACGAAACUAGUUUCAACGAUCCAACCGUCAAACUUGUUUGUAUAUGCUUCGAGAUCGUAUACACCAAAAAUUGCAAAAAACAAACAUUCAGAGAUCAAGUAAUGGGACAAAACUUUUCGACGGUUAUAAACAAAAAAUCACGAUUUAACGGUUAUUUUAACUCUGAUUUUGAUGAUUUUUUACAGCUACACUCCUUGACCCUAUAUAAAUACAAUGAAUGAAUUCAAUCUUCAAUUUAAAAUAUUUACACUAGUGGAUACCACAAAAUCUUAUGUUAUACUAGAUGAAAGUAUAAAUAAAAUCUUUAAAUGUUAGUGAAUCUAUUGUUUUGAUGAGAUACACAUUCUACGAAACUAGUUUCGACAAUCCAACCGUCAAAAUUGUUUGUAUAUGCUUUGAGAUCACAUAUGCCAAAAAUUGCAAAAAACAAACAUUCAGAAAUCAAGUAACGGGACAAAAAAUUUCGACGGUUAUAAACGAAAAAUCACGAUUUAACGGUUAUUUUAAUUCUAAUUUUGAUGAUUUUUUAAAUUUACACUCCUUGACCCUAUAUGAAUACAAUGAAUGAAUUCGAUCUUCAAUUUAAAAUAUUUACACUAGUGGAUACCACAAAAUCUUAUGUUAUACUUAAUGAAAAUAUUAAUAAACUCUUAAGUGUUAGUGAAUAUAUUGUUUUGAUAAGAUACGCAUUUUGCAAAACUAGUUUCAACGAUCCAACUGUCAAACUUCUUUGUAUAUGCUUCGAGAUCGCAUAUGCCAAAAAUUGCAAAAAAAGAAACAUUCAGGGACCAAGUAACGAGACAAAACUUUUCGACGGUUAUAAACGAAAAAUCACGAUUUAACGGUUAUUUUAACUCCGAUUUUGAUGAUUUAUUACAGCUACACUCUUGACCCUAUAUAAAUACAAUGAAUGAAUUUGAUCUUCAAUUUAAAAUAUUUACACAAGUGGAUACCACAAAAUCUUAUGUUAUACAUAAUGAAAAUAUUAAUAAACUCUUAAGUGUUAGUGAAUAUAUUGUUUUGAUGAGAUACACAUUUUGCGAAACUAGUUUCAACGAUCCAACCGUCAAACUUGUUUGUAUAUGCUUUGAGAUCGCAUAUGCCAAAAAUUGCAAAAAACAAACAUUCAGAGAUCAAGUAAUGGGACAAAACUUUUCGACGGUUAUAAACAAAAAAUCACGAUUUAACGGUUAUUUUAACUCCGAUUUUGAUGAUUUUUUACAGCUACACUCCUUGACCCUAUAUAAAUACAAUGAAUGAAUUCGAUCUUCAAUUUAAAAUAUUUACACUAGUGGAUACCACAAAAUCUUAUGUUAUACUAGAUGAAAGUAUAAAUAAAAUCUUUAAAUGUUAGUGAAUCUAUUGUUUUGAUGGGAUACACAUUCUACGAAACUAGUUUCGACGAUCCAACCGUCAAAAUUGUUUGUAUAUGCUUUGAGAUCACAUAUGCCAAAAAUUGCAAAAAACAAACAUUCAGAGAUCAUGUAACGGGACAAAACCUUUCGACGGUUAUAAACGUAAAAUCACGAUUUAACGGUUAUUUUGACUCCGAUUUUGAUGAUUUUUUUACAGCUAUACUCCUUGACCCUAUAUAAAUACAAUGAAUGAAUUCGAUCUUCAAUUUAAAAUAUUUACACUAGUGGAUACCACAAAAUCUUAUGUUAUACUUGAUGAAAGUAUGAAUAAAAUCUUUAAAUGUUAGUGAAUCUAUUGUUUUGAUGGGAUACAUAUUCUACGAAACUAGUUUCGACGAUCCAACCGUCAAACAUGUUGUAUAUACUUCGAGAUUGUAUAUGCCAAAAAUUGCAAAAAAAAAACAAUCAGAGAUCAAAUAACGAGACAAAACUUUUCGAUGGUUAUAAACGAAAAAUCACGAUUUAACGGUUACUUUAACUCCGAUUUUGAUAAUUUUUUACAGCUACACUCCUUGACCCUAUAUGAAUACAAUGAAUGAAUUCGAUCUUCAAUUUAAAAUAUUUACACUAGUGGAUACCACAAAAUCUUAUGCUAUACUUGAUGAAAGUAUGAAUAAAAUCUUUAAAUGUUAGUGAAUCUAUUGUUUUGAUGGGAUACGCAUUCUACGAAACUAGUUUCGACGAUCCAACCGUCAAACAUGUUUGUAUAUACUUCGAGAUUGUAUAUGCCAAAAAUUGCAAAAAAUAAACAUUUAGAGAUCAAGUAACGCGACAAAACUUUUCGAUGGUUAAAAACGAAAAAUCACGAUUUAACGGUUAUUUUAACUCCGAUUUUGAUAAUUUUUUACAGCUACACUCCUUGACCCUAUAUGAAUACAAUGAAUGAAUUCGAUCUUCAAUUUAAAAUAUUUACAUUAGUGGAUACCACAAAAUCUUAUGUUAUACUUAAUGAAAAUAUUAAUAAACUCUUUAAGUGUUAGUGAAUAUAUUGUUUUGAUGAGAUACGCAUUUUGCGAAACUAAUUUCAACGAUCCAACCGUCAAACUUUUUUUUAUAUGCUUCGAGAUCGCAUAUGCCAAAAAUUGCAAAAAACAAACAUUUAGAGAUGAAGUAACGAGACAAAACAUUUCGACGGUUAUAAACGAAAAAUCACGAUUUAACGGUUAUUUUAACUCAGAUUUUGAUGAUUUUUUACAGCUACACUCCUUGACCCUAUAUAAAUACAGGGAAUGAAUUCGAUUUUCAAUUUAAAAUAUUUACACAAGUGGAUACCACAAAAUCUUAUGUUAUACUUAAUGAAAGUAUGAAUAAAAUCUUUAAGUGUUAGUGAAUCUAUUGUUUUGAUGGGAUACGCAUUCUACGAAACUAGUUUCGACGAUCCAACCAUCAAACAUGUUUGUAUAUACUUCGAGAUUGCAUAUGCCAAACAUUGCAAAAAACAAACAUUCAGAGAUCAAGUAACGAGACAAAACUUUUCGACGGUUAUAAACGAAAAAUCACGAUUUAACGGUUAUUUUAACUCCGAUUUUGAUGAUUUUUUACAGCUACACUCCUUGACCCUAUAUGAAUACAAUGAAUGAAUUCGAUCUUCAAUUUAAAAUAUUUACAUUAGUGGAUACCACAAAAUCUUAUGUUAUACUUAAUGAAAGUAAGAAUAAACUCUUAAGUGUUAGUGAAUAUAUUGUUUUUGAUGAGAUACGCAUUUCUACGAAACUAGUUUUCAACGAUCUAACCGUCAUACUUGUUUGUACGCCAAAAAAUUGCAAAAACAAACAUUUAAAGAUUAAGUAACGGGACAAAACUUUUCGACGGUUAUAAACGAAAAAUCACAAUUUAACGGUUAUUUUAACUCCGAUUUUGAUGAUUUUUUACAACUACACUCCUUGACCCUAUAUGAAUACAAUGAAUGAAUUCAAUCUUCAAUUUAAAAUAUUUACACUAGUGGAUACCACAAAAUCUUAUGUUAUACUUAAUGAAAGUACGAAUAAACACUCUAGUGGGUCACUUUCAUUAAGUUUUGAGUUCCAUUGGCAAUGUUUAAACUUUUGAAAAAGGCUUCACAAGCUUGAAAAAAAAAAACGGUUUCAUUUGUCAUAUCCUUGCACAUUUAAUAUUUGUAAUAGAUUAGUAGUGUAUGGAUGUAUUUUUUAUGAGGCUCUUAUUUUCGAAUGUAGAUGUAGUCCUUAAACGACAAAUGUGUUUUAAUGUUUUGAAGUAUUAUUUAUGUGACAAUGUGUGGUAUGUGCAAAUUUAAGAAAAAAAAAUAUUUUUCUUAACGGGUCAUAACGGGUCGGGUCACUUUACCCCGGGUCGGGUCACUUUACCCGUUGGGUAAAGUGACCCGACCUGUUAAUGACCCGUUAAGAUAACAGGUGUGACACGACACGACCCGUUAAGAUAACAGGUGUUACACAAAAACGACACGAACACGACUGACACGACCCGUUUGCCAGGCCUACUCAAUAUGGUGCCACUAAUACAUAUACCGAGCCACACGUCAACUGGGAACGACACAUCAUCGUGAUGAGCCAACUAAGCUCCAUCAAGCCUCAACAACAUACUAGAGGUAAGCGACCUCAAGAGUAGAGCACGUUGACUAGAACGUCAACCGUCGAUAAGGUAGGUCCAUUAAGGUCAACCUAAGGUUAUUCAAUCCAGAAGAUCCGCACAUCGGAUUUCCAAUCUGUAAGUUCUCAAAGGUCCAAGAACUGAUAACUAGGGUGUUUACAAAAUUGUACGACGAACCAACAAUCAGAUUGUCAUCAAUCACAUAAACAAGUGACAGUCCAAUUUAAUCCCCACACCAAACAAUUGAAUUUCGGGAAACCGAGCUAGACAUAGAUUUACAAGUUCCCUAUAAAGUAUUUGGUACUUAGACAACACUCGUGGACGGUCCCAAGCACCGCCACGCACCGCCACACGCCGGGUAGUCAAAGUGGAGAGUUUAGUAACCCCGAAUUUCCAACAUUAACUAAAUGAACUCAAAUUUACGUGGUAGCUAGAGUUCAACAAGGGAAACAUUUUUCACAACUAUGCCGACGACAAAUUCUAACCGGAAACCGUCCAAAUUCACAGGAGAAAACCAGAUUUCUAGGGUUCUAAACACCCAACUCUAAAAUAAAUACUAAAGCAUGAACAAAGCAUACCAACUUGAAGAUUAGGAAGAGUAGAUGAAGUUUCAUACCUCACUCAAAGGAAAUGAUUGUCGUAAUCAUCGAAAAAAUGAUAAAACCGCCGAAAACCCAAGAGAUUUUUCUGCCUCGAACUGGAAAAAUGGAAAAGAAAAAAGAAAAUCUAACACUACAGAGAUGUAAGACUCGUCAAGAGCUUUCCAUAGACACCAAGAUCAUCCAAAACGAAGCUCGGAUGAAGGAGAUAUAAGCGGGUCAAGUUGACGGGUUAAAAGGUUGAAAUCGCCCCAAAAACGGGUCAAAAUCAGACCUCUCCUUCUUUCAUUUUUUUUUAUUUUUUUUAUUUUUAGAAACCUUCCCCCCUACCCCCUUUUAUUUGAUUGGUCAUUCUCCUUCUAGCUAAUUGGUCAUCUUAUUUUUGCUUAAAUCUGAUUAAGCUUCUUCCUUGUGGAAGUUUAAUUGAUUUAAAAUCUAUAAUUUAGUAAAACAACUUUAAAUGUCCGUAAUUAUACCGUUAUAAUCCGAACUCGUGAAUGGCUUUCGCCAAUACGUUCAUGGUUUCAAGAUCUAUUCGAAAAUGCUACUUGUGACCUCGAAAGGUCAACGAGUAAAUAAUAAUUUUCCAAACUUCACUCUUCGUAACUAGUUUAAUUGAAAUCUAAAUUCAAAUAAAUUAAUAUAAAUUCUCAAAAAAUAAUAUAAAAUCUCAAUAAUACAAAUAUGUAGAUUAUAACAGUGAAAUCCAGGAACGGGAUUUCACACUUCUAGUCUUUAUACUUCUACUCAUACGUUUGAUUUGAACAAUGUGAUGCAUGUUCUUGAUUUGAAACAAGAUUUGACUUCUACAAAUCGAUUUCUAGUUGAGAACUGGUGCUCCAUUCAUCUCUAUCCCUUUCACUUCAUUAUAAAGGAUCCCACUUCGGGGAAUGAGCUUUUUAAAGGCCCUGUCAAAGUUAGAUUCUAUCACUUUCUUGCACCCUCUGUUGUUGGAAACCAUCAUGCUUAUGUGAUCAGUACUAAAGCUUCUCAAGGCAUCUGGCAUCAACGUUUAGGCCAUCCAUCUUUCAAGAUUUUAAAUAAACUAGCUUCAAAGUCUAGUAUCUCUUGGUCAGAUAGGAUAAAUAAAUUUGUGUGCUCCAGUUGUGCUUUAGGUAAAUGUUCUCGAAAAUCAUUUACCUCUAUUUCUUGUAACAUAAGCAAACUUCUUGAGCUAUUGCACACUGAUGUAUGGGGUCCUGUGCCCAUUUCUUCUGUCAAUGGAUAUCGAUAUUAUCUUCUCUUGGUUGAUGAUUUUACUAAGUAUUCUUGGUUCUUUCCAUUGAAGUACAAAUCUGAAGUUUUCAGUACAUUUGUUCAUUUCAAAUCAAUGGUUGAAAACAUGUUGGGAUUCAAGGUUAUUACUAUGCGACCUGACUCUAGUGGUGAAUUUGUCAAUCGCAACUUCCCUGAUUUCUUUAAAACACAUGGGAUCUCUCAUCAACUCAACUGCCUUCAUAUCCAGAACAAAAUGGUUGUGCUGAAAGAAAGCACAUGCAUUUAGUUGAAACUGCCCAGACUAUUGUUACUGCAUCUCAAGUUCUUCAUAUCUAUUGGGUUAAAACAUUUUCAACAGCUCUUUAUCUCAUCAAUCGAAUGCCCACUAGUGGUAAACCCUCUUAUUGGGAACUCUUAUUUCAUAAACCACCAGAUUACACAACUCUCAAGGUCUUUGGUUGUAGGUGCUUUCCUUGGUUAAAACCUUACACAUUUUCUAAGCUUGAUCCUAAAAGCAAACCUUGUGUAUUUUUGGGAUAUAGACUAAAUCACAAAGGCUAUAGAUGUUUGGAUGCUCACACUGGGAAACUUUAUAUUUCCAGACAUAUAAUCUUUGAUGAACACACAUUUCCAUUUCAUCAUAACCAAUCCACUGUGAGUCAUCUUCCUCCAGUUCAACCUAUUUCCAAUUUCCCAUCCAUCCCAACCUCAUUAACCUUUACUCAUUCCUUUACUCCUUCUUCAUCAUCUGCUUUAUUAAACUCACCCUCACAAUCCAAUUCCUUAUUUACUUCACAUACUCCUUCACUUUCAGAUCCCUUACAUACCUCCUCCUUAUUCACCAUCUUCCCCCUAUAACUAAUAUUCAUCAUAUGAAGUCUGGCAUUUUCAAACCUAAGGCUAUUUUAGCAACUAAACAUCCUCUCCCAUCUCAUCUAUCUCCUGAUUACACACCUUCCACAUAUCUUCAAGCAUCUAAACACUUGCACUGGAGGUAAGCUAUGCAGGAAGAGUUCAAUGCUCUACUUCAAACUGGUACAUGGUCUCUGGUACCUCCUGAUUCCUCUCAAAACUUGGUAAGGUGUAAUUGGGUUUUCCAUAUUAAAAGAAAGCUUGAUGGUUACAAAGCCCAUCUUGUUGCUAAAGGAUUUCAUCUGCAACAAGGUCUAGAUUACAAUGAAACCUUCAGUCUGGUUGCAAAACCAAUUACCAUUCGACUUCUCUUAACCUUAGCAGCUAAAUUUGAUUGGUUUAUCAAAUAGUUAGAUGUUAGUAAUGCAUUUCUGCAUGGCAAUCUCACUGAGUCUGUUUUAAUGGUUCAACCUCCCAGGUUUGAAGAUCCUGCUCAACCACAUCAUGUUUGUACAUUGCACAAGUCUCUGUAUGGCCUAAAACAAGCUCCCAAAGCUUGGUUUGCCAAGUUAAUAGCUGCAUUACACUCUAUUGGAUUCUUUGGCUCUCAAAAUGACCAUUCUUUAUUUGUUAAGAAAGAUGCUUCAAUGGUAUAUGUCUUGGUGUAUGUUGAUAAUAUUUUAGUUACAGGACCAGAUUCUGCAACAUGUAAAACUAUGAUUUCUCAACUUUGUGAGUUAUAUCCUGUUAAGGAUUUGGGAUCACUUCAUUAUUUUUUAGGUAUUGAGGUCAAGAGAUCUUCUAAGGGCAUAUUUAUCUCUCAAACUAAAUACAUUCUGGAUCUUCUCAAGAAGGCACACAUGGAGGGUGCUAAACCCUGUGUCACUCCACUGAGCACAACUAAAUUGGAUCACUCUUCUCCAUUACUGUCCAAUCCAAAAGAAUACAGAUCCUUAGUUGGAGGGCUUCAAUACUUAACCUGGACUCGACCAGAUUUGUCAUUUGCAGUAAAUCUUGUUUGUUAGUUCAUGCAAUGUCCAUGAGAAUCUCAUUUCCAGGUUGUUAAACGCAUUUUUAGAUAUUUGAAAGGCAAUAUUUCUCUUGGUCUCUAGUUUCCAAAAUGUUUUGCACCUCUUAGUAUUCAUAGUUUUUCAGAUGCAGAUUGGGCCGGUUGCACUAUUGAUCGGCGUUCCACAGGUGGUUUCUGUAUUUUUCUGGGUGAUUCACUUAUAAGUUGGAGUGCUAAGAAACAACCCACCGUGGCUAGAUCAUCAACUGAAGCAGAAUACCGAUCUUUAGCUACCACCGCUGUUGAGUUAACUUGGAUUUGCAAAUUGUUAGUUGAUAUUGGUCUUGUUCUUCCCUGUCCUCCUAAACUUUGGUGUGAGAACAUAUAUGUUAUAUCUAUUGCUAAGAAUCGCCUUUUUCAUGCUCAAACCAAGCAUGUGGAGAUUGACUACCACUUCAUUUGGGAGAAAGUCUUGGUAAAUUCUAUCACAUUGCACUUUGUAUGUACACAGGAUCAAACUACAUAUAUUUGCACUAAAGCAUUAUCCAAGGGUCGGUUUCUUCUUCUCCGAGACAAACUUUCUCUUCAGCUACCUCAGCUUAGUUUGAGGGAGGAUAUUAAGGGUAGUAAUGUAAAUGAUGCUUAGUAAGUGUUGUUAGAGUUGUUGUGAGAAGUUUGUUAUACCUUACUUAGUUAAUAAGUUAAGUAGUUAUCCUAUAUGUAAAUGAUGGUAUAUAUACCAAAAUCGUAACAUUAUUCAAGUAAUGAAAAUCACAAUUUCAUUUCUCUCUUCUCUCUCUAUCUUUCUUACUGGAUCUCUCUCUAGAUUCUAACAUCUAUCUCUAAGAAUGGAAGAAAUAUAUAUAUAUAUCUGAAGAUGUUAGUUAUAUUAUUUGCAUUUUGUUAAGAGUCUGAAUCCCAUGUUGGAGAAAGAAAUGACAUUGCAUAUGCUUAUAAAUAGUUAAAAUUCUUGCAAUUGAUGAAGUGUGUUUAAUUAGAUUCUAGUUUUUGCUUAGAAAUUUUAUUCAAAUUUGAAGAAUAAGUUGUAUGGAUUUUUGAAGAAUUUGACAGAAAUUGUGUUGCAUGAUGAAUAGAGUGGUAAACAGGUGAAUGUGACUAGAGUUUGAUAACAGAAGAAGAUUUAGAAAAGCCAACAACCUGUAUGAAGAAGAUAGGAUUCUUGAAGCUAGUCCUUCCCUCAAGAAAUCCCAGAUAGACCCCGAAAAUUUUUAAUUUUUUUAUACAAGCGAUGUUAAGUGAGGGAGAUAAUGGAAGUUGGGACCUCAAGUGCAAAGAGCUGAUUUUUCUUAACCAACUCUUGAAACUAUGGAAAAAUCCCAUUUCAUAAUUUUAGUUUUAUUCACUAUGCAAGCAAAAAACCAUCUGCAAUGCUUCUGAUCUCCCUUUUUCUCUGUGUCUGUCUACAAAUUUCAUGUCAAGUCUUCUGCAAUAGGGAGAGAACUCCAUAUGGCACGCAGGGAAAUAGGUCGAUUCAAAGAAAGCAGAACGGACACAGACGCCUUAAAGAGCACAAGCGCAAUCCGAGAUGACUGAUACAAUGAAGAGAGCUAAAGAUUUGUCUUCUGUAAUUGAGGAAUCAAUCUCCAAGGCGAAAUCACGUACGCGAGAGAUUCAAGUACUAAAGAAAUCGCGAAGGCACGUAGGUAGGCGGGAAGAUCAGGUAUUGGCAAUUGGGGAUGUGGACAAUAAAAAAUAUACAGAAGUGAUGAGAGAAUUCGAACUUGUGAGACAGGAACUAAGCAUGCUUAAGCUUGAUAUGGCAUCGAUUUUACAAGAGAAAUUGGGGACAGAGAAGCAAACAGAGGCCUCAAAAGCAAAGAUGUUGUUUUAUACAAGCUUAAGCUUGUUAACGACCCAACUCGUUAACAAGUUAUUAUAGGAUACCCGAUAAUGAUCCGACUCAUUAACAGAUUGACUCGAAACUUGUUAUUUUUUUGUCAUUUUGUAUAUGAUUAACGGGUUCGUAAGAAAUUACCAAGCCUACAAUAUACUGUGGCUGAAGGGAUACCAAAAUUUUCAACUCAACAACAAUCAAAGAGAGUAUACUAUUAGGGCCCGUUUGUUUGGCUUCACUAAGUUUCAUUGGACUAGAUUGGAUUAGCUUUUAGUGUAGUCCAACAUUUGUUGUGAUGAGGGACUAAUAUUAAUGAGAUUAGCUGGGACUCGCCCAGACUAACGGCAUCGCUAGCAGUUCUUAGCGAGAGUCCCCGAAAACCACAGGACUAGCUAAGGCCUGCUUCGUCCUACUCCCGUUGCUCUGCUGGCGUUCUCUCUGCAACCCAAGCUUCAUCUUCUUUGCGACCACUUCAUCUUCUCUACAACCAUAGCGUCCUCUCUUUGCACACAUCUGCACAUCUUCGCAAAUCCGCUUGAAUCACAAAACCCAUAUUUGAAUCACAAAACCCAGACACGAAUUGCAAAUUCCAUAUUUGAAUUGCAAACCCAGAUUCGAAUUGCAAAACCAAGUUUGUUUGAAUCUCUGCAAAACCCAGAUUUGAUAAGAAAAUUUUGUAGCCUAAAAUCCAAAAGGAAAUAACCAAAACCCAAGGGUGCUUUGCAUACCAAAUUCCUUUUGCAACUUUCAAGAGAGAUGGAGAUUCUAGAUAGGGAAAUUGGGGCACAAUUUCUUUUUAUUUUUUAUUUUUGGAUCCAUUUGGUGCACAAUUAUAUAUGUACAAAGUUCAUUUGUUUUCGGGAGAAGGGAUGCAGUUGACUAGAAAAAAGAGAAAGAAAAAGAAAAAAAAAUGAAAAAAGAGAAUUAUUUUUUAUUAUUUUGGUUAUUAGUCCGACACUGCAUCAAAUGCUUCACUAAGUUAGUCCAGUUUAUUCUAGUCUAAACCAGUCCAGCUUAGUCCCUACAGCUAGUCCAGUUCGAGACAGUCCGGUGCAACAAACGCACCCUUACAUUAUUACAACCAUUCCUAAUAACAGAAUGUAGUAGUCAAUAAUACAGGAAUGAAUAACUGAAACAGCUGUGUAAAUCAAAUUUAACAGCUAAACACCCCUAGUAUUGAAUGGUACGUAAAAUUAAAGUCACACCCUAGAAUAAGUUUAAACUAAAAAAUGUAGGAAAAUGUUUUGGUUCUAUAAUUUAAACACAGUGCCAUCAAAUUACCUAUAUAUUGUUCAUAACUUGUACAAUUUUAACCGCCCGUAAGAAGAAAGAGAGAAAAGGAAGAAACAACAAAUUGGAACUUGUACAAUUUUAACUGCCUCUAAGAAGAAAGAGAGAAAAGGAAGAAACAACAAAUUGGAUUUUGGACGGGACUCGAACCAAAUCCGCCGUCCAUCCGAUCAUGUAAUGAAACCGUCACAAAAAAUGCAGCAAAGUAUUGCUCUUCCUUUCUUGAAAACCCUUUUCUCAACGAGUGCACCAAAAAAUGAAUAAAUUGUUUGUAUUAACUGGAUGAUCCUCACCUGAGAUAACGAGACGCAAAGUAAAACUCUUGCCACCCCUUACAGAGACAAAUCAAAUUUUAUUGGUUCUGAGUUUCCUCUGGUCCCUUUGCUUUGCCUCUGAGCAUGUCAGUGAAAUUCCCCCGCAUUAUUCGCCUUAAUCUAGUGUCUUCUGCAGGUGGUGAAGGUGUGGCCUUUGGGGACUCAACGGGCUCUGGUGGUGGCUCGGGACUUUCUUUCUUUCCCAGUAGACCACCUUCACCAAAGAAACUACUCACGGAGGAUGUAAGCCCAGCCCCCAUCACCUUACUGAUGGUAUCAAAAGUUCCACCAGAUCUCUCCUUCAUUAUAAUUUCAAGGGCUUCUUUGUGUGCAGGGUCAAGCGCAUCAGAGUCUCUAAAUAAGUUCUGUAUUGCAGGCAUAAGAAAGUCCCGAACACUAUUUGCUGAAAUAUCUGGAUUAAUUACGUAUAUUUGAAAUCAAUAUCAGCAACAUAUUACAAAAGCUGAAAAUUCUGGAACAUAGGGUUACGAAUAUAAACUAUAACUGUAGGUCAUUGUUUUAACAUCAUAGUAGGUCAUCAAAAGUCCGCACACAUAUUACCAAUCAGUUAAGAAUCCUAUGAAGCUACAGUUUGGCAUGGCGCGAUUUGUUAGGGCGCCACCAAAAACUAGUUUCGACACAUGAUUGUAAAGUUCCAACUAUGUACACAAGGUCAUUAAAGUGAAAACUGAUAUAAUCUAGGGAUAUCUUGCUUUUACAUAAACAUAUGGUUUCAAGCAUGGCUGCUCAAAAACUUAGAAGAACUGGUGAUCUGUGUAUUAUUUUGACAUUAUAGUCGUUUAAUAUUUGAUGUUUGUUUGCAUGCUAAAGAAACAUAAUCUCGUUUAGAGUAAAAUUAGGGAUAAAAAAUGCAUACGAUUCUCUUUGAUAAAACGCAUAACGUAUUUAAGUCUGAAAAUAAUCUAGGUAAUCAGACCAAAUUUCUUUUACAUGUUCCCAAGAAGUGUACAAGUGUCAUGUUCUAUAUAUAUGAAGGAAGUGAAAGAUAAUGUAGCUCAAGGUGUGUAAUGGUGCAGAAAGGGAAGAGAAAUUAAUAAACUAACAAUAUAUAGAACAUCUGGGUCAUAAGAAAAAGAAAACCUGUUGCAUCCAGAGCACGGAUUGCUUCACAAAAUGCAUUGACUCUCUCACGCCGGCGCAUCAAGUCACUUGAAGGUGGAGUGGCCGUCAGUUGAAAAAUCUUGGACAAAAGAUGUACAUGAUGUCAAAGAAACAAAGUAACCCAAUGAUUAUUCAAUAAUGAAUCCAAUAGAAAAUUUCCCAACCAACUAAAUAAGGUGUGUGUGCUUAUGAACACAUUGCUGAAAAUGUGCUACUAGUAAUUUUGAGUAAGCAUGUAGAGGAUAUAAUCUUUAAGUCUAUCCGUUGUAUGUGGUACAGCAACCACCAAUGCACGAACCACAGCAAUGGCAGCUUCAUGAGAUCCAUCUUCAAGAAAAGCAUCCAUUUGAACACGUAUCUUAUCAACAAUCUGGGAGGUUUUAUUUUGGUCAGCCAGAUGUAUGAAAACUGUUCGAUUAAGUAAGCUAAUAUCUUAAUUGCAGAAGGAAGAGAACUCAUACCAUGUCAUUUCUAAAAUUUUGGGCCACUGCUCCAAAGGCAUCUAUGCUUGCAUACUUCACACUCAAGUUUUGGUCAGAACCCACUAGGGCAGGUAAUAUAUGAGUAGAUGCAACUUUCGCAUCGAUAUAUGGAACCUAUAAACGAAGGAAACCAAUUAAUUAUUUCUUAACCAGACACAUAAAGAAAUUAGGACUCCAAGAAUGGAUAGACUUACAAUGACUUUCAACAGAUUGGCAGCAUUUAUUUUCAUAUCUAUGUUAGAGCUGACAACCAUUUCCCAGAGUAAAUUAAAUAUCAUACCGUGAUGAUCUUCAAAUGUGCUGCAUAUGGAAAGCCCUUCAGUCAAAAUUAAGUUACAAAAAGUUAGUCGUAAAAGGUAUUUAUUGCUUUUCUAACCAAAGGAACCGAACAGCAUCAACAAUCUCAGCAUUGUACUUCAUAGAUUGAUUUGGAACACCUUCAACUAAUAACUUUCUCAGGUACUCCGCUAAUUGUUCAUGCUUGCUUGGACCACCCAAAACACAAGCCAAGAGAAGAGGUAGGACACACAUAGUAGCCAAUCUCUUAGCCACAGCCGUUCUUGGCCUCAAACUUGUUAUGUAGAUAAAAUCCACAAUUAAGAGCACACACAACACUGGUGUGAAAGGAUUUCAAGUAACUUUAAAGUUAUUACCUUUGAUUCCGGAAUGCGUUGCAGAUGGGAAAAAUGUCAAUUCAGCUUCUUCCCCUACAGCUAACAAGAAUACAGGCAGCAUUAUGUGUGUCAAAUAAGAAUCCCCGUAGAGUUCUGAUACAGCCAAUAGAAACUGCAUUACCAACAUUUAGAUCAGAAACAAUUAAUAAAGUAUUGUUGAUGAUGUAAUAUAAAAAAGACACCAAAGACAGAGAAAGAUACCUUGGUGAUUUGGUUUCGCAAAUUGUCCUCUUUUGGAGGUAACAAGCAUGCGAGCUGUAUUAAAGCAGGAAAGCAGUCGGCAUGUAGCCACUCAAAUGCAGGCAAUUGAACAUGUCCACUACCGAGUUAACAAAAUUCUCAUAAGCAGUUAUAGUAAAUCAAUUUAACAAUAUCACUACCUAAAGACAAAAGUCAAACGGCUAUGUUCUGUCAGAAAAUAGUAGACAGGCCUGAAAAAAGAAUAUAUAACAAAGUAAAAUAAAAUAAAAAGGAAAAAGGAGAAAAGAGCUUACCCUGCAUACAAUUCAAGGAAAGAUUUAGAAAAUAUUGUUCCAGUUGUUUUGGGAUCAGAAGAAACUGGGCACUUCUCAAUUGCUUUCUGGUGCACAUACGGAAGAAUUUCCUCUAGCAUUCGUAGUAAAACAUCAACAUUCCAGCGUUCUCGUUCACCUAAAACACGAAGAUGUGACUCCAUAGAACCUUCAACGCCCGAAAGAGGAGGACAGCGCUGCAAUGUCACAAGGAUGCAAAUUAAAGAAAGUAUCAUUAGAAAGACCUUCGUCAUAAGUGGAAAAUAUAAUCAAACAGAAACUAACCUGAACCGAGCUUGAUAUAUGAGAGAGUAAACUCUUAAGAUAUGGUCUAAUUUGUUUCCCCACUUGUUUACUGCAGGGACUAAUUGUUUAAGCGUCGUUUCCACCACCACUCCAGAGGGAUCACAGACCAAUUGGAACAUCAACUCCUCGACCUAUAAAUAAAAAUACAGUAAAAUAUUGGAGAAACAGAUCCUUGACUACUUUAUCCAUUUAUUUCUUGUCAGUCAUCAUAUUAUGAGGAGAAAAUUCUCCAUGCCCUAGACCAUGUGGCAUCAACCUGUUCUAGAGCUUACAUUGUAGCCAUUUCUGUCAAGUCAGAAUUCCUCUCAAUGAGAGCCUCUGAAGCAUAUUAGUGAGGCUGACCUUGAAAUAUUUGUCCAUGGUCGGGAAGAGUGGAAGCAGCAAUGCAAGAUUAUGUGCAGCAGCCUCCCGGACAACAGUUGCAGAAUCUUCUAUGAAUUGUUGAACAAUGGACAAUAUAAGAGAAUCACGAAUCUCAGGCCGGACAAACUCUGCAAACUCUCCACAUGAUUGAGCAACUAGCAGCCUGCGUUCCUCAUACAUAUGAUUUAUCUGCAACCCACAAACCGGAGAAACAUAAGAAAAACUUAUCAGAAAUAUGAAAAGGUUAGACACGAUCCUCUUCUCUCAAGGCGGGGCUCAAACUUACUUGUUCCCAACACUGGGGAAGCAUUUCUGUUUCUGUUCUCAUCUCUCCUACAUUUUUAGCAAGGUUAACACAUGCCUGAAAUGCAGUCAAAAGAUUCAGGAACAAGUCCAAAACAAUGCAGCUAUAUUACAAAUAAUGUGGUAGUUUGAAUAUUAGCCUACAUCCAUUAUAAUUCUUCUCUGCUGCUCAUCUGGGCGUUUGAUUAGAUUAAACAAUGUGUGGGUUAAGGAAUCCCAAGUGCUGCUAUCUGGAUGGCGUUCAAUCACACACAUGAUUAGGGGAAGAAGCUCCUGUGAAUGCAUAACCAAUAAAAAAAAUAAAAAUAUGUCUUCUAUUAAAGGAUCAAUUUAAAGAUCCAUCAUACAAUGAUAAUAUCAAUAAUAUAUUUAUACACACAUAUAUAAUAUUUAUGUACAUAUGAAAAAGUACAAGAAGCAAACCUCCCGAUGGUUGAUCAAAGCAUAUGGAACAAUCUUCGGCAAAGCAUCAGCAAGGAUCUGAAUGGUCUCUAGGCCCGGUAAAAUAUAAGCAUAACUUUAGAAAAGGAAUAGAAGGGAAAGGCAGUUCCAAAGCUUCUAAAAAAUCAUUCUAUGUUCUAUUAUUCAAAAUUUAGAUGGGUAUCCCAUCCAAAACGAAAAGAAAAAGGAUGUGCCAACCAUGGAAGAAAAAAAACAUGUCUAAUCCGGUCCUCCUAUAAAGGCAUUGAUGCAAUAAAAGAAAUGUAAAAGAAACUUGCCCUUUUCUCGGAAACAUUUUCAGGACUAAGAUUCUCUGACGUUAGGUGUAGGCUGCUGCCUAAUGAUGGUUCAUCAUUUUGUUCAAAAUUGGUUGUCUCUGAAAAAUCAUGAGCUUUUGUGGUUUUGGAUUUUAAACUUUCUAGUUCCAUCUGCAAUGAUAUAAUUUCUUCCUUAUCUUUCCAAGGACAGAGAUUGGAUUUGAUCAGCAUCAGCAGCUCCCAUAUUCCUUCCAGAACGAUAUACAAUGCAGUGACUUGAGCUCUACAAUCAUUGAGCUCCUUUCUCUGGUGUUCCAACUUCCACCAAACUGAUCACGUACGAAGCUAUUUAGUGUUGGAAUUAAAUAGAAUUUAGUUUUGAUCAAGUGGUUGAGAAGGAAGAAACCAAUAGGAAAGUGUAUGUCUAGUCUCAUAAGACAAGUGUAUGCUUUAGAUCUUUGUUUGUGAAUCAAGGGCUUAUAUUGCUCUAGAUUAGCUUGUAAGAGAAAAAAUCCAAUGUGUUGAUAUUUAAUGAAAAUAUCUGUGCUUGCUGCAUGGACUGAAAAACCUUUCACAUUCCUCUAAACUUUCUCUGUUUUCUUGUUCCUUGUCUACCUUCAGAAAUACAUCAUACCAACCAAAUUAACUCACCGGAAUUUAUCAUGGCCUCAGAGCUUAGGUUCUGAUCAAUUUCAGGACUGGGCGUUUUUGUGUGUGCUUCGUAUCUCUGAAAAGGAAAGGGGAAAAACAUACCCAGAUCGUGAAAAUCUCAUAUGUUCUUACAAAGUCUCACAUGGCUACUUCGAGCAGUGGAGGAGAUCUGAGGGCUCCUUUUUUAAUGGGAUCAACUACGAUUUUUGGUCCAUCAAGAUGAAGACCAUAUUCAAAUCACAUGAUCUCUGGAGUUUGGUGGACAAGGGUUUUGAAACCGCAGAAACUAAAGAUGAUUCUAGCGAUGAAGAUCAACAGUCUGUGAGGAAGAUAGCAAUGAAAGUUAAUGAAACCAGAGAUGCAAAGGCUCUUGGUAUCAUUCAAGGGGCAGUGUCUGAUGAGAUGUUUCCUCGAAUCUCAAACUUUGAAACCUCCAAGAUUGCAUGGGAUGUUCUUCAACAAGAAUUUCGUGGUGAUAAAAAGGUUAGGUCUGUCAAACUACAAUGUUUAAGAAGAGAUUUUGAGUACACUAGGAUGAAUGAUGGUGAAGCUCUAUAUGCUUAUUUAACAAGAUUGACUGACAUUGUGAAUCAAAUGAAAACUCUUGGUGAAGAACUGACAAACCAAAGAUUAGUACAGAAGAUACUUAUUAGCUUGCCUAAAUCCUAUGAUUCCAUCACAUCUAUUAUAGAAGAAACUAAGGACCUUGACUCCAUUGAGGUUCAGGAGGUGAUUGGUACAUUGAAAGGCUAUGAGCAGAGGUUAAAUAUGCACUCUGAAAACUUAGCUGAAAAGGCUUUUACUAGUCUAAGUGUGAUUGAGAGAGAUAGCAGUUACAAGGCUCAGGGGAACAACUCAAAUCAAAAGAAAUUCUGGAAAGGAAAAGGGAAGAAAUGGGACAACAACCAUACUCCACAAUCAAAAUCAGAAACUAGCAAUGAUUCUACCAAAACCAAGUGUAAAAUCUAUGACAAAUUACACUAUGGUGUUUGCUGGUUCAAGGGAAAACCCAAAUGCACCAAGUCUGACAGAUUUGGCCAUCUAGCAAAAGAUUGUAAUCCAAGAAGGAACCAAGCUGUCAACUAUGCACAUAGAGCAGAAGAAGAUGAAGUAAAUGUCUUUUAUGCUUGUAGUGUUGCAAGAACUGAAAAUAAGAGAGGAAUCUGGUACAUUGACAGUGGAUGCAGUAAUCAUAUGACUGCAUAUGAAUCCUUGUUAAUCAACAUUGACAGAAGCUUCAAUUGCAGAGUUAAAAUGGGGAAUGGACAACUAGUGGAAGCUACUGGAAAAGGAACUCUUGUUCUAGAGACAAAGGGUGGAAGAAGAUUCAUCAAGGAUGUAAUACUUGUACCAGGUCUUGAUGAGAAUCUCCUUAGUGUGGGACAGAUGAUUGCUCAUGGUUACUUCUUACUUUUUGGAGACAAUAUAAUGGAGAUCUUUGAUGACAGAAGCCUCCAAAACUUGGUAACACAAGUUGGCAUGACAGAAAACAAAAGUUUUCCACUUAUGCUAGAUUACAAUGACUCAAUUGCUCUAAAAGCAAGUGUUGCAGAAAACUCUUGGUUAUGGCACAAGAGGUUUGGACAUCUCAACUUUCACAGUUUAAAGAGAUUGGAGAAACUACAAAUGGUGACUGGUCUUCCUGAGUUACAAGAGACUAAAGAACCGUGUGAAGGUUGCAUAUUGAGGAAGCAUCACAGGGACUCUUUUGAAACUAGAAAUGCAUGGAGAGCAAGCCAACCUCUAGAACUCAUUCACACAGAUGUGUGUGGUCCAAUGAAGACACCUACACUCAGUGGGAACAGAUACUUUCUGUUAUUCAUUGAUGACUGCACCAGGAUGGUUUGGGUAUAUCUUAUGAGAAACAAGAGUGAAGUCUUUUCAAUCUUCAAGAAAUUCAAAGUGAUGGUUGAACUUCAGAGUGGUCUCAAGAUCAAAAGACUAAGAAGCGACAGAGGUGGUGAAUUCAUGUCACUUGAGUUCCAAGAAUUCUGUGAAGGAGCAGGAUUACAGAAGCAAUUGACAGUGGCCUACACACCACAGCAGAAUGGUGUAGUUGAGAGGAAUAACAUGACUGUGGUUGAAAUGACCAAGUCAAUGCUACAUGAUAAGAAAAUGCCACUUUCUUUUUGGGGUAAGGCUGUCAAUACAUCUGUGUAUCUCCUAAACAGGUGUCCAACUAAAGCACUUGAGAAGAAAACACCUUUUGAGGCAUUUAGUGGCAGAAAACCAAGUGUGAAGCACUUGAAGGUGAUCAAUCUGCUAUGCACAGAUACCAUCUCAAUUAAGACACAAGCUUGAAAUCAAUAGUGUCAAGUGUGUUCUUGUAGGUUAUAGAAGUUGUGAAAAGGGCUAUAGGCUUUACAAUAUUGAGUCACAUAAAGUGAUUAUCUCAAGGGAUGUGGUGUUCAAGGAGAAUGAAGCAUGGAAUUGGGAAACCAAUAACAUUGACACUAUCUCAUUUCCACUAGCAAUGGAAGAAGCACAAGCUGAAGUGCAAAAUGAGAAUGAACCUGUUAUACAUGAUGGAAGUCAAAAUGACUUUUCAACUCCAACACAAGGAUCUCAGUUCUCUACUUCAAAUGCAGAAGGACAAGAAUUACAGGAUUCCUCCUUUGAAACAACUCCAUUGAGAAUGAGGAGUUUAAAUGAGAUUUAUGCAGUGUGUAACUAUUGUGUUGUUGAACCAGAGAGUUUUGAAGAAGCUGAGAAGGAUCAAUCUUAGCAGAAAGCAAUGAGUGAAGAAAUUUCCAUGAUUGAGAAAAACUCUACUUGGAAAUUGGUAAAUAGACCGAGUGAUAAACCUGUGAUAGGUGUGAAAUGGAUCUACAAGACCAAACUGAAUUUGGAUGGAUCAAUACAGAAGAACAAAGCAAGAUUAGUUGCCAAAGGCUACUCACAACAACCUGGGGUAGAUUUCAAUGAAACCUUUGCCCCAGUGGCAAGGUUAAAUACCAUUAGAACCUUGAUUGCUCUUGCUGCCCAAAAGGGAUGGAAACUUCACCAGUUAGAUGUUAAAUCAGCCUUUCUAAAUGGCAUUCUGGAGGAAGAAGUGUAUGUGGAUCAACCACAAGGAUUUGAAGUACCAAAUAAAGAAGAGAAGGUUUAUAAGUUAAACAAAGCACUGUAUGGACUCAAACAAGCCCUCAGGGCUUGGUACAGUGAGAUAGACUCCUAUUUCAGCAAGGGUGGAUUUAACAAAAGUCCUAGUGAAGCUACAUUAUAUACAAAAACUGGUGAGAACUCUGAGAUGCUUAUUGUGUCUAUAUAUGUUGAUGAUGUGGUCUUUACUGGUAAUUGUGAAGAAAUGAUUGAAGAAUUCAGAAGGGACAUGAUGAGACAAUAUGAGAUGUCGGAUCUUGGCUUGUUGCAUCACUUCUUGGGAAUUGGAGUAAUACAAGAAGUUACUGAGAUCUUCAUACAUCAACAGAAGUAUGCACAAUCAUUGCUUGAAAGAUUCAAUCUGAAAGGAUGUAAAUCUGUGGCAACACCAUUGAUCACAAAUGAGAAACUUUGUAAAGUGGAUGGUUCUGAAUCUGCUGAUGAAUGCUUAUACAGAAGAAUGGUUGGAAGUCUACUUUACUUGACUGCUACAAGACCUAACAUUAUGUAUGCAGCUAGUCUCUUAUCAAGGUUCAUGCAUAAUCCCACAAGAAUUCACAUGGAAACUGCUAAGAGAGUACUAAGGUAUAUCUCAGGGACCUUGGACUAUGGAAUCAAGUAUGAAAAGGGAGAAAAAGCAAUUCUGGUAGGCUUCUGUGACAGCGAUUGGGGUAGCAGUGAAGAUGACAUGAGAAGUACCUCAGGAUAUGCAUUUACAUUUGGUUCUGGGAUAUUUUCCUGGGCCUCUGUCAAGCAACAAAGUGUUGCAUUGUCUACGGCUGAGGCAGAGUAUGUGAGUGCUGCAAUGGCUACCUCUCAAGCUAUAUGGUUGAGGUUUGUGUUAAAGGAUUUUGGUGAAAUGCAAGUGGAUGCUACACCACUUAUGUGUGACAACACAUCAGCAAUAGCUAUGACCAAAAAUCCUAUUUUUCACCAGAAAACCAAGCAUAUCAAAAGGAAGUUUCACUUCAUAAGGGAAGCCUUGCAGGAGAAUACCAUUGAACUGAUCUACUGCAAAUCACAGGAUCAAAUGGCAGACAUCUUUACCAAAGCUCUACCAAGGGAAAGAUUUGUCUAUCUCAGAGGAAUGCUUGGGAUCAAAACCAGAAUUCAUUUAAAGGGGAGUGUUGGAAUUAAAUAGAAUUUAGUUUUGAUCAAGUAGUUGAGAAAGAAGAAACCAAUAGGAAAGUGUAUGUCUAGUCUCAUAAGACAAGUGUAUGCUUUAGAUCUUUGUUUGUGAAUCAAGGGCUUAUAUUGCUCUAGAUUAGCUUGUAAGAGAAAAAAUCCAAUGUGUUGAUAUUUAAUGAAAAUAUAUGUGCUUGCUGCAUGGACUGAAAAACCUUUCACAUUCCUCUAAACUUUCUCUGUUUUCUUGUUCCUUGUCUACCUUCAGAAAUACAUCAUACCAACCAAAUUAACUCACCGGAAUUUAUCAUUUAGGUUGUAGUUGAAAAAGGGCCUAAGGGCCUAACAACCAUAGUUUAGGCAACCAUGCUGUUGCACUAACCACCAUAGUUUAUAGUUCAACAGUCGCUAUAUUAAAGCCUCUUUUGAUAUCUAAAAUUAGAUCCAAAUGGAUCGCCGCUAAAUUUAGGUAAAAAUUUAUAUCCACCUAACAUGUAAAAGAUCAAUUACUCAUAAAGAAAACUUAUGAGUAUCAAUCUCUCCAUAAUGUAGGAUUACAAAGACGAAUUUCCUUCAUAACUAAUCCUCUCUAAUUCCCUCCAAAUAAAAAAUAUAACUACAGUUUCAGCAUCUUGCCGCAUAAGCAAGCAGGAUUGGCCAAGCUUAGCUAAGCACCAUCCAAAGAAAGCAAACUACAAAUAAUACGAAGUGACUACAAAUCCUAGCAAACACAACCCAAAUUCACAUAGAUCAGAAAAUCCCAACCUCCACCACUGUCAGGAGCAUACAUUUAGCGUCCUUCAUUAAUCAUUGUCAUUGUAGCUUCAUUAUUCGAAGGCUGUGGUUGAGGAUGAGAGACUGAGUUUUGGAUAGUGAAUAGAGGCUGUUUAGGUUGUGGACCACCAAUAACAUUUGUGGAACCAUUUAGCAUAAAAAUUACAUCCGGCAUGCUCGGCCUAUCCGUCGGAUUGUCCUGUACACAAAGCAGCCCUAUAUGCACACAUUUCAUUACUUCUGGAGCCGAAUAUGAAUCAGCCGCCAACAUUUCAUCUACCAACUCCAAUUCCCUGCCUUCCUUCCAUAACUGCCAUGCAUAGGCUAGUAAGCCUAGCUGUCGAUCAUAGAUAUAGAAGGCCGUAUUCUUCUUGCUGCUAAUAAUCUCCAAUACCAAGACCCCAAAGCUGUAGACAUCAGAUUUUUGAAAAAAUAUUCCACCCAUGGCAUACUCUGGAGAUAUAUAUCCACUGUACGAACAUGAAACUCAUUAGUAUAUAUGUCGCUGAAAUAAGUGCUUGGUUUCUGCCUUUUAAGAACAACAUUACCAAAACUAUAUCUAAUGUGAACGAUGCAACUAAUUAGCAGUUUUUAUCCAAAACAGGAGUCGGUUAAGAGUUCAUGAAUCAUGAUGCAAUGCUAACCAUUAGAACUUUCGUUGCGUAUGACAUGUUCAAGAAUAUAUAGGAAGGGCAUGAAUCUUACAGCGUUCCCACAACUCUCUGAGUAUUUUCUAAAUUCUGUGUCCCUUCAACCACACGUGCCAAUCCAAAAUCUGAAAUUUUUGGGUUCAUUUUCUCAUCCAAAAGAAUGUUGCUUACUUUUAGAUCUCUAUGUAUUACCUUCAAAUAGGAAUCAUGAUGGAGAUAAACAAGCCCUCUGGCAACAACUUGAAUAAUAUUAAAACGUGUACCCCAAUCAAGCACUGCUCUUCUCGUCGAAUCUGAGCAUCACAUAAUCGAUCAAUACACUGCUUAGAAUCUAAAGAUAAGAAAUUGCAGUAAAGUGCAAUUGAAACUAACCGAAAAGAAAAGUAUCCAAGCUUUUGUUUGGCAUGAACUCAUAAAUCAGUAACUUCUCAUCCUCUUUAACGCAGCAACCCAUGAUUCUGACCAGAUUUUUGUGUUGGAGAUUGGAGAUCAAUAACAUUUCAUUCUUGAACUCCACUACACCUUGCCCUGAGGUACUGGAUAGUCUUUUUACUGCUAUUUCCUUCCCUUCUGCUAGCUUACCCUACACAAAGUCGACAAAUAAAUCAUUGCACUCAUGUCUGUUUCUCUGUACCUAUCAUAAAAAUAAUAAUAAUUACCCAAUAAACUGGACCAAAGCCUCCUUGCCCGAGUUUGUUUUCUAUGCUGAAAUUGUCCGUAGCAACUAAUAUGCUAUCAAAAUCAUAGAUCAGUAACUCAGACAGAUCAUGUUUUCCACCUAUAUAUUCUUGAAGGGCGUCCCUUGUUAUUUUGAUGUGUUCCCUUGUUAAUUUGAUGUGUCCUGAUUUUGCAAAUAUACACAUCAAACACUGAAUCAAAGCAAAACAACUUACAGAGUUUUGAGAGAUAAUAUGCUAAUGCAUUAUAUUAAUCCAACACCUCGAUCUCUUUCACUUAAUUACCUUUUUGCUUAGCUCUCAUCCUGCACAAACCAAACACUAUGGCACCCAAUACACCGAUAAAACAAACAACUGUAAGGCUCACAAUUAACUUUAUUGGCUUUCCUUUACCUGAAAAAUUUACAAUACAAAAACAAGCAUGAGAUAUAUCGAAACAGAAAAGUUACUGCUUGAUAAUUAGAGUUGUUCAAGGCUUCAAGCACUUUUGAACAAAAAAAAAGGCAUCAAGCACUAGUAUCAUUAGUUCAUUUGCUAGUUCUGCGCGUGCUAGGCAAAUAUAAACAUCUACUCCGUCAGAGGGAAACUCCUGCAUAUGAAUAAGGUGUUUGGACCAGACCAAACACCGUGUUUUAUAAACAAGUGCAUACUCUUGGUAAGAACAAUUAUUUAGGCGCACUGUCUUGCAGUCGCGGAUGUGUUGUCAGAAUCCAAAGACACAAACUCAUGAGAAUCUGGUACUCUGAACCCUACCAGCUUCAGAAACCCAUCAUCAUCAUCUUCUUUUCCUCUCAAUGUGACUGACUUAUUUGUCUCUCUCACAAAACAAUUUGGUUUCCCUCACACACCUUCCCGUCCCGUUUCCUCUGCUCCAUUCCCGUCUGACUUGGGUACAAACCUGUUGAAUCCCACAUCGGCUAGAGGGAAAGAAGAAAAGCAAUUUAAAUAGAAUUAUCCCACUCCACCUAAUACCGAGGUUUUCUGUGAUAAAACUUCACACCUGACGGAUUGGGUAGGUGGUAAAGUGAGGACAGUAUCGGUGUUGGUGGAGUGGGGUCCCUCGGCCCGUCGACUUGAAAAAUUCAACAUGGUAUCAGAGCCAGGGGACGGGCUUGGUACCACCACAUGAUUGGGUGGGUUCCCAUUGGCCCCGUGCGAUGGGUGAGUCCCAACUUGGCUUCACGUGGUUGUCGAUGUGUGGAUCCUCCACGUGUGAUCCACAAAAUGGGGUCUCAUGUGUGGGGGCAUGUUGAAUCCCACAUUGGCUAAAGGGAAAGAAAAGCAACAAUUUAAAUAGAAUUAGCCCACUCUAACUAAUACCGAGACUUUUUGGAUAAAACUCCAUACCUGACGGAUUGGGCAGUUGGUGAAGUGGGGACGGUGCUGGUGGAAUGGGGCCCUCGGCCCAUCGACCUGAAAAAUUCAACAAAACCCUUUCAAGCACUUGCAGAUUGGUGAUCCAGAAGCUUUGCAAACUCCACAAGGUCCACAUGCUCCAUAAUUGUCGCAUUCUUUAUAUUGUGGCUGAGAGUAGACAUACCAUAUGAGCAGAAUGUAAUGGCGUAGUCAGGUCCGCCAUUGCAGGUGAAUGUGCUGUUUGCAUCAUCCAAAGCGUAGCUAUAAGCUUGAGGGCAUUGCUGCUUAAACAUCUUAGAGUACUCUGUGGGUUGACACAACUUCGGAUCGGUGAACUCCAAGCAAGCGCUUUUGCAACUGAUGACACUCCCAUCAGCCGAUUUCACUUGUAACUCAGCCGGGCAUGCCGCGUUAACAUUCGCAUCGCAAGUCGAGGCCUGGCACUUGCCGGUGCCGCCUUGUGGGGCGACGGACAUGGGCAAGUUGAAGCCGUCAACAAGGCUAACAUCGUAAAAAUCUAGACCCUCGAUUCCUGCGAUUGUGAUUUCUACUAAAGUUGCUGGUGGAGCUCCGCCUGCACCGUUGCAUGCGACCUGGCCAGAGCCACAGUCUGCAGUUUCACAAGUGAAAUUUCCAACGGCGUCUGUGGAGCAUCUGGUUCGGGCCCAGAAGCGACCAGACCAUGAGGAUGGAGUGUCUAUUGACCGGCUAGCUUUGGAUGCUAGUUCGAACCCGGUGAGUGAUAAUUGAGGUUUUUGGUUAGUGGUUAGGGUUCCUGGCCAGACAGUGUAGGAGCAGUGGUUUGUGAAAGUGAUUUUUGCUGCAUGUGCACCUGCAUUUAUAUUCAACAUAAAACUAGAUGCUAAGAAUAUUGAAAUCUAAAUACAAUUGUUGACAAAAAUUGUAAACUAAAUAAUAUGUCACUAAUACGAAUGAACACAUUUAUUAAAAUUAAAGUAAUAAACCAAUUAUUAACUUCCAUGUCCUUUAGUUUCCAAAAUUUUGUUUACAAAUUUUAUCUCCCUAGCAUUACCCAUAAAUAAAUAAACAAUUUGAAAUCAUAUUAAGAACUUUUUUCAUAACUAAUCAGUAGUUUUAUUAUAAAUAUACUUUGAUGAUGAUUCAUCCAAUCUCAUGCUCUCAUCACCGCAUUGGCCGGCUUACUUCUAUAUAUCCGUAUUUUUCAUCAUCGAUCGUUAUUCUCUUUUAGACUCCCUACCGUCACUUUUGACGUUGUUACAAUGUAAAGCGUAAUAAGGGUAAAUUGUAAACAAGUCUACUGAAGACCGCUGAGUUUGUUAUAAGGCAGUUGUAACAGUUUUGUAAUUAGUUUGUGAUUAGUUAGACAAGAUGUAAUUAGUUGUUAAUACAAGUGAGUUAGUCACUGGUAUAUAUACACCAACAUGUAAUCUUAUUCCUUGGAGAUGUUUUGAUAUAGGUGCCUUAUUUUUGAAUUUUAUAGACUAAACAUCUAUGCCUUUUAGAGAUUUGAUUAAACUCUUCUUCUCAUCAUUUUGUUGCCACAUAUAUUAGAAUUAAUCAUUUUUUAUACCAAAAUUACAUGACCUGCCACUACUCCAUAUUUCUUAAUCUCACGCCAAAAAAGUGCACAGCGUAUUGAACCAAACUUCCUAUAAUCAAGCAUUUUGAUUACCUUCUCCCCCUUUGGAGAUAAUUGUAAACAAAAAAACCCUAGUUAAAUACAAUUUAUUUUCACAAUACUUCCUACAAUUUAGCAAUGAUUUCUACGAUUUAAUAUUUUAUUCCCAAAAGGGUUGAAAAUAUUUUUAAAUCUCACGAAAUCAAAUGUACCAAUAUAAUUUUUUAUAUCAAUACAUUAAGAGAAAAUAGGACUAACAACAAUAUAAACGUACCAAUAAAUAAAGUGUAUGAAAUCAAACGUACCAAAAUCAAAAGUAAUGUACCAAUAUCAACAAUAUGUACCAAAUCAAACGUACCAAAACUGCAAAUAAACGUACCAAUCAAUGUUUUUUACAAAUUAAAACGUACCUAACGGCAGUAUACACAUAAUAUGUUGUACCUAAUAAUAGUUUGUCAACAACUAUAAGUAAAAAUAAAAAAAAUGAAAAAUAAAAAACAAAGAAAAAUAGUUUGACAAAAAAAAGGGGAAAAAUUACACAGUGCUUUGUUGGAUCGCCAACCAUUUGACAAAAAUAGAUAAUAUUAAUGUUUGUAGAACAAAAAAAUUAUUUUGAUCAAAAAAUUAUAAUUGGAAAAAGGGAUAAUAGAGUUAAUAACUAAUACUCCACUAAAUAAGGGGAAAAACGCAUAAAAAACAUAAGAGGAUAAAUUUAGAAAUUAAUAAUUAACAUUUUAUUUUAAGAAAAUACAAUAAUGAUAUGUAAUUUAAUUUAACAGAAAAUUGUGAGGUGUCUAUUGGUCAAAGCACUUUAAUCAAAUUUUGAAAAGGCACAAAUGUUUAGUCUAAAAGAUAUAAAAAAGUUGUAGGGGAUUCUAAUUUUCCCUAUUCCUUAUGAAAUGAAAGCAUAAUUUUUCUAUUAUGGUAUCUCUCCCCCGUGUCUAACGACCUUUCGAUCCUCCUUUCUUCUGCUUCUCAAAUUCAACCUGCUCCUAUGAAUUCUUGCCCUAAUUCCUCAAUUCUUUUGACAAUUUCUUUGAUUACGAUCCAGAAUAUUGGAUCUAUGGUUCCAAUUAAGCUCACCACAACGAACUAUCUCACCUGAAGUGCGCUGUUUGCUUCGAUCUUCCGCCGAUAGUCUCACCGGAAUUAUUGACGGCACGAUGACUGCUCCGCCCAAAUUUCUUCUUGAUUCGUCUGGAAAUCGCACCUCUACCUCUGAAUCCUCAGUAUGUGACAUGGUUCGAAAAUGAUCAGGACAUUCUGAUCUGGAUCAAUUCUACACUCUCAAAUUCUCUCAUCCCAUACACUGUUGGAGUCAACCCCUCUCUAGUAUUUGCAUCCGGCAGGCAUGCAUAUUAUAGACUAAUACGAAACAAAAUAGAAAAGAAAUUAAUAAGAAGUUUUGUAUAAUAAUACCUGAGAAGAAGAGGAUGGCCAUGGUGAGGCCGAGGAGGGAAGCUACUUGUCUCUUCAUCAUCGUCGUUGAAUAUAUCUUAAUUGCCUGCUUGUUGCUAAUUAGCUUGAACUUAUGAAUCUCACUGACCGAUCCACUAAGGGGCGGGAUGGGUCAACUGACCCUCCCAACUUUCGCACACCUCCGUGAGAGAUCCAAGUGCUGCCCUUUGAAGCUUAGAAUUGUCCUUGAGAUAUGCCCUCCAACUGCUCGAUGAAAUGCUUCAAUGAACAUUGGGCACGGCAAGGCAUUAUGUUCUUUGCAGCUGAUAUGCAACAAAACUAGAUCAAUUUAUAUGUUCUCUUGACAAUAAGACCUGACCACUUUAAAAAAUAAAAAAUCACUUAUCCUUCUAGUCUAGACAUAUAUAAACCCAAGUCUAUAAUCAUAAUUUCUAUCAAUUCCAGCCCAAAUUCUAGAUCUUUAAAAUUUCAAUUUUCCUUUAUUAAUACAUUUUCAAAAUAUGAAACCGCGUCGUGGAUAAGCAAUUGUAGUUUGUAAUGUUAUUUUAUGAAUUUUAGAUUUAUGAUUUAAUUUCUAAAGCUAUUUAUUUGUCAAAGAAAUAUUUGUGAAUUUUAUACAUUGCGGGUCUAAGUUCAACGCUGACAAGUAAAACGAACAAGCUCUAAAGGAGAUGGAACAAGCACUAGAAGGCUUGAAUUGUCAGCUUCGAUUUUCCUCUCCCAUCCAUUUUUAAUAGUAACUUAGUCUCUGUGUGACUUGGUCUGCAAAGUUUUUUUUUCUUUUUUUUUCUUUUCUUUUUUCCAAACGGUCUCCAAAGUUAGUACAUAUUAUUCAUACCCUAUUACAUUUUUAUCUAAUUUUUGGUUAAAUUUGUUUAGUAUUAAAAAUUUUAAGAUUGAAGGUUUUAGAGAUGACUUAUCAAGUAUUUCUCAUAAAUUCUACAAAUUAAUUUGACUUUUUGAUAUUUUUCACUUCAUUAAAAGGGUAAUUGUCUCUCAUAUAUAAAAAGUGUAUCAAAUUUCAAUUUGUAGGGAACAAAUUCCACAUGUCCGUAGAAUUACUUGAACAUCCUUGCAAUCAAGAAUUAAAAUGAUAAAUUAGAUCUGGUCAUACCUGUUUGGUGUUAAUGGAUUUGUGAUUCAAUUGAAGAUAUACUUAUAUUAUGUAGUUUUACUUUUAAUUACACAAAGUUUGUUUGUUUUUUAAUGAUAAAACCCUCACUCCCCCCCCCCCAUCGUUUUGUGUACAUGAUAAAAUGAAGAUCGAGAGACUAUACAUGUGUGUAGUUACUAGUAAGCCGCUAACUCGUCCCUCUCAAACCUUCAUGGUAUUGCUUUUGUAACAUGCAUUAUUGUAGAAUUACUACAUGCAUAAUCUAUUAGGUGUGGGUUGUCACAAAUAGGCGUCAGUAUUAGUUUCAGUGGAGAUAUGAUAUUUAAACUUUUUUUAUUUUAGAGAUACAAUCCAUGUGGAAUAUUUCAACAUAUAUACUAAGCAAUAAAAUAAGAAGAAUAUGUUGAUUAUGUUUUAUGCGGUCGUAUGGUUUGGCAUGCAAAGACGUGGAAGCUUAUAAUCCCCUUCGAUUCACAUCCGUAGAUCCAAAUUUACAAAAUCUGUUUUAUUUUGCAUUUCAUGGCAAGACUGUCUUUAUGUAUAUUUGUCAUUAAACCUCACAAAUCACAAAAAUGUUUGUUUUUCAUCCGGAAUCUUUCUAUUUUCACACUAUUUCGGAGAAUUCUGACCAAAAAUAAAACAUGCCAAAAGAAUCCAAAAACUUUUUAAUGGCGAGUUCGAUGCUAACUUAUUGGCGAGUUUGAUAAGUCUUAGGUUAUAAUCUUUUUAAUGAAAAGUUUUAGAUUAGAAUCCUUUUAACAACAAGUUCGAUAGUAAUUUACUUUUCUUAGCGUAUAUAAAUAUUGUGGAUGCAAAUUUCCGCCUUCUUCUCUUUUGACGAAAAUGCACCUGCAAAAUAAUAACACAUAAUAUUAAGGCCAAAAGCCUCACGCGCCCACGAUGAAUGGGAGGCUUUGGCCGAAGAAUCUCCGAUGCCAAAGUUAGAAUUUGAGAGAGAGUGUUUAGGAAUUUUUUGGGAGAGAAUCCACUAGCAUUUUAGUGGGAAAACAUGACUAUUUAUAGGGGAGUGAUCGGCCCUAUUUGGAGAAUAGGGGCCUACCACAUAUGGUCACAUUGUGAGUGUAAUUGCAAGAUAUUAUAUGAAAUAAUAUAUUGCAGUUAACUUGGCAAUUAAUCCCAAAUUAAUUAGGAAAUUUGAGAGUUACCUUUUGAGUGAGGAUUUGAUGAGGCGUGAUGAGAGGGUUUUAAAUAUGUAUCAUUUUGAUCACCUUUGACUCUUCCUUGAUUGAGUCGUUAUUGUCCGUUGCAUACGCAUGAGAAUCCUGGUAUGCCUCGAAGGUAAUUUUGUCAUUUUUACCCAAAAGUACACAUGUCACCUCCAUAAUUUUCUUGAUUAUUUUUUGCUCCAUAAAUAUCGUUAUAAAACAUAUAACCAAAAACUCAAUGGAAAAGAUGGACAGGGGGCGGGGCCACUCGAUGGGGGCGUUAACUAACUUAUUGGCAAGUUCAAUAAGUCUUAGGUUAUAAUCUUUUUAAUGAAAAGUAAGUUUUAGAUAAGAAUCAUUUUAACGGCGAAUUCGAUAGUAAUUUACUUUUCUUAGCGUAUAUAAAUAUAUCGUUGUAUUAAAAAUAUAACCAAAAACUCAAUGAAAAAUACGGACGGGGGGUGGGCGGGGUACCUAGCCUAUGAAAAAUAUGGAUGGGGGACAAGGGGAUCCCUUAUACCUCACUUUAAAGGGAGAAAGAGAGCAAACCCUAGUCCAUAUAACCUCCAUGUCAAUUGUAACCUUCAUUGAUAUAGUAAAAACAACUCGACACAAUAUGGACAUAGCCCAAACUAGAGGUGAACUAUGAUCAUGGAAGAAAAUGCCGAUAAUAUCGGCGAAAUAUCGCCGAUAUUAUCGGUUUUUCGGGGUAUGGAUAUUCUAAGUGGUAUCCGAGUGGUUUUCGGCCAAAUAUCGCGAUAUUAUCGAUAAUAUCGCGAUAUUUUGGAAAUAUCGGCGAAAUUUCCAUGGUUUGGUGCAAUCGGACUCCGAGGCGACGUCGGAGAAGAACGCCGGAGACGGUGUGCCUAUUCCCGGGCCGGGUUUCGUCCCAAAAACCUUGCAAAAACACGAAUUUUAACAUCAAUUUCACAUAUAAACUUCAUAUUUCACGCAUGCAUCAACUAUUCAACAUAGGUGAAGUCGGUUUAGGGUUUAGGGUUUGAAUGGAAUCUCACCUGACGAAGACGAAGACGAACCAGAUGACUGAACGCGAUCCUUGCUCAGCGGCGCACCGCCACAGACGACUGAGACAACUCUGACUUCGCCAGAGCCACGAUCAACGGCGAAGGGAGAAGAGAGAUCGAGAGAUCUCUGUGUGUGUGUGUGUGUUUGGGAGAAGAGAGAUCGGAGAUCUCUCUUUGUAUGUGGGUGUUUGGGAGAAGAGAAAUCGGAGAAGGGAGAAGAGAGAUCGGAGAAUGGAGAAGAGAGAUCGAGAGAUCUCUGUGUGCGUGUGUGUGUUUGGGAGAAGAGAGAUCGGAGAUCUCUGUGUGUAUGUGUGUGUUGGAUCGGAUGUAACCUGUGGAGCUCUCUGUGUGAGUGUGUGUGUGGGAGAAGAGAAGGGAGAAGAGAGAUCGAGAAGGAUCGAGAGAGAGAGAGACUGAGGUCGUGUAUGCGUGCGUGCGUUGUGUGUGUGCGUGUGGGUUCCUCCUGUCAGGAGGAUACAACUCACUCAAUAUUCCCGACAAGUUUUACAAUUAUUUGGACAAUUUCAUGCAGCUUUUACAAUUAUAAUUUGUAUUCUUUUCAGACCAUGGAUGGUGGUCAUUUGUGUGUGUGUGUGUGUGGGUUCCUCCUGUCAGGAGGAUACAACUCACUCAAUAUUCCCGACAAGUUUUACAAUUAUUUGGACAAUUUCAUGCAGCUUUUACAAUUAUAAUUUGUAUUCUUUUCAAACCAUGGACGGUGGUUUCAUUCAAAACCGUGUGCCGAUAUUGUUUUAAAAGGUGGAGUAUCAGAGCUAUUGUGAUAUUCUUUCAAAGUUGUCAUUGUGAAAAAAUUUCAAGAGGUGGAGUAUCAGAGGAGCCUUUUCGAUUAUUUUAUUUCCCUUACCCCUUUCAAAGUCAUUCCAGAUCCAGAGCUUAAACACAAAGGGUUCCAUAUUUAAAGUAAGUUUACAAACUUAUAUUUAUAUUCUUAUAAUUUAUACAACAACAAAAAAAUUUGUGUGAACUCGUAUGUUAAUUUUUUAAGUAAUUAAUACUUGCAUGUUAGUUUUUGUAAGUAAUUAAGUAAUGUUAACAAUUGCAUGUUAAUUUUUUUAAGUAAUUAAGUAAUGUUAAUACUUGCAUGUUAGUUUUUGUAAGUAAUUAAGUAAUGUUAACAAUUACAUGUUAAUUUUUUUAAGUAAUUAAGUAAUGUUAAUACUUGCAUGUUAGUUUUUGUAAGUAAUUAAGUAAUGUUAACAAUUACAUGUUAAUUUUUUUAAGUAAUUAAUACUUGCAUGUUAGUUUUUGUUAGUAAUUAAGUAAUGUUAACAAUAACAUGUUAAUUUUUUUUAAGUAAUUAAUACUUGCAUGUUAGUUUUUGUUAGUUUUUGUUAGUAAUUAAGUAAUGUUAACAAUAACAUGUUAAUUUUUUUUAAGUAAUUAAUACUUGCAUGUUAGUUUUUGUAAGUAAUUAAGUAAUGUUAAUACUUGCAUGUUAGUUUUUGUAAGUAAUUAAGUAAUGUUAACAAUUGCAUGUUAAUUUUUUUAAGUAAUUAAGCAAUGUUAAUACUUGCAUGUUAGUUUUUGUAAGUAAUUAAGUAAUGUUAGCAAUUACAUGUUAAUUUUUUUUAAGUAAUUAAUACUUGCAUGUUAGUUUUUGUAAGUAAUUAAGUAAUGUUAACAAUUACAUGUUAAUGUUUUUUAAGUAAUUAAUACUUGCAUGUUAGUUUUUGUAAGUAAUUAAGUAAUGUUAACAAUUACAUGUUAAUUUUUUUUAAGUAAUUAAUACUUGCGUAUAAUUAUUCCCUAGGAUAAUUUUAAUAUGUUUAAUGUUAUUUAUUAUUUUAUUUCCCUUACCAUUUUCAAAGCCAUUCCAGAUCCAUUCCAAAGCUUGAACACAAAGGGUUCCAUAUUUAAGGUAAGUUUACAAACUUAUAUUUAUAUUAUUGUAAUUUAUACAACAACAAAUAAAUUUGUGUGGACUCGUAUGUUAAUUUUUUUUAAGUAAUUAAUACUUGCAUGUUAAUUUUUGUAAGUAGUUAAGUAAUGUUAACAAUUACAUGUUAAUUUUUGUAAGUAAUUAAGUAAUGUUGUAUAAUUAUUCCCUAGGAUAAUUUUAAUAUGUUUAAUGUUAUUUAAUAUUUUAUUAAUAUUAGGUUUUAUUAUCAAAUAGGAUUAUUAUUCAUUAAUAUUAGGUUUUUUUAUUAUCAAAUUGGAUUAUUAUUCAUUAAAUUAGAUUAUUAUAAAAUUGGAUUAUUAUUCAUUAAAUUGGAUUAUUCAUUAAAUUGGCUUAUUAUCAAAUUGGACUAUUCAUUAAAGCCCACUCAAUGUAGUCUCCAAACUUGAGUUUGUUGAACUUAGACCUUAGGCCCAAAUCUCAAACAUAACCACACCUGGGUUGGGUUGGGUUGAACCAAAAGGUCCAAAACUUAGGCAAAAAAAAAAAAAAAAAAAAACGGAUGGGUAUUCUCAAAUAUCUUCCAAAAUUGUCUCACUUGGUGUUUGGCUUUUUAUUCAUUAAUAUUAGGUUUUUUUUAUUAUCAAAUUGGAUUAUUCAUUAAAUUGGAUUAUUAUUAAAGUGGAUUAUUAUUAAAUUGGAUUAUUAUCAAAAAGGAAUAUUAUUCAUCACUAUGUUUUAUAUUAGGAUUAUUUUCAUGAAACAUAAUUAUCAUCAUUUAUAGUAGGAUUAUUUAUAUUAGGAUUAUUAUCAAAAAGGAAUAUUAUUCAUCAUUUAUAUUAGGAUUAUUUUUUUAUCAAAUUGGAUUAUUAUUCAUUAAUAUUAGGUUUUAUUAUUCCAUAUUAUUUUUUUAAUUACGUAAAUUUUUACAAUCAUUUUCUUUACUUCAUAUUUAAUUAUUCUGUACAAUAACUUUAUUAUUUAGGUUCUCUUAAAUAACUUUAUUAUUUAAUUCUUUUGUCUAAUUUUCAUGAAAAAUAAAUGUAGGUACAUUUAAGAUGUCUAAUGGAGCUACUAAACGUGAUCCAGCUUGGGAACAUGGAGACCCAAUAGACGGAAACAAACAUGGCACAAUUUGCAAAUAUUGUGGUCGGGUAAUGAAGAGUGGUGGAGUGACACGACUUAAGUACCAUCUUAGUGGAUUAGAUCCAGCAAAAAAUGUCCAACGAUGCGAUAAUGUCCCCCCAGAAGUGAAGGCAUUCAUUAGCACAUUAUUAAAAAAUAAAAAACAGCAGAAGGAAAAGAUAACACAAGGAAUGGAAAAUAUUCGAGCUGGGCUACGAGGAGAAGUCAUUGGCCAAGCGGUUGACAGUGAUGAUGAUGACGAUGAGGACGAAUGUGAUGAUGACAUGGGACCUGAAGAACGACGCAGUUUGAAACAAGCAUUACGUGCCUCCAAACAGUCAGCAUGGGAAAAGAGAACACCUUCAUAAAAUUCCUAAUAGGGGGACAAGGUUCCGGGACAAGUGGUGGUGCACAAAUGAGACGGGGAGGCAGUCUUAGAGAAUCACAACCAACACCACCAAUAGCCCCAAGUUUAUAUAAGUCAUCCAACGCACGUCAAAAGAGUGUUUGGAGUUAUUUCAAGGGAGGUAAUGUGAAGGAGGGAAUGGGGCGUCUAAUUAGCAAGUUCUUUAUCUAUGAAAAUGUCCCUGCUGCGAAGGCAUCAUCACAUCAUUUCAAAAAUAUGGUAGUGGGAUGUCAACAGGCCGGUGUUGGAGUACAACCUCCCACUCCCUAUGAGAUAAGAAACAAAUAUUUGGAUAUGGAGUAUAAAGACAUUGGCGAGUAUGUUAACAAGUUGAGGUCAAAGUGGGAAACUAAUGGUUGCACAAUCAUGUGUGACGGAUGGACCGGCCUGACCAGAUUGUCCAUCAUCAACUUCAUGGUAUACUCCAAGGGAAAGACAAUUUUUUUAAAGUCUGUUGAUGCUUCAGACCAUAUAAAGAAUUACAAGUAUAUUUACAAAUUAUUGAGGGAUGUAAUCAUGGAGGUGGGAGAGCAUAAUGUUGUCCAAGUCGUGACCGACAACGGUUCUGCAUUUGUCAAAGCUGGAAAAAAGUUAAUGAAGCAUCAUAAUGUGUUUUGGACAUCAUGUGCAGCACAUUGUAUUGAUCUCAUGUUUGAGGCAAUGGGGAAGAGAGAGAAUGUUGCUACUGUGGUCAAAAGAGCUAGAACGAUCACAAAUUAUAUUUACAAUCACGGUUGGUUGUUGGCAAAGAUGCGUGACUUUUGCAAAGGAGAAAUUAUUCGUCCAGCUACCACUCGAUUCGCCACCAACUAUAUUGCAUUAGACAGCCUACUCAAGAAGAAAGCAGGGUUGAAGCAACUAUUCACUAGUGACGAUUGGGCCAACCACAAUUUGAGCCGCUCAAAUACAGGUCGUAUGGUGGAAAGUAUAGUGCUUGAUCAUGCUUUUUGGACUCAAACAGAACAUGUGUGUCAACUGUUUGAACCUCUUUACAAAGUUUUACGGAUCGUUGACACAGAAGUGUAUCCUACUAUGGGGGCAGUAUAUGAGUUAAUGCGUGUAGUGAAGGAUGAAUUGGAAAGAAAACAUGGUGCAAGGUGGGUCAUUAAGAUAAUUGAAGACCGAUGGUAUAAAACACUAUACCACGAUUUGCAUGCAGCAGGUAUAAAUUAUGUCAUAAUUUGCAAUUCAUUUCUUUAGUUGCAUAAGUAUUAUUUCUCUUAUUAGAGUAUGUGUUUUCUUUGAACAGCAUAUUAUUUUGAAUCCCCGAUACCAAUACAGACCCGGUGUUGGAGAUGAUGGUAACCUUAUACGUGCUGUACAUAAUGUAUACUCUAAAUUAGACCCUGCAUCACCAGCAGUUGGCCAAUUUGGAAAUGAGGUACACAAUUACUUAAAUUAUAAUAAUUACUUUGUUGGAUUAAACUAACACAAUUUAUUGUAUUCAGCUAACAUGGUUUAAAGAUGCAAGAAGAACAUUUGGAGAACCAACAUCAGUUGCUGCUCGAACAAAUAUGUCUCCUAGUGAGUAUAAACAUAUUUCACUAUAAGUUUAUAAUAGAAUUUGUUGGAGUUAUUAGGCUUAUCAACAUUAUUUUUUCAUUGUAGCUGAAUGGUGGAUCAUGUAUGGGACCGAUGCACCAACUGUGAGAAAGUUAGCAAUAAAAGUAUUAUCACAAACAGCUUCCUCAUCUGCUUGUGAAAGAAAUUGGAGCACAUUUGCACUCAUACACACAAAGCAAAGAAAUAAGUUGGCUCAUAGUAGCUUGGAAAAAUUAGUUUAUUGCUACUACAACAUGAAGCUUCAAAUUCGAGAUAAGGAAGCAGAAAUCGAUCAUGUCGACCGUGGUGACCCACUAGAUGUGUUUGAUAUUGUUGGUGAAGAUGAUGAUACGGAGGGUAACCAACUUUUUCAAUGGAUUAGACCUCUUCAUUUAGAUGAUGAUGAAGGCAACCCAGCUUCCAGAGUUGCUGAAGAAGCACGUAAUGAAGGGAUAAAUGUAGAAAGAGUAUUAGAGGAGGAGGUGGGAUCUAGCAGCUCUGACUCUUUCGAAGAACUUUUGCAGCCAAGACCAAGAAACACUGGAAUUCCACAUUCUUCCAAUCCUACACAACCACAACAUCGUGCUGAUACUAAUGAUAGCUCUAGUACAAGAUCAGGAGACUCACCUACCACCGGAGGUGGGAAUGAUGAAGGACAUAGUGGAGCUGGAGGUAGUGGAGCUGAAGGUAGUGGUGGUGGAUAUGGAAACUAUUAUGGACCACCACCUCCCAGAUAUAUGAGCCCCUUCACUAGUAAGGCAAACUUCACGCAUGCAACACAGGAUGAUGACCAUGGCAGUAGGCGGGCAGGACCAGGAAUUGGUGCCAUAGGGAAGGACUAUACUCGCAGAGAAAGAGGCAAGGGGAUUUUGUCAAGUCAAGAAGAUGACUCGUUAUCUAGAACUUCAGACUCUGUUGGAUUGGGAAGUAGUAACUAUGGUUAUACUCAUAACCAACCAUUUCCCUACCCUUCAUAUCCCAUUUCUGUUGGGAUGGAAUCGAGCGACUCAUGGAAACAAUCCCAGCCUCAAUCUUCAAAUGAUUUUUCUUAUGGACAACCUCAACCAAUCUCGGAUCCAUAUGGGUGGCAUAUUAACAAUUACAUGCAAAACUAUUUUGGGGAUUUAUCAUUUGAUAACUACUCUUCACAAUACACUCAUUCUACACAUAGAGAUGAUGAAGAUAGUGACAAAUUUGAACCUCAUAGGAACUCUAUGUGGUACUAAAGUGUAAAAUAUUGUAAUAAUUCAUUAUAUAUAAAUGAUUAUGGUGUGUUUAGACUUCUUUCAUUAAUUACUACAUAUUUUCUACACUCACAAUGUUUGUCAGCUCGCUAUAUAAUCAACUUGAUAAUGUUAAAUCCAUCAUGCAAUGCAUUUCCUUCCAAUUUUUUGUGAUAAACUAAUAGAUAAUUGACUAAAUAAACAUCCUACAAAGUUUCAAUAAAAAUUUCCAAGUUUUUCUUACAAUUUCCGUGGUUUCCAUGUAAUUUUUAUCGAUAUCGAUAUUUUACCGAUAUUUCCAUCGAUAUUUCCGUGUUUUCGGACUACCGAUAUUUCCGAUAUUACCGAUAUUUUCUUCCUUGACUAUGAUAUAUCUUUGUGUUCUUGUGCGUUUAUGUGAUUUACGGUCGGAUUUAUAUUGAACUAAGAUCGACCGAUUUUGUGCAUCAACAUUUGGCGUUGUGUAUGAGAAUCAAUAUGAAAAGCCAUGUCAGUUUUCUCUCAUUUUUUGACCUCAACACCGUGAAACCCUCACAACCACCACUGUCCACCAGAAAAAACUUACAAACCGAGAACCCAAAACCCCUCUCUCUGGCCAAAUUCUCCAAGAAGCCUAGACACCCCCACAAUGAAACCCUUACAACAUCCACAUCUCACCCGACACCGUAGCCUCAACCACGAGGCAUCCACCCCUAGAACUCUACUUCCCUCUCACGACUGCGAUUUGGGUGAAAUGGGCCGAUCUAUGAAAUCCAUACGAAACCACAGUCAUCGCACUGCCGAAAACCCAGGCAAAACCAAGUCGUCACACCGCCGGAAAUUUCUCUUGCGGCUGCCAUGCGUGAUUGGCAGCUUUCGCUCCGUCUCCUUGCGACACCACCGCUAUCCUGGAAUCGGGGAACUCGGACUGUCAGUUCCCCACUCAACCCAAGUGACGCCAGUUCGGGAAAAUUCGUCGGGGAUCGACAAAGGCACUGCAAACUCGCCGCGGCCACCAGUGGAAAACUAACGAAGAAGAUAAGUCUUCUUCUAAUUCAUUAAUUAGUUUAUUAUUGUUAUUUGUGAUGAAUAUAGUUAAUGAGGAUCCUCUCCGGAGGUUCUUUGUGAGGAUUUUAAGGAUUUUUAAAUUGUGUCUAUUCAUCAUAUAUCAUACGGUCAGAAAUCAUUUUAAAUACUUCUAUUUAAAAUUAAAUAUAAAUAGUAUCUGACAAAAAUUGACCGCACGAUGUAUAAUGAACAAAUACGAUUUGAGAAUCACUAGGAUCUUUCACAAAAAAGAUCUGGAGAGAAUCCUCUUUCAAAUAUAGUCUUAUUCUAAUUGCAUAAUCAAUUGCCUUUUACCAUUAUAUGAUUAUUUAAUAAUUUUAUCACAUGAUUAUACUACAACAGGUGACAUAUUUUGACCAAACUACUUAUUUUUAUUAUUUGAAUGUUAGGGCACGGUGGGCACGGUGGGCACGGUACACAAUACAAAGUUCUGAUACAAAGCACAAAGUUAUGUGUGUAUAUAUAUGUAUAUAAAAGCAAAGAUGUCCGCGCUUUGUUGCGGGUUUUGAAAUCAUACCCACAAUUUAACACACCCAUCUCCAAAUAAUCUAGAAACCGAUCAAAGCAUUUGAAUCCAAAUGGUAGAAAUAAUUCUUCACUUUGCAUGUAUGUUCUAUUGAAUUUACAUUAAGAGAUUAUGUACAACUAAAAUGACAGCAUUCUAGGUACAAAUCACAGAGUAAAUAAAUUGUUCCCAUAAUCAAUUUGCACCUGAUUAUACUAACUUUAUAUUAACAACCUAUGUACAAUAAAAAUGAUACACAUGCUUUACCUCUCAGGACUUAAUUUCUUACUUUACUGUUCUUAUGGCUCAUCACAUUCUUCUUGUCCUGCAUUCGGAAACACUUUGAAACUUCCUUUUAAAACUGUAAAGACACAAAUUUAAUCAAUUAAAUACAAAUAUAUUGAAACGCCGAGAAGUAGAAACAAUAUUGAGACAUAAAGAGUUCAUGGAAAGAUCAAACAGUGAACAAAUCAUGAUUUUUUAUUUAUUUAGAAAACAUACUAACAAAUAACUAAAUGAGUACCGACUAAUGCCCUUAAACCAUUGUUGUAGAAAUAAAGACAAAUACUUUAGAAUAAAGUUGAGAUAAUUAUGUAAUGAAAUAACUGAUUGAUUUGGAAGCCAUUAAAUCCAAAAUCUAGCCUCUUCUUCAACACCAUAUCUCAAGCAUACAUGGCAAUUUACAAUCAUCAAACACAGAAAAGAUAAAUCCCAUAUACAAACCCACACUAAAGGGUGCUUAAUUUGUCCGAGAGGUAUACAAUUCUAAGUAUUGGGUUUACUUCAUAUUGUGUGAAAUCCUAUUUAGAGAAUGUGGAUAAUUGUUGGUCUAAUCAUUAAUAACAACCUCCAUGCGAUGUGCAAAACACUUUAAACGUUAUCGACAUAGAGUUGAUUAGCAAUUACACAGUGGGUGGACAGUCCUUGGUUUAACUACAUACUUGGAGACGCUUACCUUACAACAACAACAACAACAAAGCCUUUUCCCACUAAGUGGGGUCGGCUAUAUGAAUCCUAGAACGCCAUUGCGCUCGGUUUUGUGUCAUGUCCUCCGUUAGAUCCAAGUACUCUAAGUCUUUUCUUAGGGUCUCUUCCAAAGUUUUCCUAGGUCUUCCUCUAUCCCUUCGGCCCUGAACCUCUGUCCCGUGGUCACAUCUUCGAACCGGAGCGUCAGUAGGCCUUCUUUGCACAUGUCCAAACCACCGUAACCGAUUUUCUCUCAGUUUUCCUUUAAUUUCGGCUACUCUUACUUUACCUCGGAUAUCCUCAUUCCUAAUCUUAUCCUUUCUCGUGUGCCCACACAUCCAACGAAGCAUCCUCAUCUCCACUACACCUACGUGUUGAUGCUUCACCGCCCAACAUUCUAUGCCAUACAACAUUGCCGGCCUUAUUGCCGUCCUAUAAAAUUUUCCCUUGAGCUUCAAUGGCCUACGACGGUCACACAACACGCCGGAUGCACUCUUCCACUUCAUCCAUCCAGCUUGUAUUCUAUGGGUGAGAUCACCAUCAAAUUCUCCGUUCUUUUCCAAGAUAGAUCCUAGGUAGCGAAAACAGUCGCUCUUUGGUAUUUCCUGAUCUCCGAUCCUCACCCCUAACUCAUUUUGGCCUCUGUUUGCACUGAACUUGCACUCCAUAUAUUCAGUCUUUGAUCGACUUAGGCAAAGACCUUUAGAUUCCAACACUUCUCUCCAAAGGUUAAGCUUCGCGUUUACCCCUUCCUGCGUUUCAUCUAUCAACACUAUAUCGUUUGCGAAAAGCAUACACCAAAGAAUAUCAUCUUAAAUAUUAAGUUUGUGAUCUUCGCUAGAUUGCUCCGGUCAUUAGUGUGGAUAAGUAUGUUAAUGGAUAGAGACAGGAAGCAAACACAAGAUGUACGUGGUUCACCCAGAUUGGCUACGUCCACGGAGUAAAGGAGUUCUCAUUAAUUGUGAAGGGUUUACACAGUAUAUAGGUUCAAGCUCUCCUUUAGUGAGUACAAGUAAAUGAUUUAGUACAAAUGACAUUAGGAAAUAUUGUGGAAGAAUUAUCUCGUAAUCACGAAACUUUUAAGUACCGAAGUGUGGUAUCGUUUUCACUUGCCUUAUCUGUCUCAUAGGUAGAUGUGGCAUCUUCUUUGGAAGUACUCUUUCUCCCUCCAGGGGUGGUAUCUUUAACUGGUGGAGAUGCACAAGGUAAUAUAUCAAUUUCACUUGACGCUUACUUGUAGUUUCAGGCUUGGUCAAGCGCGAUACAAACCAUGUAGUAGGAGUCCCCCAAGUCGCAGAGCUAGGGGAUCUGCUGAAAGAGGUGACAGACAAGGUAAGCAAUCAGAGCUCCAAGCAAUCAGUCCCAGAUCAUAAGUUUGAUUUCGAGUUCCGGCUGAUUGUUAUCCUUCUCCUUAUCUUGUAGGUAGCAUGAAGGAUAAAGAGAAGAAAAUGAGAAAAUGUGAUAUGAGAUACUUUUGCUUUUGAAGAAGUAACUUUCCACAGGCUUAUUCUUGAACUGGGCUGGAGGGUUUUCUUGUUUCCGCCAGAGUAUAAGGCCGACUGAAGAAUUUGAGGGUCAAAACAAGUCCAUCAAAUCUAGAGUACGUUCGACCCUGCUGAUAUGGGAUACUUUUGUUGUUGACAAAGUAGUGGAUGUAUCGGCACGUGUUAUGUUGCGCUUGUCUCCACAUGCUUCCUUGUAUCCUUCUCACUUGCCCUAUUUGUUCCUCAGGCAGAUGUGGUAUCUUCUCGGGAAGCAUAAAAUGUUGAAGAUGAGUACUCGAGAGCAAUGGGGUUCCAGGCAGUCAGUUCCGGACUGGAAGCUUGAUUCCAAGUGCUGACUGAUUGCUCUCUUCCUUGUCUUGCAGGUAAGAACAAGGCUAUAGGAAAAGACAGGGAAAAAGCAUGAUAUGGGAUACUCUUGCUUUUAACCCUGAUGAUAUGAGAUAUUCUUGCUUUGGUGUAGCUUGUUUGCAGAGGUAUUCUCGGGGGGAAAGAAAGUUGAGUAUUUCGAGAUGCUUCGUUGGGAGUGCCCUCUCAGAUAUGAGGAAGGGUUGAGCAUUUUUGCAGGUCUGCCUCUCCGUUGAGGAUGGAGGUCGACAUAUAUAGGAGUUUCCCUAACAAGAAGGAGUAAUACUAUUCUUUUACCCUGCUUGGUCAUAGCACGGUAGUGGGAGCUGCCAGCUUCACGUGUUUUAACUCUGUCAGAGCACUUUGAAAAAGUGGUCUGUGGUAUCUGGAAAGCUGAUGUUACGUGUGAAGAUUACAGACAAGCUUUAUCCAAGGAGAUCUGGCUCUCGAAGUUAAGAAAGCGGUGUGAGGAUUACAGACAAGCUUUAUCUAAGGGCUCUCGAAGUUGAGAAAGCGGUGCCUCUACGGUUUUCGAACAAGCAAUCCUGUCGGGGAUCUGUCUCUCGAGAUUCGGAGAACGGUGCCUCUUCGAUUUUUGAGAAAGAAAUCCUGCUAGGAGUCUGGCUCUCGAUAUUCGGAGAGCGGUGUCUCGUCGCUUUUUGAGAAAGUAAUCAUGUUGGGAGUCUGGCUCUCGAGAUUCGGAGGACGGUGCCUCUUCGAUCUUGAAGCAAUCAAUCUUGUUGGGAGUGUUUUCUCGAAUGUGAGUAAAGGUUAGGCCUGUUUGCUAGUCUACCUUGCCACGGAGCACAGAGGUUGACACACAGGGACUUUCCAAUUAUCCAGCAGUGGUCCUGUUCCUUUGCCCUUGUGGGUAAUAAUAUGGUAGCUAGACCUUCAAAAUUUAUGUGUCUAAACUUUGUUAGUGUUGUUUCUUUGCUAUUCUUUUACCCUUCUUGGUCAUAGCGAUGUAAUGGGAGCUGCAAGCUUCACGUGUCUAAACUUUGUCAGAGAUUUUUGGCAAAGUUAUCUGUGGUACCCGUGAGCUGAUGUUGUGUGUGGAAAGUGGAUGAUUGAACAGUAACAUUCACGUGCUUUCUACUUCACCAGAAAUCUUCGACAGAAUGCCCGUAAUUUCCGCAAAGUUGAGUGUGCAUGUGACAGGUGCUAACAAGGCUAAAAAAGCAGGUGCCUCUUCGAUUUCUGAGAUCGGCCCUCGUGGUCUCUGAGCAGCCCAGCUUUUGAGAAAGCAAGCGCCUCUUCGAUUUCUGCGAUUGACCUUCGUGGUCUUUGAGCAGCCCAGCUUUUGAGAAAACAAACGCCUAUUCGAUUCCUGAGAUCGGCCCUCGUGGUCUCUGAGCAGCCUAACUUUUGAGAAAGCAAACGCCUUUUCGAUUUCUGAGCAGGCGCCUCUUCGAAAUCUGAAGCUUCAUCGAGUGCAGAUUUUUAUAGAGGCUGGUAUUAAGUUCCAAAGCACACUUGAAUCUCCACCAGUAGAAGCUCCCUUCUUGCAUUUCUAAGAUCUUGAUUUGUCCGACCUCUUUUCUCUUCAACACCUUUGAAAAUGUCUGGCCCCUCCGACCGUCGUUUUGACUUGAACCUUAUUGAAGAGGCAGCCACGCCUUCUCCAGACAACAUAGGCGCCCAUCCUUCAUAUCCCCUACUGGUCCUCUUACCAUUGGGGAUUCCGUGAGGAAGAAUGAUAUGACCGCUGCGGUGGUGGCCAGGAACCUUCUCACUCCCAAAGAUAACAGACUACUUUCCAAACGGUCUGAUGAGUUGGCUGUUAAGGAUUCUCUGGCUCUCAGUGUUCAGUGUGCAGGUUCUGUGUCUAAUAUGGCCCAACGCCUAUUUGCUCGAACCCGCCAAGUUGAAUCAUUGGCGGCUGAAGUGAUGAGUCUCAAACAGGAGAUUAGAGGGCUCAAGCAUGAGAAUAAACAGUUGCACCGGCUCGCACAUGACUAUGCUACAAACAUGAAGAGGAAGCUUGACCAGAUGAAGGAAUCUGAUGGUCAGGUUUUACUUGAUCAUCAGAGGUUUGUGGGUUUGUUCCAAAGGCAUUUAUUGCCUUCGUCUUCUGGGGCUGUACCGCGUAAUGAAGCUCCAAAUGAUCAACCUCGAUGCCUCCUCCUUCUAGGGUUCUGUCCAGUACUGAGGCUCCGAAUGAUCCCCCUCCGGUGCCUUCUCUUUCUGGGGCUCUACCGACUGCUGAGACUUCUCCUAAGCAACCUUUGUGAAGGCUCCCUCUUGUUUGUUUAUUUUGACUCAUGUAUAUGUACAUAUUUGUAACUUAUUAGAGAUAUCAAUAAAUAAGCUUUCCUUCAUUUCAACGUAUUGUGUUAAAUACACCAAAGCCUUCUUCGCUAAGUUCUUUGAAUUUUUCUUUUGUUGAAGCUUGUAUGUUGAAGCUUUGUGAGUGGAGCAUGUAGGUUGAGGUAGUGUUCCCUUAAUUUCCCGAGUGAGGAAAACUUCUCGGUUGGAGACUUGGAAAAAUCCAAGUCACUGAGUGGGAUCGGCUAUAUGAAUCUUAGAACGCCAUUGUGCUCGUCCUGUGUCAUGUCCUCCGUUAGAUCCAAGUACUCUAAGUCUUUUCUUAGAGUCUCUUCCAAAGUUUUCCUAGGUCUUCCUCUACCCCUUCGGCCCUGAACCUCUGUCCAUAGUCGCAUCUUCUAAUCGGAGCGUCAGUAGGCCUUCUUUGCACAUGUCCAAACCACCGUAACCGAUUUUCUCUCAUCUUUCCUUCAAUUUCGGCUACUCCUACUUUACCUCGGAUAUCCUCAUUCCUAAUCUUAUCCUUUCUCGUGUGCCCACACAUCCAACGAAGCAUCCUCAUCUCCGCUACACCCAUUUUGUGUACGUGUUGAUGCUUCACCGCCCAACAUUCUGUGCCAUACAGCAUCGCCGGCCUUAUUGCCGUCCUAUAAAAUUUUCCCUUGAGCUUCAGUGGCAUACGGCGGAUCACACAACACGCCGGAUGCACUCUUCCACUUCAUCCAUCCAGCUUGUAUUCUAUGGUUGAGAUCUCCAUCUAAUUCUCCGUUCUUUUGCAAGAUAGAUCCUAGUAAGCGAAAACGGUCGCUCUUUGGUAUUUCUUGAUCUCCGAUCCUCACCCCUAACUCGUUUUGGCCUCCAUUUGCACUGAACUUGCACUCCAUAUAUUCUGUCUUUGAUCGGCUUAGGCGAAGACCUUUAGAUUCCAACACUUCUCUCCAAAGGUUAAGCUUUGCAUUUACCCCUUCCUGAGUUUCAUCUAUCAACACUAUAUCGUCUGCGAAAAGCAUACACCAAGGAAUAUCAUCUUGAAUAUGUCCUGUUAACUCAUCCAUUACCAACGCAAAAAGGUAAGGACUUAAGGAUGAGCCUUGAUGUAAUCCUACAGUUAUGGGGAAGCUUUCGGUUUGUCCUUCAUGAGUUCUUACGGCAGUCUUUGCUCCUUCAUACAUAUCCUUUAUAGCUUGGAUAUAUGCUACUCGUACUCCUUUCUUCUCUAAAAUCCUCCAAAGAAUGUCUCUUGGGACCCUAUCAUACGCUUUUUCCAAAUCUAUAAAGACCAUGUGUAAAUCCUUUUUCCCAUCUCUAUAUCUUUCCAUCAAUCUUCGUAAGAGAUAGAUUGCCUCCAUGGUUGAGCGCCCUGGCAUGAACCCGAAUUGGUUGUCCGAAACCCGUGUCUCUUGCCUCAAUCUAUGCUCAAUGACUCUCUCCCAGAGCUUCAUUGUAUGACUCAUUAGCUUAAUACCCCUAUAGUUCAUGCAAUUUUGUACGUCGCCCUUAUUCUUGUAGAUAGGCACCAAAGUGCUCUUUCGCCACUCAUUUGGCAUCUUCUUCUUCGUUUUCAAAAUCCUAUUGAAAAGGUCAGUGAGCCAUGUUAUACCUGUCUCUCUCCCAAAGGCUUUCCACACUUCGAUUGGUAUAUCGUCUGGGCCUACUGCUUUUUCUAUGCUUCAUCUUCUUCAAAGCUACAACCACUUCUUCCUUCCGGAUUCGACGAUAAAAAGAGUAGUUUCUACACUCUUCUGAGUUACUCAACUCCCCUAAAGAAGCACUCCAUUUCAUGUCCUUCAUUGAAAAGAUUAUGAAAAUAACCUCUCCAUCUGUCUUUUAACCGCGUUCUCUGUAGCAAGAACCUUUCCAUCCUCAUCCUUGAUGCACCUCACUUGGUUUAGGUCCCUUGUCUUCUUUUCCCUUGCUCUAGCUAGUUUAUAGAUAUCCAACUCUCCUUCUUUGGUAUCUAGUCGCUUAUACAUAUCGUCAUAAGCCGCUAACUUAGCUUCUCUCACAGCUUUCUUCGCCUCUUGCUUCGCUUUUCUAUACCUUUCACCAUUUUCAUCGGUCCUAUCCUUGUAUAAGGCUUUACAACAUUCCUUCUUAGCCUUCACCUUUGUUUGUACCUCCUCAUUCCACCACCAAGAUUCCUUUUGGUGUGGGGCAAAGCCCUUGGACUCUCCUAAUACCUCUUUUGCUACUUUUCGGAUACAACUAGCCAUGGAAUCCCACAUUUGGCUAGCUUCCCCCUCUCUAUCCCACACACACUGGGUGAUUACUUUCUCUUUGAAAAUGGACUUGUUUUUCUUCCUUUUAGAUUCCACCAUCUAGUCCUUGGGCACUUCCAAGUCUUGUUCUUUUUUCUCACUCUUUUGAUAUGUACAUCCAUCACCAACAAGCGAUGUUGAUUAGCCAACGCUCUCCCCUGGUAUAACUUUGCAAUCCUUACAAGUUAUACGAUCCCCUUUCCUCAUUAGAAGAAAAUCUAUUUGUGUUUUUUGACGACCCACUCUUGUAGGUGAUCACAUGUUCUUCUCUCUUCUUAAAGAAGGUGUUGGCUAAGAAGAGAUCAUAUGCCAUUGCAAAAUCCAAGAUAGCUUCCCCAUCCUCGUUUCUCUCCCCAAAACCAUGGCCACCAUGAAAACCUCCAUAGUUGCCUGUCUCCCUGCCCACGUGUCCAUUUAAAUCUCCUCCUAUAAAUAACUUCUCCGUCUGAGCAAUUCCUUGCACCAAGUCUCCAAGGUCUUCCCAAAAUUUCUCCUUCGAACUCGUAUCCAACCCUACUUGAGGUGCGUACGCACUAAUCACAUUGAUAAGUUCUUGUCCUAUUACAAUCUUGAUUGCCAUGAUUCUAUCUCCUACCCUCUUGACAUCUACAACAUCUUGUGUCAAGGUCUUGUCCACGAUGAUGCCAACACCGUUUCUCGUUCUAUUUGUGCCCGAAUACCAAAGUUUAAACCCUGAGUUUUCUAGAUCCUUUGCCUUAACGACCAACCCACUUAGUUUCUUGUAGGCACAUAAUAUUUAUCCUUCUCCUCACCAUAACUUCCACUACUUCCAUAGAUUUUCCCGUUAAGGUUCCUAUAUUCCACGUUCCUAAACGCAUUUUGCUCUCUUGAACUCUACCCUUCUGUCCUAGCUUCUUCACCCUUCCCCCGUCUAAUAGGAUCAAAGUACUUCUUUUGUGUGUCCUGUGUAAAGUUGAUAGGAGCAUAUGCUCCCAAACAACUUUGAGUGGAGUCGUUCGAAAAGAAGUUUCUAUGGCCCCCUUGCUCAUUUAACACUGCAUCCGGGUGCCGAUGGAGAUACAGCGACCCUUGCUCACUUAUCACUGUGCUCGGGCCACACAGCGCGCCACUUACGGGUGACGCCCUAGCUUUAGCGCGAUUUCGUUCUGGAUUCAUUUUCAUAAGGAUUCGACGUAACUGUGGAGUGCCGGUUGUCGACUACCUGACGCCCUCCCCCUCCUCCUUUAUCCGGGCUUGGGACCGGCAGUGUAAGAUAAACUUACACAGGCGGAGUUACUUGGAGACGCUUACCUUGAUUGAAAUAUUUUCCUUGCGCUUUUUUAAGAUGUCUAGAAACACUUGGGUUUAAAGUCUCCACACUCAAACACCAUAAAACAUAAUUGAAAAAAUCACAAUUUAAAAAUGGUUGAAAAAAUUAAAACUUGGUAAGCAAAAUCUAAGAGGGCUAACAAAUUACCUGCACUUGGAACAGAGACUGGCAAAUUUGCCGAUCCACAAUGAUCAGCCUUUCUUUCAUUCGUGUGUAUUGGCUGUUCUGCACGAAUGAUUCAUGCAAACCUUGAACCUCAUUGCCCAAAUUCAAACUCUCUAAAACCCUAAAAGCAAAUAAAACAUAGCAAUCAAACCUAAAUAUCUAAACCCCUUUUGACCAAAACCCAUAAAUUAGAACAUAAAACCCAGCAUUAACCUGGUAAUUUUUUAUUAUUUUUCUUCUCAUUACUCAUUUACAAAAUAUAUUAAAAUUCAUAUAAACUAAUAAAACCCAAAAAAAAAAAGGAAAACAGAGUUUGAUCGAAUACACCAUGCAUAUUUCCCACCACCAAUCAACCAUAACUGAUUUCAAUACCCUUAGCUGCUCUAGUAGACCAUCUAGUGACACCUAACUGCCACCAAAAUAAAAGACAUGAUCAAGACCAUACAUAUUACAGACUAAGCUUAAAAACAACUGUUACCUAUUAAGCAAAACUUGAACUCCUUGAUAUGGCAACCUCUCAAUCCAUUAUGUAGAGUAUAAAAGCAAAAUUAUUGACAAACCAAAAAAUAACAAUUUAACUUGCACAGUAAAUGAAUAUUAAUAAAGUUACAGAACUCAAUGGAUUACAUAUACUAGUAAAAAAGGAAAACAUCAAUGUUUGGGAAGUUACUUUGUUUGAAAUGUCAGGAGCAUCUGGUGUACAUACCAGGUAAACAGUCCUUGCAAAAUUCAAGGCUUCAAAAUAAAAUAAAAAAUAAGUUCAAAAGAAAUCAAAACUAUUAAUCCUAACAACUGUUUAGUAAACAAUCUUUCCAUAAAACAAAUUUGAGAAACAAAAAAGGGGAACUAAAUUUAAGUUGAAUAGAGUUGACAAUUGCUUACCUAGAAAUCCAAGCGAAAUCCCCAAAAAUUCACUCCCCCAAAACCCUACAAAUCACCAGAGUCGAAAACCAACGCUACACCAGGAUCAUCCACACAACGACAAACUCCGAUCAUCAUCACCGAUCUCCAUCUCCUUACAAAGUCAAAACCCUUUUUAAGAACGAAAACAAAAGGUUCUAAAUUUACUCAAACCCAACAAUAACAGACGAAAUUAAAAUUAAUUAGAGCAAAGUUAGGGUACAAAUUUGAAAUUCCAAAAACCCAAAUUAAACGCAAAAUAUCAGAAUUCAUAACACAAAGACUCAAAUUAACACAAAAUCAAUGUGCUUUCAAAAGAACGUGAAAAACUGUAACUUAUCGAAAGUGCAGAAAGAUUGAGAUCGAAAAUACAAUCGGGGUUAAGUUCGUGAGAUGAAUGGGAGACGACUGGUGGUAACGAUGAGGUCCGAGGCAUGAAACAGCUGUUUCUUAUUCCUGAGAUGAAGGGGAGACGACUGGUGGUAACGAUGAGGUCUGAUUCGCCGACGUUCAGAUGGCAAUAGCUCUCUGUCCUCGCUAGCUGAGUCACGGAGAGGAGAGCGAGAGGGAAGAGAGAUAACAGAGUAGAAAGAACCAAAAAAAUAUAAAAAAAAAUUCAGUAUAUAUAAUUUAUAAAACAAUGGCAUGCCUGUAAUAACAAAAACUUAACAGGGGCAAAAAAGGAAGCACAUUGUGCUUAUGAACAGUGUUUCGGUUAUAUUUGAGUUGGAUUGUCUGCCGUCCCCAUCCCAUACCCUUCCAUGCCCUCCUAUAUUAUGUGGUCACGGUUAAGCCACGUCAACAUUUUAUAUUGAUUUUUUUUUUAUAAAAAUAAUAAUACAAAAAGUAAUGAGAAUAUAAAAUGUUGACGUAGUUUAACCGUAACCACAUAAAUAGGAAGGCAUGGGAAGGGUAUGAGAUGGGGAGGGCUGACAAUCCAAGUCCUUUUAGUAUAUAUUGAAUUUGCCUGCAUUCAUCAUGUCAAGAUUAAUAUGCUCAGAAUGCUUUCGGUAUGCAUGACUCAUAUUUCACUAAUCUCAGUCGCAUCAUACAUUUUUAAAUAGGCAUUUACUUGUGCAAUCUUAACCCUAAUAUAUUGUGAUUGCCUUUAACGAUGUCAGAUAUGAAACAACUCAUUAACCACACAACUUACAUAGUAUCACAUUAUGCUUUUACCAAACUUUUUUGGUUAAUUUAUUGAGUAUGCGUCCAUGCUUAUACUAUCAUUUAUUGUCAAGACUCUAUUGAUCAACAUUAUUACUGAUUAAAGAAACUUGUCGACCACUACUAAUGAACUUAUAGAUCAAUGAGCCACAUCUUUAUGGUGACAAAGAUUUAGUCCCAACGGUGGUCUCCUGUUUGACCGAACACCUGCUUGCUCGAACACUAGCUCAUUUGGACACCUAAGCGAUCGGACACCUGCGAGCUCAUGCACCAAGUCGUUUGGGCACCUACGAGAUUGGACACCCACAAACUUGGACACCCUUGAGCUCAAAUCUCGACUUACAGACCCAACUCAAAGUCCCCAUGUAUGGCCCCGACUCAAAGACUUGACUUGUGGACCUGAUCCGUGGAUCCAACACAUAGACCCAAUAUACGAACUCGACAAGCGGACCCAAGUCAUGUCGAGAGUUAACUAAUAAUGAGUGCACAUUGACGUCGAGUGUAUACUGUCACACCCCGACCCUGACAUACGUCUAGGAUCGAUGCGCGAGGGUAGACUAUAGGGGAUGCCAAGAAAUACAAACUGAAAUACUGAACUGAAAAUAACAAUAAUCACAACUGUUUAAGGAAAAAUAUAGGGGCAACCUAACACUCCAAGCUCUCUAAACUCUGUCAGCUACCCCAAAGCUCUUCGUAUCUACUAAAACUUGCACAAUUGCCCCUACACCAUGGGAAUGGUGCACCGGGCAAACAAUAACCCAGAUAAACUGCGAAACUCUUGUGAGUGACCAUAAUUCUACGUAUGUGAUACUAUUAAAAACCAAUCAUCGAUUCGGUUUAUAAACGUCAAAUAUAAAAUCAUAAUCAAGUCACUGAAAAUCUCAAAUGAGUCAUCCAGACAUCCAACGGCUCGUUUGAAACAAAUCACAAAAGCUCACAACCAUAAACUCAUACAACACAAUGAAAAGUAGGGUUAGAGUGACACAGUUCGACCGAAGCCUACAUCACUGAAGCUAUCUUAAUCCAAACUCAAUCCGAAGAAUCAACAAAGCAAUUAAUCGGUUCCAGACCUCUCAACGGAACCAUAAUACCAAAUGGAUUCCAGACCACUCAAUGGAAUCCAAACAAGAUAUGAUUCCAGACCACUCAAUGGAAUCGCGGAGUAGAAGGGAUUCCGGACCUCUUAACGAAAUCCGAGUAGAUACGAUUUCGAACCUCUCAACGGAAUCGUGGAGUACAAUGAUAUCAGACCACUCAACAAAAUCCAAGCUGGAUACGAUUCCGGACCACUCAACGGAAUCACGGAACACGAGGGAUUCUGGACCACUCAACGGAAUCUAGACGGAGCAAGGAACUAGACCACUCAAUGAAAACCCAGUUCUGGAUCACUCAACGGAACCAAGCGGAAGGCCAAUAACCGUACUGUACAAUGGCUUAAAGAAACGAGACAAGGCACAAGUUACUCAAUUUACAAAAGCUCAACGAAGUGAAACAAGGCACAAAUACUAAUUUAGAACGAAUCAAUGAAGCGGGAAAUGAAACAAUAUCGAAGCAACAAAUCCCCAUCACAAUAGGUUAACGGUCCACUACUAGCCCUCACAUUUCAUCACAACAUGCCAAUCAUACAAAUCAAACCAUAUUUCAAAUAUACAUGUCAAAUCUCAUUUCAUAAACAUAAAUCGAUGGCUAAGUAUUAAAUAUAACAAUUCAAUAGAAAACGUAUUUAUAAAAGCAAGUCAUAUCCACACAGGAUAACAAUUACAGAAAUAGGGUAAUCACCAAUAUCACAUAUAUUAAAGUCACUCACCUGGAGUUUGCGCUAACGCACCCUAGCACAAGAAUUGAGAUGUCACGCAAUAUCGUCGCCUAAAACAAAGUACAAGUCCACUUUUAGAUUUUCUUCGAUAAUUCACAUACUCAAAAACUCUCAUACAUCCCCCACAACAACAUUUAAUGAAAAUCAAACCGUCGUUCAAAGGUAGGGUCCAUGAUCCUACAUCACUUGCUCUGUAAGAUCCAACCUCUAGAUUUUCGAUUCGUAAAUUCCUCAGGUCCUUAAAUAUUACAUACUAUAAUGUAUCAAAGUUUGGUGAUGAUUCAAUGGUCGGAUCGUUGAUUGCUAUAAUGUUCAAGUGGCGGACCUUAACGAAAUUUCGCCGGAUUCUGCAGAUUUUGCAGAUUUUCUGGGCAUCUUUAGAACUCCAUAUCUCACUCGUUUCUCAACCAAAUCUGACCCAUAAUAUACCAAAACGAAGCUAGAGAAGUGUAGAACAAGAUUAUACCUGCUUGGAUCCAAAAGGUUGCCGGAGGUGGCCGGAAAAUGGCCUGAAAUAUGGCUGUCUGCGGGAAAACUGGUAACUCGCUGGAAUUUCUGGGCAAACUUUAAAUUGUUAUAACUUUCUCAUUUCUUAACCAAAUCACACGAUCCAAACAUGAAAAUUUAUCUACACAUCACUAGGAAUCCAAUUAUGGUGCUUAGAGUUCUUACCUUGGUCAGAAUAUAUGAGAAAUUGACCUGCAAAGUGACGGCUCAAAUGGAGGUUCUUGAUUUGUUUGAUCCCGAGGUAAACUCGAGUAUCCAACACAUGAAACAGGUUCCUGGGAUGAUGGUGAACACAGUGAGGAUGUUUGCAAGGUCCAAUUUUCUGGAAAGGAAAUGGUGGUGGAUGAUGGCGUGUCUCAGUGAAGAAGAGUGAAUGAGAGAGAGAAUAACGGGAGAAAGAAGAAAUGGAAAAGAAGAAUCCAGAAAAAUGGGGACCAAUAUGUGGUCCCACGUGGUAGAUAACAAAUUUCACAUGUGUUCAAUUGUCAAUUUACCAAAAUGCCCUCAACAAGUACUAUCCAAAUAUAUAAAGAUUAAAAAAUACGUAGGGACUGUAGACAUUGAAAUUUCGGUGGCAUAAAUGUUAGCCAUUGCAUUAAGAUCACAUUUGUAAAACAUUAAAAUUUUAGUGUAAUAAAUGUUGACCAUUGUAUUAAAAUUACAACCUUCAUUCACUUCACCUACAACAUACACCCAAGUUUCACCUACAACACCCACCAAAAUUCACCUACAACACCCACCAAAAAUUCACCUACAACACCCACCAAAACAAAUGGAUGGUGGUGAUUCAUUCCCAAGGCCUAUAAAUAGGCUCCUCCAUCAAAGAAUCAAAGGAGGAUUUUUGGCAUACACUUUCUCUACUCCCAAAUUGGAAGAGAAUUCACACCAUACUAAAGCCUUGAAGCCUCGAAACUCUGAAGCUCUCAAGCAAAUCCCGAAGGAUCAAGAAAGCCCUCUUCAUUCUUCGUGAAAUCCUCAUUCAAGAUCAAGCCCUAACGCCCCCCUUGAAGAACUUCCACCAAUUCAAGAUCAAGCCCCGACGGCCCUUGAAGAAGGUGUUCAUCAUUCCUCAACCGUUCGUCCAAGAUCAAGCCUCGACGGCCCUUGGAUCAACAACACUACAUCUACACGUUUCAAAGAUAGAAUCAGAGGAUAAAUUUGUAGAAGAGAUUGUAACCCCUAAAUCAUUAAUACAAAUAUUAUUUUGUACACGUGUUCUUGUCUCUUUCGUUUCAGGAAUUUCCGUGUUCACAAAUUUGGCACGCCCAGUGGGACAGUCUCUACCUCUCAUCUCUAUCUGUGAACCCGCAACAAGCACAAAUGGCGUCAAAAAAGGCCCGAGUUGUUCCCGCUGCCGAUGCAAGAAACAAAAGCGUCAUCACGGCAGGGGGCAUCACUUCAGGCAUCAUAACUCGAAGCAAGGCAAAAGCUCUUUCCGCCGCCUCUUUCGCCCCUUCAUCAACUCCGCCGAAGGCACAAGAGCACCCGAGGUUCGAACCGGUGAUCACCCUGGCCUCGCUCAGGGCGCAAAGAGAGGAAAGCCAGAGGAAGUACUCUGAAUCCUUACUUUUCGAUGCCGACUCGAGCAGCGGCAUAGCUAUGCAAGUCAUGGUUACUGGAACAACUUCAAUUGAGGAGCAGCUGGCUCAGAUGAAUGAAGCAAUCGCAAAGCUCACAAGGACUGUAGAGGAAAAAGACCUGCAAAUCGCAGCACUCGUUAACCAACUAGAUGCAAAGCCCGAUGAAAAAGUCAGGCAAGGGGAUAAUCCAGUAAAGAAGGAAAACGACGGGAUGAGGAACCUCCAUUGGAGAACGUCGAAGAGACGCUGAAGCCAGACCAAGCGGCAACACUCAUGGGGUCCUCUCUAUCCAGCAGCUGCAGGAGAUGAUCGCCAACACCAUCAAGGCGCAGUAUGAAGAAGCUCACAUGAUUCCGUACUAUACUCAAAGCCCUACUCCAAGAAGAUUGACGCUUUGAGAUGCGAGGGGUUAUCAACCACCAAAGUUUAUGCAGUUCGAUGGAAAGGGGAACCCGAAGCAACAUAUCGCCCACUUCAUUGAACCUGCAGCAAUGCUGGAACAGAGGGAGCUACCUCGUCAAGCAGUUCGUGCGCUCGCUGAAAAGCAACGCCUUUGACUGGUACACCCGACCUCGAGCCCGAGUCUAUCAACAGUGGGAUCAGCUAGAAAAGGAAUUCCUCAACCGCUUCUACAGCACCGCCGCACCGUAAGCAUGCUGAGCUGACCAGUACGAAACAGUGGAAGAGGAACCCCGUCGACUACAUCAAUAGAUGGCGUCAUUAAGUCUAGAUUGCAAAGAUCGGCUUUCUGAAACUCGCCAUUGAGAUGUGUGUUCAAGGCAUGCACUGGGGUUACAUUACAUUCUCCAAGGCAUAAAACCAAGAACGUUUGAGGAGCUUGGCAACGCGUUCCCACGACAUGGAGCUGAGUAUCGCCAAUCACGGAAAGAAUGAGCCGAUCACCACUUCAAGAAGGAUAAGGUGUUCGCCCCGAGUGCGGACAAGACUGGAAAAAAGCCUGCCAAGGAAACUUUAACUGUCAACAUUCCCCAUCAAAACCCCAUCCGCCCUAUCAAGACCACCUCUACGCCUAUAAGAUUUCCUCCAAGACCAAGGCAAAGGAGACAAAGAGAGUGAGGCCUCCUCGCACCCAAGACAAGUAUAAAAACACCUUGAGAGAUUGGAGCAAAAGACGUACCCUUUUCCUGACUCAGACGUGGAUGCGAUGUUAGAUGACUUGCUGGAAAAGAAGGUAAUUGAGUUACCAGAGUGCAAAGCGCCCUGAAGAAAUGAAUCGAACGAACGAUCCUAGGUACUGCAAGUACCAUCGUAUCGUAAGCCAUCACGUGGGCAAGUGCUUCGUCCUCAAAGAACUCAUUAUGAAGCUAGCGCAACAAAGGGAGAAUCGAGCUAGACCUUGAGGACACAGCCGCAACACAUACUACUACGGUGGCGUUCGGAUCUUCGAUCCCGUGCCUCUUCUAAACGACACCUAACCAUUCCAUCAAUGUGCAAGCUACACGGCGCCUUCUACACAACCAUCGCUGGGGGCAAACGAACAAGAUGCGUACCGUGAUGAUGAAGGGUGGACAUUGGUGACCUAUAAAAAAACAAGGAAACCAAAACCACAAGCCACGAGACCAAAGGUGGAACAAGUGAGAAAAUACCGUCGCCGCAACAGUAGGAAGCCUAAAAGAAACGUAAAUCAUAAGCCAACGUAUGCUGGGGAACCUAUGGAGCAAGGAACACGCAUUCCUGUCUCCUUGUACGAGUACUUCCCGAAUGGACUUCUUCCAACAGUGCACUAUCGCUGCAUGCCAUAUGGUCGAAGUAGAAAUGGAAGAACCUUCAAAAGGCAAAGAUAUAACCACUGAAGGAGAAAAAACUUUCACGCUCGAAGAAGGUCUGCCAACACACUUUAGCAUUGAGGAAGCGUUACGAUUACCAAAGAAGAUGCGAAUAGCAUUAGCAGCUGUCUUGGAAAGUCCAAUGAACACGAAGGGCAAGAAAGCAAGAACGAAGGCUUGAAGCCUCGGCCACAUGAAUGUGCCACAUGUUGUGCCAUCGAGGACGCAAUCCAUUUCACCGAUGAAGACUUGCUGCUAGGAUCCAAGCCUCACAACCGUCCUCUCUUCGUCUCUGGGUAUGUUAAAGGGCACAAAGUCAACCGCAUGCUUGUGGAUGGUGGAUCAGCCAUAAACAUCAUGCCAAAGUCGACAAUGACUACAAUCGGCAUCAAGGCGGAUGAACUGUCCCUAAGUCGUCUACUAAUCCAAGGUUUUAAUCAAGGAGGACAAAGAGCGAUGGGCAUGAUCCGAGUGGAGAUGACUAUUGGUGAACUCAAGUCGAGCACGAUAUUCCACGUGAUUGAUGCAAGAACUUCCUACGGCUUACUCUUAGGAAGGCCUUGGAUCCAUGCGAAUGGAGUAGUACCGUCCACCCUUCACCAAUGCUUUAAAAUUUCUACCGAGAAGGAGUGAAGGUGAUCUAUUGGCGACACCAAACCAUUCACUGAAGCCGAAUCACAUUUCGCAGACGCCAAGUUCUACAUGGAUGAAGACAUGGUGCCCGAAGCUCUUCCAAAAGAGAUCAAAUCCACGGGCAAAGCAACACCUAAAAAGCAGGAGCGACAAGCCAUGCCCAAGAAGCAAGAAGAAGAAGUUACGCCGUCUCCAAGCAAGAACGAUAAUGAGCUGGCUAAACGUUGCAACAACAAAGGGGAGUAGGACGCCCUCAAAUGGACCAAACACACCCGUUCUUCCGAUACAUCCCGAUGUCGAGAAGAAAGAAUGGUCAAUCUCCGUUCGAAACUGGAGCAAACAAAGCCGAUGCACAGAGGCAUAUGGAUAAUGUAAAGUUGCUCAAGACGAAUGCAGUUUUACCUCUGACACAGCUAGGCGGCACUAAGGUCGCAAGACUACCGCAAGGCUUCAUAAAAGCUUACCAAAGGGGUGGAACCAAGCUUUCUCCCAACCCAGAGGACCGAAGAAGGUUUUGAUCCAGACGCCUAUAAACUCAUGUCGAAAGCUGGCUACGACUUCGCUUCUUCUUCGAAUCAUGGAAAGAAGGUUUCAAACACCAUUAACAAUAAAGAACGUGACCUCACCGAGACUCAAAAGAAGUUGAAGAAGCACGGUUACGGAGUUGAUAACAACAAAGCUGGACUAGGCUUCACAUCAAAUGCACCCGUGAAGAUUUCAAGCAAAGCGAAAAAAUGCUAGCACUCAACACAUCAGCGUGAGUAUUGAACAAAGAUCAUGAUGAGCCUAAAUCCACCCCUUGGACGUCAGUCUUCGAUAGGAUGAAUCGUUCAGACCCAGAAUGUCAGCACUUAACCGCAUUGGUGGUCAAAACCGAACCUCCGUCUUCAAGAGACUUAACAUGCCCAGCAUCCCAAAGCUCUGUUUUUGAAAGGUUGUCAAAACCUAAAGAAGCAAAAGCAACACGACUAGCUCUCUUCCUCGUCAGUCAGCUUUGGAAAGACUUUGAAGACAACAAGAAGUUUUCUAGAAAUAGGAAGACAACGUCAAAGGAAGAAAAGCUCGACAUGAUAGCAGAAAAAUGUGAUAUUCGAAAGCUCGAUUCCUUCAAGGAUGAAGCGCCAAGCAAUCUUGGAGGUGGACACAAAUGGACCACUAAAAGUAAGAAGGCGCACCAUCAUCCACACUGGACAAUCUUCAUGCCAACCAGCCCAAGAGGACGACACCGAAGAGGAAUUCCAAGAUGUCUUCCACAUCACGAUCCAAGAAAAGAAAGAAGAUGAGAUCCCCGAAGAAGAUGUCACUGCUGCGCCACCGCAACUUGAGGAUGGGGGGCAAUCCACGGUCGAUGAUCUCAAGGAGCUCAACUUAGGCACAAAAGAGGAGCAGAGACCUAUCUUCGUGAGUGCGCUGCUAAGUGCGGACUGAGGUAGACGAGUAUUACCAACUGUUAUCAGAGUACAAAGACGUCUUUGCUUGGACUUACAAGGAAAUGCCCGGCCUUGACCCUGUCAUCGCUGUACAUCAUCUUGCAGUUAAGCCUGGAACGAGACCGAUAAAGCAAACUCAAAGGCGCUAUCGAUCCGAGCUCAUUCCACAAAUCGAGGUAGAGAUUGACAAGCUAAUCGAAGCAGGCUCAUUCGAGAGGUGCAAUACCCCAAGUGGAUCUCCAAACAUCGUCAUCGUCCUUAAGAAAUCUGGACAAAUACGUGUUUGUGUAGACUUUCGGGACCUCAAUGACGCUUGCCCGAAAGAUGACUUUCCCUUGCCGAUCAUCGAAAUCAUGGUGGACGCAACCACUGGCCAUGAGCACUGUCAUUUAUGGACGGCUCUUCUGGAUACAAUCAAAUUCGUAUGGCUCUCGAAGAUAAGGAACUAACAGCAUUCCGCACUCCAAAAGGUAUCUACUGCUACAAGGUGAUGCCCUUUGGUCUAAAGAACGCUGGAGCCACAUAUCAGCGAGCAAUGCAGAAAAUCUUCAAUGACAUGCUACACAAAAAUGUAGAAUGUUAUGUAGACGACGUUGGUGGUCAAAACAAAGAAAAGAUCAGAUCACUUGAAGGAUUUGCGAGUAGUGUUCGAAAGGCUGCGAAAAUACAACCUCAAGAUGAACCCGUUAAAGUGUGCAUUUGGCGUCACCUCUGGAAAGUUUCUCGGCUUCGUUGUCAAGCACUGUGGCAUUGAAGUGGACCAAUCAAAGAUCAAGGCCAUUCAAAACAUGCCCGAGCCAAGAAACCUGCACGAGCUAAAAAGUCUACAAGGACGACUAGCCUUCAUCAGACGCUUCAUCUCCAACCUUGCAGGGCGUUGUCAACCGUUUAGUCGACUCAUGAAAAAGGAUGUCCCGUUCGUAUGGGACGAAGCGUGCCACAAUGCUUUUGAAAGCAUAAAAAAAUAUUUAUCAAGUCCACCUGUCCUGUGGGCGCCUGUGCUCGGGAAACCACUCAUAUUGUACAUCGCCGCUCAGGAAAGUUCAGUGGGAGCACUCUUGGCACAGGAAAAUGAAUUCCAGAAAGAAUGAGCGCUUUACUACUUGAGUCGAACACUCACCGGUGCUGAGUUGAACUACUCCCCAAUAGAAAAAAUGUGCCUUGCCUUGGUGUUUGCCAUCCAGAAGCUCAGACAUUACAUGCAUGCUUACACCAUCCACUUGGUUGCUAAAGCUGACCCGGUUAAAUACGUCCAAGCCAGUUUUGACAGGGCGACUAGCUAAAUGGGCGUUGAUUCUCAAUCAAUACGAGAUCAUUUACGUCCCAGCUAAAGCCGUCAAGGGACAAGCAUUAGCGGACUUCCUUGCCGAUCAUCCAAUCUCAGCCGAUUGGAAAAUCUCAGACGACUUGCCUGACGAGGAGGUAUUCUACAUUGACAUAUUCCCGAGAUGGACGAUGUUCUUCGACGGAUCCGCACGAGCAGACGGAGCGGGGGCAGGAGUAGUAUUCAUGUCGCCACAAAGGAAAAUACUACCUUAUUCAUUCCAACUAAGCGAAUUAUGCUCCAACAACGUCGCUGAGUACCAAGCACUAAUCAUCGGGCUCCAAAUGGCGAUCAACAUGGAAAUCACAACCCUUGAGGUAUAUGGCGACUCCAAGCUCAUAAUUAGUCAACUCUUGACUGAAUACGAGGUGAGGAAAGAUGAUCUCGUUCCGUACUUCCGACUGGCAACUCAGCUGCUACAAAAGUUCGAGGCCGUAACACUAGAACAUGUGCCAAGAAAAGAAAAUCAAAUGGCAGACGCUCUCGCUAACCUGGCCUCGAGUAUGACACUAGGAGAAGACGAAGCUGCAGAUGUGCCAGUUUGCCAAAGAUGGGUCAUCCCCCUCGCCACUGAAAUGCUACUAGAUGAUACAAAUGUCAUCUCGGUACUUCCAGUCGAUGUUGAAGAAUGGAGACAACCAUUGAUUGACUACUUGGAGUAUGGGAAACUUCCAAAUGAUCCUAGACACCGCUCUGAAAUACGUCGACGAGCACCUCGCUUCCUCUACUACAAAGAAACACUCUACCGGCGCUCUUUCGAAGGAACUUCUGAGAUGCCUAGGUGAGAAGAAGCAAUCAAGCCAUGGAAGAAGCACAUUCAGGCGUGUGCGGGGCGCAUCAAUCUGGACCAAAGCUACAUUUCCAGCUCAAAAGAAUGGGUUACUACUGGCCAAGCAUGGUGAAGGAUUGCCUGGAACAUGCCAAAAUGUGCCAAGCCUGCCAAUUCCACGCCAACUUCAUUCAUCAACCACCUGAACCAUUACACCCUACAACUGCUUCAUGGCCAUUCGAUGCAUGGGGACUGGACGUCGUGGGACCAAUUACUCCAAAGUCAUCUGCAGGAGAAGCCUACAUCCUAGCUGUAACAGAUUACUUUUCCAAGUGGGCUGAAGCCAUACCCCUAAGGGAAGUAAAAAAGGAAACUGUUGUCCGUUUCAUCAAGAACAUAUCAUCCACAGAUAUGGUGUGCCUCGCUAUUAUCACGGACAAUGGAAAACAGUUCUCCAACCGACUUGUAGACGAGCUCUGUGAGAAAUACAAGUUCAAGCAGCACAAGUCUUCCAUGUAUCAUGCUCCGGCCAACGGUCUCGCGGAAGCAUUCAACAAAACAUUGUGCAACCUCUUAAAGAAGGUGAUCGGCCGAACAAAGAGGACUGGCAUGAAAGAAUAAGCGAAGCACUUUGGGCAUAUAGGACGACGCAUAGGACUCCUACCCAAGCUACCCCUUAUUCUCUCGUAUAUGGCGUGGAAGCUGUUUUACCGCUAGAAAGUCAAAUCCCCUCACUUAGGAUGGCUAUACAAGAAGGCUUGACUGAUGAAGAGAAUGCAAAGUUGCGCCUUCAAGAGUUGGAAUCACUUGACGAAAGAAGGCUCGAAGCUCAACAACACCUGGAAUGCUACCAAGCAUGGCUAUCCAAGGCAUUCAACAAGAAGGUCCGCCCAAGGUCUUUCCAAACUGGAGAUCUUGUCCUUGCAUUACGAAGGCCUAUCAUCACAACUCACAAGACAAAAAGCAAGUUCACAUCAAAGUGGGAUGGACCGUACGUAAUACAAGAGGUCUACACGAACGGCGCCUACUUAAUCAUGGCAGAAGACGGCUUGAAGAUCGGUCCCAUCAACGGCAGAUUCUUGAAGCGUUACUACCCCUAAAAGGCGACGACCAGACUCCUAGCCUGCAUGAGCCUAAACUGCACAGGGCACAAAGCUCCUGGCCCGCAAGAGCGUAAACUGUGUACGGCAAAAUCAUCAUCAAAAUCACCAUAAAAAAAAAAAAAAAAAAUUCAUCGCUCAUUUUGAACUACGUUAUGACUUGAUCUCUUCUUUAGAAGGUACGUAGGCAACUUGAGACUUCAAAAUUUCAGUACGUCACAUCAUCAUAAAAAAACACAAACACUUUGAAGAAUAAAAGCGAAUUCAAAAUAUGAAUACUUUAUUUCUUUAAUGAAUGAUUUGGUUACAAAGCCGUAUCACAAAGGUGAGCAUUACGCCAACGUCACCACAGAGGAAAGUUGUGACCAAAAGGCACUACACAGCAUAAACUCGUUGCAGUCUUUUGCACAACCCUACAAGGUAAAGGUGACGCAUUGGAACAAGCUCCAAGCAGCAGCGACAACGAGCCCAUGGCAAGCAGCAAGGUCAAUGUGCACGGCAACUCCCCCACCGAGGAAAGUUGUAACCAAAAAGCACUUACACAGCUAACUCGCUGCAACCUUUUGCACAACCCCACAUGGUAAAGGCGACACACUGAACAGGCUCCAAGCAGCAUCGGCAAAUAAAGGAGCUAUAAGACAGUCCUUCAAGCACGCCUGCAGUGGCAGAGGAAACCAAAAUGCUACGCAAACUCGGGCAGAGGCCCGCUGCAGUCCUUGCACAGCUCCACACGGCAGCGCACCACCGAGGGAAAACUAUGAUCAAAAGACUACACAGCGAAACCUCGUUGCAGUAUCUGCACAUCCACGACCUGCUACACGACCCUACAGUUUCGUGAGAUCCUGGCGUCAAGCUCCGCUUCUCAAUAUUAGAGAUUCCUGACAUUAUAAGCAAAGAAAUCCAUCAGUGGAGGCAUACACGCAUUGUGCAUAAAAAAAAAAAAAAAAAUAUAUUAUUAUAUAAUAUAAUUGAAAAAAUCAGCUUAUAUAUUAUGCAUGGGUGCAACCAUCAGCCAACUUUCAUUAUAUAUUAUAAAGGUAUAUAUAUUAUGUGUUCAGUGUGCGUGCGGUGAUGGAACAAGAAAGCCCGUGUGUGUAUGUGUGCACGGGGUUGAUGUGACAAAUCAGCAAACCAACUUCCAUAUUAUAUAUAUAAGGUAUAUAUAUGUGUACAUAUAUGCAACUGUGAUGGGCUGUGUAGAGGACAACCACCUGCAACAUACAUAUAUAUAUAUAUAUAUAUAUAUAUAUAUGCAAACCGUGAUGGGCUGUGAGAGGACAACCACCUGCAACAUAUAUAUAUAUAUGCAAACCGUGAUGGACAACCAGGUUCCGUAUAUAUAUAUAUAUGAAUGCAUGCAUGCACGACCCCAGAACAUCAGAGUCGUCCUCAACUUGAAGAAGAUAAGCCUUACCGUGUAAAGGCUCCGCAAAGGAAGGCUAGCGACUGCCUUCGUUUCUUCCUUCACCACGGCCUUCAAACCUACACUUGCAGCUACUUUUUUGUCCAGCGCCAAGUUCAACAGACAGCAGAAGCGAAGAACGCAGUUGUAGCGAGGAAGCAGUGCACGCAGUUGUGAUUGCAGUCAGCAGCAGCGCAUGAUUGCCGACAAUGGUGCAUGGCGAUGCAAGCAGUAAGCAAUGCAGUGGCUGAGGUUGUGCAAUGGUUGUGCAGUGACGGUGCGAUCCCAUGUAUAAGUAUACAUAUAAUAUAUAUAUGCAGAAGAGACUCAGAGGAGCAAAAGAAGUGCGGUGAUUGUGCAAAUAAUGGUGACUGUCGCAAACAUGAUCCGCUUGAAGAGAGGAGUGCAGAGAAGAAUGCAGUACAGUAGUUGUGCAAACAGUGAUCCGCGUGAAGAGAGGAGUGCAGAGAAGAAUGCAGUACAGUAGCUGUGCAAAACAUGAUCCGCAUGCGAUGCAGUGACUGUGUAAAAAGCAAUCCGCAUGCAAUGAAGAAUGUAAUAAGGUGACUGUGCAAGUGAAAGAUGGUCCGCAUGCGAGAAGAACGCAGGCAGUGAGGAGGCCACCAAAAAAAAAAACCCAGCCGUGCUAUUGUCAAGCCACUCACGAGUGUGUAUACUAUUAGCAAGUCACCAUCUAAAAGGAAAUGGGUGGUGAUGACAAAAUGAUGCUCCAGUCACCAUCUAAAAGAAAUGGGUGCACUAGUCACCAUCUAAAAGGAAGUGGGUGCAUAGGGAAGUAAUGCAUCUUAGUCAGAUAUGCUUUUAUUUGCGUUUCAACACAACAUACUGAAUAAAUAGGCAUGUCCAUUAAUAUCUCCGAGAAAUCAAAAAACCAAAAAAAAAACAAAAAAAAAAAAAAAAAAAAAAAAAAAAAAAAAAAAAAAAAAAACAAAAAAAACAAAAAAAAAAAAAAAAAACAAAAAAAAGAGCUCACGAAUGUCACUUGUGUGAAGCCUCAGUACUUGAGCCUUGGUACUCGGUGGAACCCUAAAGGAGGGAGGCACUGAAGAUAGCUAUUCGGAGCCUCAAUACUUGGUCGAACUCCAGAUGACGAAGGCAAAAAGUGCCUCUGGAAUACAUCCACGAACUUCCGAUGGUCACUUUGAAUUCGACCUUCGGAGCCAUCAGCUGAUCAAGCUUCCUCUUCAUGCUCGUCGAAUAACAUUUGCAAGCACAUGCAACUCUCUAUUUUCACGCCUGAGCUGCCUAAUCUUGACUAAGAGAUGCCACCUCGGCUGUCAAUGAUUCAACCUGGCGAGUUCGAGCAAGUAAGCGUUGGCCCCAUGUUGAAACAGAGUUCGCACACUGGACACUGAGAGCCUGAGACUCUGAACAGCUAACUCAUCGGACCGUCGUGAAAGUAUCCUAUUAUCUUUAGGAGUGAUGAGGUUUCUGGCUACAACACGUAGCCAUUGUUGCAUCCCUCAUCACAAGUCUUCAACUGUAAGGGGGACCAUUAGAGAAAAAAAAGGACGGGCGCCAUACAUUACCCUGACGCGGUGCGCCUGUGUCAUUGCUGAGACUCAAAUCUAAGCAAAUGUUAAAAGGGGAAGCCAUUUUCAAAAAUACUAAAAGAACAGGGUAUAGGAAGUAAAAUCUCAGAGCAGCAGAGAUAAUUUUUCACGGGCAGCAAUCUUCAAAUUGUGCAUGUUGAAUACAAUUGACACCUCUUUAAAAUGAGAGGCAGCACAACCAUUCGUUCAUAAGUCGAAGAGACACCACUCUCCGAUUUCAAAACCCGGAUUUUCCUGCGUAAAGGUCCGUCGGACACUUUUUCAGACAAUUCUCAGCUUUCGGCUACACGUGCAACUUUGUCAGAAAUCACUGACAAAGUUGAAAACGUGUGAAGUCCAUUACGCCAACUACCGCACUUCUGCGACAAGCGUGGGGUGACAAGGCCACGCUCACCCUACCACUUGAUGUUGAGAGCUCACCAUAUAAUUCGACCCCCAUCCUAUACCAAAACUCAGUUUUCUUCCUCCCUGAAAAACAUCCAGCCUGACCCCUCUCCUUGCCGAAGGCAUUUGCAACCAAAACUCAGUUUUCUCCUCCUUGAAAACACAGCCUGACCCCUCUUCCUUGCCGAAGGCAUCUGCAACCAAAACUCAGUUUUUUCCUCCCUGAAAACAUCCAGCCUGACCUUUUUCCUCGCGAAAGACAUCUGGCAACCAAAACUCGGUUUUUUCCUCCCUGGAAGGCCUCUUCAACCAAGCCACACUAGAGCAAAGUAUCUCUAUCACAGGGGUUGAGAGCAAGUAUCUCAUAGCAUGCUUUCUCCCUACUCCUUUUCUUUGUCCUCCCUCUCACUGCGAAGACAGGAUAAAGAAAGCAAUAUGUCGGAACCUCCCACUCAAGCUCUAAUGAUGCAGGUGAAGAUGAUGCAGAUGAAGAUGAUGCAUCGAAGCAUAUGGAGACAAGCGCGACGAAUGCAUGUGUGAUCGUCCGCUACUUCUUCAAAAGCAAAAGUAUCUCAUAUCACUGGGUCGAAAGCAAAGGUAUCUCAUAUCAUGCUCUUCCCCCAUCUUCUCCUUUGCCCUUGCUCUUGCCUGCUGAACAAGGAGAAGGAAGCAAUCAGUCGGAACCUGAAAUUAAAUGUUCGACCAGAAACUGAUUGCCCGGACCUUUGCCUGGUUACUUACCUAGCGUUGCUCUCGAGUGCUCAUCUUCAACUGCUGAUAUGUCUCGAAUUCCUCAGCAAACGCUUCAGGGGUAUGGAUCUGUUGACAUCGGCGCUUUGCACUGAGCUGCAAGCAUGAGUGAGUCGCUGAGAGGUGGUGCCUCCGAAGACCAUUUAAAGUAAAAGUUGCAUACCGCUUCAGCUAUGCAAAAGAAACAAGCAGAGAAGAUGCAACACAACGAGCUGGAACAAUCAUGAAGCACGAAGCCUUCCCUGCAUGACCACAUAAUCCAGACAGAGGAGUUCAAGUAAAGAUCCAAGCUGGACACCGUUGCCUAACCAAAAGGCUCGAGAAGCUUUAACAACCUUUUGCUGGCACCGUCACCGAAGAGCAAGCCUCGAUUCCUUAAGAUCAAGACCAACUGGAAGAAGAGCCCAUCGAUUGAAGAUCAUAUGUUAACCAAACUGCUCAGGGUUCAUUAUGAAAAUGCUGCAACUUCCUUGAUCUUUCAAAGCAUGCAUGUCCUGAAACUGCUCGUGGUGUUUAAGUUCGAAAUCAAGCCUCAACGACCCGACUCAAGAUCAAGUGUCCACCACCCUUGAUCAAUCCAGUUCAAGGAGUCUGUGGAAAGUCCUUUGGAGGAAACCAGAAAACUCCUCAGCCUAGUUCAAGACAAAGCUGUGGAAACAAGCAUAAAAAAUACGUGCUAAUUCAUCCAUUAUCAAAGCCAAGUCGUACUACACGAAGCUCCUUGUGGUCCAAUUCAUCAAAUCAAGCCUCAACGGCCCUUGAGAAUCCAAACAAAAUUCAAACAAAGCCUAACGGCAUUUAAGAAACUCCCAACAGUCCAAGAUUAAGCCUCAACGGCCCUUGGAUCGACAACUGCAUUAAGGGACUUUCAAAACGCAUCUUCUACAUGCAACAAGCACAUGUAUACAAGCGUCUUGAAGGGGGGCAUUUGUAGACAUUGAAAUUCGGUGGCAUAAAUGUUAGCCAUUGCAUUAAGAUCACAUUUGUAAAACAUUAAAAUUAGUUGUAAUAAAUGUUGACCAUUGUAUUAAAAUUACAACCUUCAUUCAACUUCACACCCAACAUAACACCACCAAAAAUUCACCUACAACACCCACNNNNNNNNNNNNNNNNNNNNNNNNNNNNNNNNNNNNNNNNNNNNNNNNNNNNNNNNNNNNNNNNNNNNNNNNNNNNNNNNNNNNNNNNNNNNNNNNNNNNNNNNNNNNNNNNNNNNNNNNNNNNNNNNNNNNNNNNNNNNNNNNNNNNNNNNNNNNNNNNNNNNNNNNNNNNNNNNNNNNNNNNNNNNNNNNNNNNNNNNNNNNNNNNNNNNNNNNNNNNNNNNNNNNNNNNNNNNNNNNNNNNNNNNNNNNNNNNNNNNNNNNNNNNNNNNNNNNNNNNNNNNNNNNNNNNNNNNNNNNNNNNNNNNNNNNNNNNNNNNNNNNNNNNNNNNNNNNNNNNNNNNNNNNNNNNNNNNNNNNNNNNNNNNNNNNNNNNNNNNNNNNNNNNNNNNNNNNNNNNNNNNNNNNNNNNNNNNNNNNNNNNNNNNNNNNNNNNNNNNNNNNNNNNNNNNNNNNNNNNNNNNNNNNNNNNNNNNNNNNNNNNNNNNNNNNNNNNNNNNACUUCUGAGAUGCCUAGGUGAGGAAGAAGCCAAUCAAGCCAUGGAAGAAGCACAUUCAGGCGUGUGCGGGGCGCAUCAAUCUGGACCAAAGCUACAUUUCCAGCUCAAAAAGAAUGGGUUACUACUGGCCAAGCAUGGUGAAGGAUUGCCUGGAACAUGCCAAAAUGUGCCAAGCCUGCCAAUUCCACGCCAACUUCAUUCAUCAACCACCUGAACCAUUACACCCUACAACUGCUUCAUGGCCAUUCGAUGCAUGGGACUGGACGUCGUGGGACCAAUUACUCCAAAGUCAUCUGCAGGAGAAGCCUACAUCCUAGCUGUAACAGAUUACUUUUCCAAGUGGGCUGAAAGCCAUACCCUAAGGGAAGUAAAAAAGGAAACUGUUGUCCGUUUCAUCAAAAGAACAUAUCAUCCACAGAUAUGGUGUGCCUCGCUACAAUUAUCACGGACAAUGGAAAACAGUUCUCCAACCGACUUGUAGACGAGCUCUGUGAGAAAUACAAGUUCAAGCAGCACAAGUCUUCCAUGUAUCAUGCUCCGGCCAACGGUCUCGCGGAAGCAUUCAACAAAACAUUGUGCAACCUCUUAAAGAAGGUGAUCGGUCCGCCGAACAAAGAGGACUGGCAUGAAAGAAUAAGCGAAAGCACUUUGGGCAUAUAGGACGACGCAUAGGACUCCUACCCAAGCUACCCCUUAUUCUCUCGUAUAUGGCGUGGAAGCUGUUUUACCGCUAGAAAGUCAAAUCCCUCACUUAGGAUGGGCUAUACAAGAAGGCUUGACUGAUGAAGAGAAUGCAAAGUUGCGCCUUCAAGAGUUGGAAUCACCUUGACGAAAGAAGGCUCGAAGCUCAACAACACCUGGAAUGCUACCAAGCCAUGGCUAUCCAAGGCAUUCAACAAGAAGGUCCGCCCAAGGUCUUUCCAAACUGGAGAUCUUGUCCUUGCAUUACGAAGGCCUAUCAUCACAACUCACAAGACAAAAAGCAAGUUCACAUCAAAGUGGGAUGGACCGUACGUAAUACAAGAGGUCUACACGAACGGCGCCUACUUAAUCAUGGCAGAAGACGGCUUGAAGAUCGGUCCCAUCAACGGCAGAUUCUUGAAGCGUUACUACCCCUAAAAGGCGACGACCAGACUCCUAGCCUGCAUGAGCCUAAACUGCACAGGGCAAAAGCUCCUGGCCCGCAAGAGCGUAAACUGUGUACGGCAAAAUCAUCAUCAAAAUCACCAUAAAAAAAAAAAAAAAAAAUUCAUCGCUCAUUUGAACUACGUUAUGACUUGAUCUCUUCUUUAGAAGAGUACGUAGGCAACUUGAGACUUCAAAAUUUCAAGUACAGUCACAUCAUCAUAAAAAAACACAAACACUUUGAAGAAUAAAAAGCGAAUUCAAAAUAUGAAUACUUUAUUUCUUUAAAUGAAAUGAUUUUGGUUACAAAGCCGUAUCACAAAGGUGAGCAUUACGCCAACGUCACCACAGAGGAAAGUUUAUUGUGACCAAAAGGCACUACACAGCAUAAACUCGUUGCAGUCUUUUGCACAACCCUACAAGGUAAAGGUGACGCAUUGGAACAAGCUCCAAGCAGCAGCGACAACGAGCCCAUGGCAAGCAGCAAGGUCAAUGUGCACGGCAACGUCCCCCACCGAGGAAAGUUGUAACCAAAAAGGCACUACACAGCAUAAACUCGCUGCAACCUUUUGCACAACCCCACAUGGUAAAGGCGACACACUGGAACAGGCUCCAAGCAGCAUCGGCAAAUAAGGCAGCUAUAAGACAGUCCUUCAAAGCACGCUUGCUAGUGGCAGAGGGAAACCAAAAUGCUACGCAAAACUCGCGGCAGAGGCCCGCUGCAGUCCCUUGCACAGCUCCACACGGCAGCGCACCACCGAGGGAAAACUAUGAUCAAAAGACACUACACAGCGAAACCUCGUUGCAGUAUCUGGCACAUCCACGACCUGCUACCACGACCCUACAAGUUUCGUGAAGAUCCUGGCGUCAAGCUCCGCCUUCUCAAUAUUAGAGAUUCCUGACAUUAUAAGCAAAGAAAUCCAUCAGUGGAGGCAUACACGCAUUGUGCAUAAAAAAAAAAAAAAAAUAUAUAUAUAUAUAUAUAUAAUGAAAAAAUCAGCUUAUAUAUAUAUGCAUGGGUGCAACCAUCAGCCAACUUUCAUAUAUAUAUAUAUAAAGGUAUAUAUAUAUAUGUGUACAUGUGUGCGUGCGGUGAUGGAACAAAGAAAGCCCGUGUGUGUAUGUGUGCACGGGGUGAUGUGACAAAUCAGCAAACCAACUUCCAUAUAUAUAUAUAAAGGUAUAUAUAUGUGUACAUAUAUGCAAACUGUGAUGGGCUGUGUGAGAGGACAACCACCUGCAACAUACAUAUAUAUAUAUAUAUAUAUAUAUAUAUAUAUAUGCAAACCGUGAUGGGCUGUGAGAGGACAACCACCUGCAACAUAUAUAUAUAUAUAUGCAAACCGUGAUGGACAACCAGGUUCCGUAUAUAUAUAUAUAUGAAUGCAUGCAUGCACGACCCCAGAACAUCAGAGUCGUCCUCAACUUGAAGAAGAUAAGCCUUACCGUGUAAAGGCUCCGCAAAGGAAGGCUAGCGACUGCCUUCGUUUCUUCCUUCACCACGGCCUUCAAACCUACACUUGCAGCUACUUUUUUGUCCAGCGCCAAGUUCAACAGACAGCAGAAGCGAAGAACGCAGUGUAGCGAGGAAGCAGUGCACGCAGUUGUGAUUGCAGUCAGCAGCAGCGCAUGAUUGCCGGACAAUGGUGCAGUGGCGAUGCAAGGCAGUAAGCAAUGCAGUGGCUGAGGUUGUGCAAUGGUUGUGCAGUGACGGUGCGAUCCCAUGUAUAAGUAUACAUAUGUAUAUAUAUAUGCAGAAGAGACUCAGAGGAGCAAAAGAAGUGCGGUGAUUGUGCAAAUAAUGGUGACUGUCGCAAACAAUGAUCCGCGUGAAGAGAGGAGUGCAGAGAAGAAUGCAGUACAGUAGUUGUGCAAAACAGUGAUCCGCGUGAAGAGAGGAGUGCAGAGAAGAAUGCAGUACAGUAGCUGUGCAAAACAGUGAUCCGCAUGCGAUGCAGUGACUGUGUAAAAAGCAAUCCGCAUGCAAUGAAGAAUGUAAUAAGGUGACUGUGCAAGUGAAAAGAUGGUCCGCAUGCGAGAAGAACGCAGUGCAGUGAGGAAGGCCACCAAAAAAAAAAACCCAGCCGUGCUAUUGUCAAGCCACUCACGAGUGUGUAUUACUAUUAGCAAGUCACCAUCUAAAAGGAAAUGGGUGGUGAUGACAAAAUGAUGCUUCCAGUCACCAUCUAAAAAGAAAUGGGUGCACUAGUCACCAUCUAAAAGGAAGUGGGUGCAUAGGGAAGUAAUGCAUCUUAGUCAGAUAUGCGUUUUAUUUGCGUUUCAACACAACAUACUGAAUAAAAUAAGGCAUGUCCAUUAAUAUCUCCGAGAAAUUACACAAAAAAAACAAAAAAACAAAAAAAAACAAAAAAAAACAAAAAAACAAAAAAAAAAACAAAAAAAAAACAAAAAAACAAAAAAAAAAAACAAAAAAAAAGAGCAUUCACGAAUGUCACUUGUGUGAAGCCUCAGUACUUGGAGCCUUGGUACUCGGUGGAACCCUAAAGGAGGGAGGCACUGAAGAUAGCUUAUUCGGAGCCUCAAUACUUGGUCGAACUCCAGAUGACGAAGGCAAAAAGUGCCUCUGGAAUACAUCCACGAACUUCCGAUGGUCACUUUGAAUUCGACCUUCGGAGUCCAUCAGCUGAUCAAGCUUCCUCUUCAUGCUCGUCGAUAACUAUUUGCAAGCACAUGCAACUCUCUAUUUUCACGCCUGAGCUGCCUAAUCUCUUGACUAAGAGAUGCCACCUCGGCUGUCAAUGAUUCAACCUGGCGAGUUCGAGCAAGUAAGCGUUGGCCCAUGUUGGAAACAGAGUUCGCACACUGGACACUGAGAGCCUGAGACUCUUGAACAGCUAACUCAUCGGACCGUCGUGAAAGUAUCCUAUUAUCUUUAGGAGUGAUGAGGUUUCUGGCUACAACCGUAGCCAUUGUUGCAUCCCUCAUCACAGAGUCUUCAACUGUAAGGGGACCAUUAGAAGAAAAAAAGGACGGGCGCCAUACAUUACCCUGACGCGGUGCGCCUGUGUCAUUGCUGAGACUCAAAUCUAAGCAAAUGUUAAAAGGGGAAGCCAUUUUCAAAAAUACUAAAAGAACAGGGUUAUAGGAAGUAAAAUCUCAGAGCAGCAGAGAUAAUUUUUCACGGGCAGGCAAUCUUCAAAUUGUGCAUGUUGAAUACAAUUGACACCUCUUUAAAAUGAGAGGCAGCACAACCAUUCGUUCAUAAGUCGAAGAGACACCACUCUCCGAAUUUCAAAACCCGGAUUUUCCUGCGUAAAGUCCGUCGACACUUUUCAGACACAAUCUCAGCUUUCGGCUAUCACGUGCAACUUUGUCAGAAAUCACUGACAAAGUUGAAAACGUGUGAAGUCCAUUACGCCAACUACCGCACUUCUGCCGACAAGCGUGGGUGACAAGGCCACGCUCACCCUACCACUUGAUGUUGAGAGCUCACCAUAUAAUUCGACCCCCAUCCUAUACCAAAACUCAGUUUUCUUCCUCCCUGAAAACACAUCCAGCCUGACCCCUCUUCCUUGCCGAAGGCAUUUGCAACCAAAACUCAGUUUUCCUCCUCCCUGAAAACACAUCCAGCCUGACCCCUCUUCCUUGCCGAAGGCAUCUGCAACCAAAACUCAGUUUUCUUCCUCCCUGAAAACACAUCCAGCCUGACCUUUCUUCCUCGCCGAAGACAUCUGCAACCAAAACUCGGUUUUUUCUUCCUCCCUGGAAGCGCCUCUUCAACCAAGCCACACUAGAGCAAAGGUAUCUCAUAUCACAGGGGUUGAGAGCAAGAGUAUCUCAUAGCAUGCUUUCUCCCUAUCCUUUUCUUUGUCCUCCCUCUUCACUGCGAAGACAAGGAUAAAGAAAGCAAUAUGUCGGAACCUCCACUCAAGCUCCUAAUGAUGCAGGUGAAGAUGAUGCAGAUGAAGAUGAUGCAUCGAAGCAUAUGGAGACAAGCGCGACGAAUGCAUGUGCUGAUCGUCCGCUACUUCUUCAAAAGCAAAAGUAUCUCAUAUCACUGGGGUCGAAAGCAAAGGUAUCUCAUAUCAUGCUCUUCCCCCAUCUUCUCCUUUGCCCUUGCUCUUGCCUGCUGAACAAGGAGAAAGGAAGCAAUCAGUCGGAACCUGAAAUUAAAUGUUCGACCAGAAACUGAUUGCCCGGAACCUUUGCCUGGUUACUUACCUAGCGUUGCUCUCGAGUGCUCAUCUUCAACUGCUGAUAUGUCUCGAAUUCCCUCAGCAAACGCUUCAGGAGUAUGGAUCUGUUGACAUCGGCGCUUUGCACUGAAGCUGCCAAGCAUGAGUGAGUCGCUGAGAGGUGGUGCUCCGAAGAACCAUUUAAAGGUAAAAGGUUGCAUACCGCUUCAGCUAUGCAAAAGAAACAAGCAGAGAAGAAUGCAACACAACGAGCUGGAACAAAUCAUGAAGCACGAAGCCUUCCCUGCAUGACCACAUAAUCCAGACAGAGGAGUUCAAGUAAAGAUCCAAGCUGGACACCGUUGCUCUAACCAAAAGGCUCGAGAAGCUUUAACAACCUUUUGCUGGCACCGUCACCGAAGAGCAAAGCCUCGAUAAUCCUUAAAGAUCAAGUCACCAACUGGAAGAAGAGCCCAUCGAUCUUGAAGAUCAUACUGUUAACCAAACUGCUCAGGGUUCAUAUGAAAAUGCUGCGAACUUCCUUGAUCUUUCAAAGCAUGCAUGUCCUGAAACUGCUCGUGGUCAUGUUUAAGUUCGAAAUCAAGCCUCAACGACCCUGACUCAAGAUCAAGUGUCCACCACCCUUGAGUCAAAUCCAGUUCAAGAUUAAGUCUGUGGAAAGUCCUUUGGAGGAAACCAGAAAACUCCUCCAGCCUAGUUCAAGAUCAAAGCUGUGGAAAAUCAACAAGCAUAACAAAAUACGUGCUAAUUCAUCCAUUAUCAAAGCCAAGGAUCGUCUACUACACGAAGCUCCUUGUGGUCCAAUUUCAUCCAAGAUCAAGCCUCAACGGCCCUUGAAGAAAUUCCAAACAAAAUUCAAGAACAAGCCUAACGGCAUUUGAAGAAACUCCCAGACCAGUCCAAGAUUAAGCCUCAACGGCCCUUGGAUCGACAACUGCAUUAAGGGACUUCAAAACGCAUCUUCUACAUGCAACAAGCACAUGUAUACAACGCGUCUUGAAGUGGGGGCAUUUGUAGACAUUGAAAUUUCGGUGGCAUAAAUGUUAGCCAUUGCAUUAAGAUCACAUUUGUAAAACAUUAAAAUUUUAGUGUAAUAAAUGUUGACCAUUGUAUUAAAAUUACAACCUUCAUUCACUUCACCUACAACAUACACCCAAGUUUCACCUACAACACCCACCAAAAUUCACCUACAACACCCACCAAAAAUUCACCUACAACACCCACCAAAACAAAUGGAUGGUGGUGAUUCAUUCCCAAGGCCUAUAAAUAGGCUCCUCCAUCAAAGAAUCAAAGGAGGUUUUUUGGCAUACACUUUCUCUACUCCCAAAUUGGAAGAGAAUUCACACCAUACUAAAGCCUUGAAGCCUCGAAACUCUGAAGCUCUCAAGCAAAUCCCGAAGGAUCAAGAAAGCCCUCUUCAUUCUUCGUGAAAUCCUCAUUCAAGAUCAAGCCCUAACGCCCCCCUUGAAGAACUUCCACCAAUUCAAGAUCAAGCCCCGACGGCCCUUGAAGAAGGUGUUCAUCAUUCCUCAACCGUUCGUCCAAGAUCAAGCCUCGACGGCCCUUGGAUCAACAACACUACAUCUACAUGUUUCAAAGAUAGAAUCAGAGGAUAAAUUUGUAGAAGAGAUUGUAACCCCUAAAUCAUUAAUACAAAUAUUAUUUUGUACACGUGUUCUUGUCUCUUUCGUUUCAGGAAUUUCCGUGUUCACAGGGACAAAUACGCCGUAAAUAUAAAAGGGUCGAAACUAAGAAUAUGAAAUACGGAAUACGUAAUUUUAAACAGUGAAAUCCGAGAACGGGAUUUCACAUAUACUCAUAAUGAGGAACGCCAUGAGCCGAGCCGCCUCACAACGAGCACCGCCUCCAGCCGAGCAACCACCUCCCUGCGAGCAUUGCCUCUAUCCGAGCAACCGAGCAACGUGUGCUACCUCUAGUUGAGUAUUGCUUCAUGUUGAGCACCGCCUCAUGUCGAGUACUGGUUCCAAAUGACAUCUAGUCACUUCAGCCUGCACAUGGAUUGGAUUUGAAGUCUUCAGCCAAAAGACUCUCUUGACUGAAGAUUUGGGGAACUCAUGUUGUAGCAUAUAUUAGGCACUAGUAUGUGGGCCUCACAACCUAGCCUAUGAAGCAUGUAGGAGGUGAAGGGUUCCCUUAUAUUAUACCUCACUUUAAAGGGAGAGAAAGAGAACAAACACGUCUAUAUAGCCUCCAUGUACAUUGUAACCUUCAUUGAUAUAGUGAAACCAACUCAACACCAUAUGGACAUAGCCCCAACUUGGGGUGAACCACGAUAUAUCUUUGUGUUCUUAAGCGUUUGUGUGAUUUACGGUUAGAUUUACAUUGAUCUAAGAUCGAAUGAUUUUGUGCAUCAACAAAUCUUCACUUCUUCUAGAAUCUCGAAAGCAUGGCCAAACAAGCAUAUGAAUGGAACAUUCGAAAGCACCAGAGCCGAAAUGAUCAAUCUAAGCUCUGGAGCCAGAGUCUUAAAAGCCAAAAUUGGCUAACACAUUCGUAGUUAAGUUCGCUUCACCAUACAAACGCAUUAUAUGAAGAAUGAACACAUAUUUUAAUGACAAAAUAGAAUACAGAUGCCCACAAUGCAUAUAAGGCACUACUCAUAUUAAUUAAUCUAUACGGCCCUAAGUGAGAACUACUAUUCAGUAGCUCAAAGAAAACCAAGAAAUAACUUUGAAGGCAAGUGGCAAAUUGUCUUGGAGCAUUUCUCUUCAAUUUACUACGUUUCGAAUUUAACUCUUACUUUUUAGUUUAGAUGAAUUUAGUGUAAUUUAUUCCAUCAUUUGGUGAAAUUUUUUGAAGAAGCAUAUGACCAAAUUUUUUUAAUUAGAUGGUCAGAUUUUGUCAUUAUUAUCCAUGGGUAGUAAUAUCCAUAGACCAAUUUUUACUUCUUACACAUCUCUCAAGUUUCGUUUGUCGGAUUGAAUAAAUUGAAGAAUAUCAAUAACAACAAAAGUGUGUAGGAGAUAAAAUUAAGUGUGUGGAUUGCACUUUCCUUAUCCAAAUGAGUGAUCCAAGUCUGAUCCAACUAAAAAAAUAUGUGAGUAUUUAACAGAGUCGGACAAGAAGUAGUAAUGAAUUCUCCGCCGAAUAAAAAGAACAUGUUGGAAAAACCUAUGGUCCCGUUAUCCCUAAUUUUCUUAAUUCGAUUCUCGUGAAUAAUAAGUUCAUUACCAAAUUAAUACGGACUUAUUAUGUGGCUUAACUCAAAUUUUCAUUCCUUAAUUAUCAAAGAAAUUCAAGUUUUUUCAGCACUUGAAACCACUGUUUCACGAAUUGAUUUUGCAAUUUCUCCUCACAAAAACAUUAAAAGUGUUGUAUAACUUAACUAAUCAUUUUAGCAUUUAGGUUGAAUGUUCUAAGAGGUUUGUAGUAUAGUUAGUUAAGAGUAUUCACCUCUACACUGGAGAUCUUAAGUUCAAUUUCCCCUUCUCAAUACUUCUACCAAAAAUAGUCAAUCUUGUAUCUGAUUUAGGAAUUUCUACUUCAUAUUAUUCCUAAAAUAAAAAAUAUAAAUGAUUCCAAAAUUCGACGUGUGUCUAAUUUCAGUUUAAAUAAAAUUAAAAAGAAGUUGUGAAGGUAAGAAUAUUUGAAAGCAACAUUCAAAAUGCGGGAAGAAAAGAAUAAAACGGAUGGGUGGCGGAUGGCGGUAGUUCCAAUAUCAGCCAAUCAUCAGGAGUUGGAUUGAGGACAGAACCAAAGCCAGUCCUUCCUCUUUUAUAUAUUAUAUACAUAUAUUGAUAUAUGAAGAUGUUAGUUUUAUUACUUGCAUUUUGUUGAGAGUCUGAAUCCCACGUCGGAGAAAGAAAAGACCUUGCAUGUACUUAUAAAUAGUUAAAAUUCUUGCAAUUGAUGAAGUGUGUUUAAUUAGAUUCUAGUUUUUGCUUUAGAAAUUUUAUUCAAAUUUGAAGAAUAAAGUUGUAUGGAUUUUUGAAGAAUUUGACAGAAAUUGUGGUGCAUGAUGAAUAGAGUGGUAAACAGGUGAAUGUAAGUAAAGUUUGAUAACAGAAGAAGAUUUAGAAAAGCCAACAAUCUGUAUAAAGAAGAUAGGAUUCUUGAAGCUAGUCCUUCCCUCAAGAAAAGCCAACAGUCUGUCUACAAAUUUCAUGUCAAGUCUUCUGCAAUAGUGAGAGAAGUCCAUAUGGCACGUAGGGAAAUAGGUCGAUUCAAAGAAAGCAGAACGGACACAGACGCCGUAAGAGCACAAGCUCAAUCCGAGAUGCUUGAUGCAAUGAAGAGAGCAAAAGAUUUGUCAUCUGUAAUUGAGUAAUCAAGCUCCAAGACGAAAUCACAUACGCGAGAGAUUCAAGUACUACAGAAAUCGUGAAGGCACGUAGGUAGGCGGGAAGAUCAGGUAUUGGUUAUUGGGGCUGUGGACAAAAAAAAAUAUACAGAAGUGAUGAGAGAAUUCAAACUUGUGAGACAGGAACCAAGCAUGCUUAAGCUUUGAUAUGGCAUCGAUUUUACAAGAGAAAUUGGGGACAGAGAAGCAAACAGAGGCCUCAAAAUUAAAGAUGUUUUAUACAUGCUUAAGCACUCGUUAACAAGUUCUUAACGACCCAACUCGUUAACAAGUUCUUAACGGAUACCCGAUAACAACUCGAUUCGUUAACAGAUUGACUCGAAACUUGUUAUUUUUGUAUCAUUUCGUACAUGAUUAACGGGUCGUAAGAAAUUACCAAGCCUACAAUAUACUGUGGCUGAAGGGAUACCAAAUUUUUUAACUCAACAACAAUCAAAGAGAGUAUACUAUUAUAUUAUUACAACCAUUCCUAAUAACAGAAUGUAGUAGUCAAUAAUACAGGAAUGAAUAGCUGAAACAGCUGUGUAAAUCAAAUUUAACAGCUAAACACCCAUAGUAUUGAAUGGUACGUAAAAUUGAAGUCACACCCUAUAAUAAGUUUAAACUAAAAAAUGUAGGAAAAAGUUUUGGUUCUAUAAUUUAAACACAGUGCCAUCAAAUUACCUAUAUAUUGUUCAUAACUCGUACAAUUUUAACUGCUCGUAAGAAGAAAGAGAGAAAAGGAAGAAACAACAAAUUGGAUUUUGGACGGGACUCGAACCAAAUCCGCCGUCCAUCCGAUCAUGUAAUGAAACUGUCACAAAAAAUGCAGCGAAGUAUUGCUCUUCCUUUCUUGAAAACCCUUUUCUCAACGAGUGCACCAAAAAAUGAAUAAAUUUUUUGUAUUAACUGGAUGAUCCUCACCUGAGAUAACGAGACACAAAGUAAAACUCUUGCCACCCCUUACAGAGACAAAUCAAAUUUUAUUGGUUCUGAGUUUCCUCUGGUCCCUUUGCUUUGCCUCUGAGCAUGUCAGUGAAAUUCCCCCGCAUUAUUCGCCUUAAUCUAGUGUCUUCUGCAGGUGGUGAAGGUGCGGCCUUUGGGGACUCAACGGGCUCUGGUGGUGGCUCGGGACUUUCUUUCUUUCCCAGUAGACCACCUUCACCAAAGAAACUACUCACGGAGGAUGCAAGCCCAGCCCCCAUCACCUUACUGAUGGUAUCAAAAGUUCCACCAGAUCUCUCCUUCAUUAUAAUUUCAAGGGCUUCUUUGUGUGCAGGGUCAAGCGCAUCAGAGUCUCUAAAUAAGUUCUGUAUCGCAGGCAUAAGAAAGUCCCGAACACUAGUUGCUGAAAUAUCUGGAUUAAUUACGUAUAUUUGAAAUCAAUAUCAGCAACACAUUACAAAAGCUGAAAAUUCUGGAACAUAGGGUUACGAAUAUAAACUAUAACUGUAGGUCAUUGUUUUAACAUCAUAGUAGGUCAUCAAAACUCCGCACACAUAUUACCAAUCAGUUAAGAAUCCUAUGAAGCUACAGUUUGGCAUGGCACGAUUUGUUAGGGCGCCACCAAAAACUAGUUUCGACACAUGAUUGUAAAGUUCCAACUAUGUAAAUAAGGUCAUUAAAGUGAAAACUGAUAUGAUCUAGGGAUAUUGACUCAAGCAUCUUGUUUUUACAUAAACAUAUGGUUUCAAGCAUGGCUGCUCAAAAACUUAGAAGAACUGGUGAUCUGUGUAUUAUAUUGACAUUAUAGUCGUUUAAUAUUUGAUGUUUGUUUGCAUGCUAAAGAAACAUAACCUCGUUUAGAGUAAAAUUAGGGUUAAAAAAUGCAUACGAUUCUCUUUGAUAAAAUGCAUAACGUAUUUAAGUCUGAAAAUAAUCUAGGUAAUCAGACCAAAUUUCUUUUACAUGUUCCCAAGAAGUGUACAAGUGUCAUGUUCUAUAUAUACGAAGGAAAGUGAAAGAUAAUGUAGCUCAAGGUGUGUAAUGGUGCAGAAAGGGAAGAGAAAUUAAUAAACUAACAAUAUAUAGAACAUCUGGGUCAUAAGAAAAAGAAAACCUGUUGCAUCCAGAGCACGGAUUGCUUCGCAAAAUGCAUUGGCUCUCUCACGCCGGCGCAUCAAGUCACUUGAAGGUGGAGUGGCCGUCAGUUGAAAAAUCUUGGACAAAAGAUGUACAUGAUGUCAAAGAAACAAAGUAACCCAAUGAUUAUUCAAAAAUGAAUCCAAUAGAAAAUUUCCCAACCAACUAAAUAAGGUGUGUGUGCUUAUGAACACGUUGCUGAAAAUGUGCUACUAGUAAUUUUGAGUAAGCAUGUAGAGGAUAUAAUCUUUAAGUCUAUCCGUUGUAUGUGGUACAGCAACCACCAAUGCACGAACCACAGCAAUGGCAGCUUCAUGAGAUCCAUCUUCAAGAAAAGCAUCCAUUUGAACACGUAUCUUAUCAACAAUCUGGGAGUUUUAUUUUGGUCAGCCAGAUGUAUGAAAACCGUUCAAUUAAGUAAGCUAAUAUCUUAAUUGCAGAAGGAAGAGAACUCAUACCAUGUCAUUUCUAAAAUGUUGGGCCACUGCUCCAAAGGCAUCUAUGCUUGCAUACUUCACACUCAAGUUUUGGUCAGAACCCAGAGUAACUAGGGCAGGUAAUAUAUGAGUAGAUGCAACUUUCGCAUCGAUAUAUGGAACCUAUAAACGAAGGAAACCAAUUAAUUAUUUCUUAAUCAGACACAUAAAGAAAUUAGUACUCCAAGAAUGGAUAGACUUACAAUGACUUUCAACAGAUUGGCAGCAUUUAUUUUCAUAUCUAUGUUGGAGCUGACAACCAUUUCCCAGAGUAAAUUAAAUAUCAUACCGUGAUGAUCUUCAGAUGUGCUGCAUUAUGGAAAGCCCUUCAGUCAAAAUUAAGUUACAAAAAGUUAGUCAUAAAAGGUAUUUAUUGCUUUACUAACCAAAGGAACCGAACAGCAUCAACAAUCUCAGCAUUGCACUUCGUAGAUUGAUUUGGAACACCUUCAACUAAUAACUUUCUCAGGUACUCCACUAAUUGUUCAUGUUUGCUUGGACCACCCAAAACACCAGCCAAGAGAAGAGGUAGGACACACAUAGUAGCCAAUCUCUUAGCCACAGCCGUUCUUGGCCUCAAACCUGUUAUGUAGAUAAUAUCCACAAUUAAGAGAACACACAACACUGGUGUGAAAGGAUUUCAAGUAAUUUUAAAGUUAUUACCUUUGAUUCCAGAAUGCGUUGCAGAUGGGAAAAAUGUCAAUUCAACUUCUUCCCCAACAGCUAACAAGAAUACAGGCAGCAUUAUGUGUGUCAAAUAAGAAUCCCCGUAGAGUUCUGAUACAGCCAAUAGAAACUGCAUUACCAACAUUUAGAUCAGAAACAAUUAAUAAAGUAUUGUUGAUGAUGUAAUAUAAAAAAGACACCAAAGACAGAGAAAGAUACCUUGGUGAUUUGGUUUCGCAAAUUGUCCUCUUUUGGAGGUAACAAGCAUGCGAGCUGUAUUAAAGCAGGAAAGCAGUCGACAUGUAGCCACUCAAAUGCAGGCAAUUGAACAUGUCCACUACCGGGUUAACAAAAUUCUCAUUAGCAGUUAUAGUAAAUCAAUUUAACAAUAUCACUACCAAAAGACACAAGUCAAACGGCUAUGUUCUGUCAGAAAAUAGUAGACAGGCCUGAAAAAAGAAUAUAUAACAAAGUAAAAUAAAAUAAAAAGGAAAAAAGAGAAAAGAGCUUACCCUGCAUACAAUUCAAGGAAAGAUUUGGAAAAUAUUGAUCCAGUUGUUUCGGGAUCAGAAGAAACUGGGCACUUCUCAAUUGCUUUCUGGUGCACAUACGGAAGAAUUUCCUCCAGCAUUCGUAGUAAAACAUCAACAUUCCAGCGUUCUCGUUCACCUAAAACACGAAAAUGUGACUCCACAGAACCUUCAAUGCCCGAAAGAGGAGGACAGCGCUGCAAUGUCACAAGGAUGCAAAUUAAAGAAAGUAUCAUUAGAAAGACCUUAGUCAUAAGUGGAAAAUAUAAUCAAACAGAAACAGACCUGAACAGAGCUUGAUAUAUGAGAGAGUAGAACUCUUAAGAUAUGGUCUAAUUUGUUUCCCCACUUGUUUACUGCAGGGACUAAUUGCUUAAGCGUCGUUUCCACCACCACUCCAGAGGGAUCACAGACCAAUUGGAACAUCAACUCCUCGACCUAUAAAUAAAAAUACAGUAAAAUAUUGGAGAAACAGAUCCUUGACCACUUUAUCCAUUUAUUUCUUGUCAGUCAUCAUAUUAUGAGGAGAAAAUUCUCCAUGCCCUAGACCAUGUGGCAUCAACCUGUUCUAGAGCUUACAUUGUAGCCAUUUCUGUCAAGUCAGAAUUCCUCUCCAUGAGAGCCUCUGAAGCAUAUUAGUGAGGCUGACCUUGAAAUAUUUGUCCAUGGUCGGGAAGAGUGGAAGCAGCAAUGCAAGAUUAUGUGCAGCAGCCUCCCGGACAACAGUUGCAGAAUCUUCUAUAAGUUGUUGAACAAUGGACAAUAUAAGAGAAUCACGAAUCUCAGGCCGGACAAACUCUGCAAGCUCUCCACAUGAUUGAGCAACUAGCAGCCUGCGUUCCUCAUACAUAUGAUUUAUCUGCAACCAACAAACCGGAGAAACAUAAGAAAAACUAAUCAGAAAUACGAAAAGGUUAGACAAGAUCCUCUCAAGGUGUGGCUCAAACUUACUUGUUCCCAACACUGGGGAAGCAAUUCUGUUUCUGUUCUCAUCUCUCCUACAUUCUUAGCAAGGUUAACACAUGCCUGAAAUGCAGUUAAAGAUUCAGAAACAAGUCCAAAACAAUGCAGCUAUAUUACAAAUAAUGUGGUACUUCGAAUAUUAGCCUACAUCCAUUAUAAUUCUUCUCUGCUGCUCAUCUGGGCGUUUGAUUAGGUUAAACAAUGUGUGGGUUAAGGAAUCCCGAGUGCUGCUAUCUGGAUGGCGUUCAAUCGCACACAUGAUUAGGGGAAGAAGCUCCUGUGAAUGCAUAACCAAUAAAAAAAUUAAAAAUAUAUCGUUCUAUUAAAGGAUCAAUUUAAAGAUCCAUUCAUACAAUGAUAAUAACAAUAAUAAUAUAUUUAUACACAUAUAUAUAUACAUGUACAUAUGAAAAGGUAAGCAAACCUCCCGAUGGUUGAUCAAAACAUAAGGAACAAUCUUCGGCAAAGCAUCAGCAAGGAUCUGAAUGGUCUCUAGGCCCUGUAAAAUAUAAGCAUAACUUAAGAAAAGGAAUAGAAGGGAAGGGCAGUUCCAAAGCUUCUAAAAAAUCAUUCUAUGUUCUAUUAUUCAAAAUUUAGAUGGGUGUCCCAUCCAAAACGAAAAGAAAAAGGGAUGUGCCAGGGUAGAUAUCAAAAGAAGAGCCAACCCUGGAAGAAGAAAAACAUGUCUGAUCCGGUCUCCUAUAAAGGCAUUGAUGCAAUAAAAGAAAUGUAAAAGAAACUUGCCCUUUUCUCGGAAACAUUUUCAGGACUAAGAUUCUCUGACAUUAGAUGUAGGCUGCUGCCUAAUGAUGGUUCAUCAUUUUGUUUGGAGACGCUAUCACCAUUCACCAAGGUACUACUAUCACUCAAAACACCGACAGAGACCUCAUGUGAAACUUCCUUCAGUUCAACUGUGUUAUCAUGAAAACUUUGAGCAGCCAGAGACUGAUCUUCUUCCUUUUCCACAACUUUCGAUUCUACAUCAACUGGUGGGAUUACACUUUUAUCUUCAUCGACGACAACGACCUUUUCUUCCAUUUGCACAGACUCUUUUUCAAAAUUGGUGGUCUCUGAAAAAUCAUGAGCUUUUGUGUUUUUGGAUUUUAAACUUUCUAGUUCCAUCUGCAAUGAUUUAAUUUCUUCCUUGUAUCUUUCCAAGGAAAGAGGUUGGAUUUGAUCAGCAUCAGCAGCUCCCAUAUUCGUUCCAGAACGAUAUGCUUCAAUGUGCAUUUUCAAUGCAGUGACUUCAGCUCUACAAUCAUUGAGCUCCUUUCUCUGGUGUUCCAAGGACUGCUUCAAAUCUUGUACCUGAAAUAAAGGGUGUAUUAUUUUCUUACAUAUGAUUUUUCAUUAGAUAACAUCUCAAUGCAGUGUACUAAAGGGACUUACAAGGUUUUCUUUGUCUUUAAGGUCCUUCUGAAGAGCUUCCAAUGAUUUGCUUAGUGUACUUAUUUGGCCUUCAGCCAAAUCUUUGUUUUUAAGUAAGGAUAGCUUUUCAAGGUAUAGACUCUCCUUUUCUUUCAAUAACAACUCAAUUUCUCGGAGCAUGGAAAUUUUUUCCUGUAUAUAGCAAAGUAUUUAUGUUGAGUUUAGAAAAAGAAAAAAAAAAAUCCUACAUUGGAGUAGAACCUGCAAAGUUUCAGUAAUUAAUUAUUAACUUCAAGUCUUAAGCCAACAAGACAGUACUCAUCCAUAACAUGUGUUGUUGCAAAAAAAGCAGAAAAUAAGGAAAAGCACGGUACAUAUUGAGAAAUAAUUUAAGAGCAAAACUUAAGGAAAAUUUCGUGACCCACAGAUCUACAGAUUGAUAUGCUUCAUAGCCAUCGUUUUAGAGGAAAAAAAAUAGCAAACAUAAAUAACGAAUGUUUUCAGCACAUCAGAAAGUAAAAGAGAUGAGUUUAGUUGUGGUCGUGGUGUUACCUCAGACUUCCAAAGUGCUAGACAUGGAUUACUAGAUAGAAUUACCAAUAGCCAGAAACUAAUGGUCGUACCCAGUGCACAAGGCUCCCGCUUUACGCAGGGUCUGGGAGAGGUGAAAAACAUACAACAAAUAUGCUAAAGGACACAGGCCACAUCCACAAAAGCAGAAGCAAGUGAAAAGCUUCGAAGCCCUUGUCUAACAAGGUCGGGGAAGCACGGUAAAAGUCUGUAUAUAGAACUUCAGAAACUUGCCAACAUCACAUAUCCUAGGAAUUACCUCAGCAGCCUCAGUAGUGGAUGAAAGAUACUGAUAAUAAUAAUGGCGCAAUGCAUCUGGUACACAUGCAGGUGAGUUCUUCCAAACAUCUAGAUUUUGAUCUGUGACCUGGGGAGAAUGCACUGACAGGUUAUUAGAAUAUUUGAAGAUUACUUGAACUGGGUAUGAUAUUAUACCAUGAUUUGCCACACAAACAAAGUGACAAUAGCACCGCAUUCACCUGAUGCAAAGUUUUAGAAACCUAGUGGGCCUUCCAAGGGAUUAACCUAGUACAAUAGCUCCUAAAAAGUUGUUCAGUGCUACUUAUUACCGCAACAAACAGAUCAGAAUCAAUCCCAAUCUUGUAAACAUCUUUUUUUUUCCUUUAUUUUAAAUAUUUGUGUUCCUCAAACCAUUUUCUUUCUUUUGUUGAUAAAACAAAGUAAGCCUGUUGUUGUUACAUUGUUAGAAAGCUUCCAUUACUUAAAUAACAAGUAAAUCAAACUAACAUUAAACAACUCAUCGGCAUGGAAGUUUGAACCAUGACCACAACGGGGUUCUUCUCCCACUAGACCAGUUUUAAGCUUGAUCAACAUAAAAACAAAAAACAAAAUAACUUGUUUUUUUUUUUAUGAGGGUUGCAUCAUCCUUUUGGUGGCCCUCUUGCUAUUGUAAUAAAUUUGUUGAAUUGUAAUAAAUUUUUGUGACCGCCGUAUGCCACUGAAGCUCAAGGGAAAAUUUUAUAGGACGGCAAUAAGGCCGGCGAUGCUAUAUGGCACAGAAUGUUGGGCGGUGAAGCAUCAACACGUACACAAAAUGGGUGUAGCGGAGAUGAGGAUGCUUCGUUGGAUGUGUGGGCACACGAGAAAGGAUAAGAUUAGGAAUGAGGAUAUCCGGGGUAAAGUAGGAGUAGCCGAAAUUGAAGGAAAGAUGAGAGAAAAUCGGUUACGAUGGUUUGGACAUGUGCAAAGAAGGCCUACUGACGCUCCGAUUAGAAGAUGCGACUAUGGGACAGAGGUUCAGGGCCGAAGGGGUAGAGGAAGACCUAGGAAAACUUUGGAAGAGACCCUAAGAAAAGACUUAGAGUACUUGGAUCUAACGGAGGACAUGACACAGGACAGAACACAAUGGCGUUCUAAGAUUCAUAUAGCCAAUCCCACUCAGUGACUUGGAUUUUCCAAGUCUCCAACCGAGAAGUUUUCCUCACUCGGGAAAUUAAGGGAACACUACCUCAACCUACAUGCUCCACUCACAAAGCUUCAACAUACAAGCUUCAACAAAAGAAAAUUCAAAGAACUUAGCGAAGAAGGCUUUGGUGUAUUUAACACAAUACGUUGAAAUGAAGGAAAACUUAUUUAUUGAUAGCCCUGAUAAGUUACAAAUAUGUACAUAUACAUGAAUCAAAAUAAACAAACAAGAGGGAGCCUUCACACAGGUUGUUUAGGAGAAGUCUCAGCAGUCGGUAGAGCCCCAGAAAGAGAAGGCACCGGAGGGGGAUCAUUCGAGCCUCAGUACUGGACAGAACCCUAGAAGGAGGAGGCAUCAGAGGUUGAUCAUUUGGAGCUUCAUUACGCGGUACAACCCCAGAAGACGAAAGCAAUAAAUGCCUUUGGAACAAACCCACAAAUCUCUGAUGAUCAAGUAAAACCUGACCAUCAGAUUCCUUCAUCUGGUCAAGCUUCCUCUUCAUGUUUGUAGCAUAGUCAUGUGCGAGCCGGUGCAACUGUUUAUUCUCAUGCUUGAGCCCUCUAAUCUCCUGUUUGAGACUCAUCACUUCAGCCGCCAAUGAUUCAACUUGGCGGGUUCGAGCAAAUAGGCGUUGGGCCAUAUUAGACACAGAACCUGCACACUGAACACUGAGAGCCAGAGAAUCCUUAACAGCCAACUCAUCAGACCGUUUGGAAAGUAGUCUGUUAUCUUUGGGAGUGAGAAGGUUCCUGGCCACUACCGCAGCGGUCAUAUCAUUCUUCAUCACGGAAUCCCCAACGGUAAGAGGACCAGUAGGGGAGACGAAGGAUGGGCGCCAUAUGUUGUCUGGAGAAGGCGGGGCUGCCUCUUCAACAAGGUUCAAGUCAAAACGACGGUCGGAGGGGGCCAAACAUUUUCAAAGGUGUUGAAGAGAGAAGAGGUCGGACAAAUCAAGAUCUUAGAAGUGCAAGAAUGGAGCUUCUACUGGUGGAGAUUCAAGUGUGCUUUGGAACUUAAUGCCAGCCCCUAUAAAAAUCUGCACUCGACGAAGCUUCAGAAAUCGAAGAGGCGUUUGCUUUCUCAAAAGCUGGGCUGCUCAGAGACCACGAGGGUCGAUCUCAGAAAUCGAAGAGGCGUUUGCUUUCUCAAAAGCUGGGCUGCUCAAAGACCACAAAGGCCGAUCUCAGAAAUCGAAGAGGCUUGCUUUCUCAAAAGCUGGGCUGCUCAGAGACUACGAGGGCUGAUCUCAGAAAUCGAAGAGGCACAUACUUUUCCAGCCUUGUCAGCACCUGUCACACGCACACUCAGCUUUGCGGAAAUUAUGGGCAUUCUGUCGAAGAUUUCUGGUGAAGUAGAAAGCACAUGAAUCGUACUGUUCAAUCACCCACUUCCCACACGCAACAGUAGCUCAUGGGUACCACAGAUAACUUUGCCAAAGUUAUCUGACAAAGUUGAGACACGUGAAGCUUGCAGCUCCCACUACAUCGCUCUGACCGAGAAGGGUAAAAGAAUAGCAAAGAAACAACACUAACAAAGUUUAGACACAUAAAUUUUGAAGGUCUAGCUACCAUAUUAUUACCCACAAGGGUAAAGGAACAGUACCACUGCUGGAUAAUUGGAAGGUCCCGGUGUGUCAACCUCUGUACUUCGUGGCACGGUAGACUAGCAAACAUGUCCAACCUUUACUCACAUUCGAGAAAACACUCCCAACAAGAUUGCUUGCUCCAAAAUCGAAGAGGCACCGCCUUCCGAAUCUCGAGAGCCAGACUCCCAACAUGAUUACUUUCUCAAAAAUCGAAGAGAGGGUAAAGGAACAGUACCACUGCUGGAUAAUUGGAAAGUCCCUGUGUGUCAACCUCUGUGCUUCGUGGCAAGGUAGAAUAGCAAACAUGCCCAACCUUUACUCACAUUCGAGAAAACACUCCUAACAAGAUUGCUUGCUCCAAAAUCGAAGAGGCACCGCCCUCCGAAUCUCGAGAGCCAGACUCCCAACAUGAUUACUUUCUCAAAAAUCGAAGAGAGGGUAAAGGAACAGUACCACUGCUGGAUAAUUGGAAAGUCCCUGCGUGUCAACCUCUGUGCUUCGUGGCAAUGUAGACUAGCAAACAUGCCCAACCUUUACUCACAUUCGAGAAAACACUCCCAACAAGAUUGCUUGCUCCAAAAUCGAAGAGGCACCGCCCUCCGAAUCUCGAGAGCCAGACUCCCAACAUGAUUACUUUCUCAAAAAUCGAAGAGACACCGCUCUCCGAAUCUCGAGAGCCAGACCCCCAGCAGGAUUGCUUUCUCAAAAAUCGAAGAGGCAUCGUUCUCCGAAUCUCGAGAACCAGAUCCCCGACAGGAUUGCUUGUUCGAAAACCGAAGAGGCACCACUUUCCCAACUUCAAGAGCUGGAUCUCCUUGGAUAAAGCUUGUCUGUAAUCUUCACACGCAACAUCAACUUUCCAGAUACCACAGACCACUUUUUCAAAGUGCUCUGACAUAGUUAAAACAUGUGAAGCUGGCAGCUCCCACUACCGUGCUAUGACCAAGCAGGGUAAAAGAAUAGCAUUAUUACUUGAUGUUAGGGAGACUCCUAUAUAUGUCGACCUCCAUCCCCAACGGACAGGCAGACCUGCAAAAAUGCUCAACCCUUCCUCUUAUCUGAGAGGGCAUUCCCAACGAAGCCUUUCGAAAUAUUCAGCUUUCUUUCCCCCCGAUAAUACCUCUGCAAACAAGCUAUAUUAGAGUAAGAAUAUCUCAUAUCAUCAGGGUUAAAAGCAAGAGUAUCCCAUAUCAUGCUUUUUCCCUGUCUUUUCCUUUGGUCUUGUUCUUACCUGCAAGACAAGGAGAAAGAGAGCAAUCAGUCAGCACUUGGAAUCAAGCUUCCAGCCAGGAACUGACUGCCUGGAACCCCUUACCUGAGUACUUACCUGGCAUUGCUCUCGAGUACUCAUCUUCAACAUCUUAUGCUUCCAGGGAAGAUACCGCAUCUGCCUGAGGAACAGAUAGGGCAAGUGAGAAGGAUACAAAGAAGCAUGUGGAGACAAGCGUAACAGCACACGUGCCGAUACAUCCACUACUCUGUCAAAAGCAAAAGUAUCCCAUAUCAGCAGGGUCGAACGUACUCUAGAUUUGAUGGAUUUGUUUUGACCCUCAAAUUCUUUAGUCGGCCUUAUACUCUGGAGGAAACCAGAAAACCCUCCAGCCCAGUUCAAGAAUAAGCCUGUGGAAAGUUACUUCUUCAAAAGCAAAAGUAUCCCAUAUCAUCUCUUCUCAUUUUUCUUCUCUUUAUCCUUCAUGCUGCCUGCAAGAUAGGGAGAAUGUGAACAAUCAGCCGGAGCUCUGAUUGCUGUCACCUCUUUCAGCAGAUCCCCUAGCUCGGCGACUUGGGGGACUCCUACUACAUGGUUUGUAUCGCGCUUGACCAAGCCUGAAACUACAAGUAAGCUUCAAGUGAAAUUGAUACAUUACCUUGUGCAUCUCCACCAGUUAAAGAUACCACCCCUGGAUGGAGGAAGAGUACUUCCAGAGAAGAUGCCACAUCUACCUAUGAGACAGAUAAGGCAAGUCAAGACGAUACCACACCCCGGUACUUAGAAGUUUCGUGAUUACGAGAUCAUUCUCCCACAAUAUUUCCUAAUGUCAUUUGUACUAAAUCAUUCACUUGUACUCACUAAAGGAGAGCUUGAACCUAUGUACUUGUGUAAACCCUUCACAAUUAAUGAGAACUCCUCUAUUCCGUGGACAUAGCCAAUCUGGGUGAACCACGUACAUCUUGUGUUUGCUUUUCUAUCUCUAUCCAUUUAUAUACUUAUCCACACUAAUGACCGGAGCAAUCUAGCGAAGAUCACAAAAAGCGACCGUUUUCGCUACCUAGGAUCUAUCUUGCAAGAGAACGGAGAAUUAGAUGGAGAUCUCAACCAUAGAAUACAAGCUGGAUGGAUGAAGUGUAAGAGUGCAUCCGGCGUGUUGUGUGACCGUCGUAGGCCACUGAAGCUCAAGGGAAAAUUUUAUAGGACUGCAAUAAGGCCAGCGAUGUUGUAUGGCACAGAAUGUUGGGCGGUGAAGCAUCAACACGUACACAAAAUGGGUGUAGCGGAGAUGAGGAUGCUUCGUGGGAUGUGUGGGCACACGAGAAAGGAUAAGAUUGGGAAUGAGGAUAUCCGAGGUAAAGUAGGAGUAGUCGAAAUUGAAGGAAAUAUGAGAGAAAAUCGGUUCCGGUGGUUUGGACAUGUGCAAAGAAGGCCUAUUGACGCUCCGGUUCGAAAAUGUGACUACGGGACAGAGGUUCAGGGCCGAAGGCGUAGAGGAAGACCUAGGAAAACUUUGGAAGAGACCCUAAGAAAAGACUUGAGUACUUGGAUCUAACGGAGGACAUGACACAAAACCGAGCGCAAUGGCGUUCUAGGAUUCAUAUAGCCGACCCCACUUAGUGGGAAAAGGCUAUGUUGUUGUUGUUGUUGUUGUUAUAGAAUUAAAAUUAAAAGCCAUCUCCAAAACUCUCAACACUCCCAUAUCAAUUUACAGUGGAGAAAUUGCCACAUAUGUUUGAAGCAAAACUUCUAAUGUUUGGAUGGAGAAGUUCCCCUAAAGAAUUGCUAGAAAUAUAAUAUACUCACUUUUGAUAUAAAAUUUUAAACUUUCCAACAUCACUUGCCUACAAACUGGAUGAAUUCACAUUUCAGUGCAUCACAGCCUCCCUAAAGAUGGGCCGUAAAUCGUAAAAUAAAAUAACCUCUAGAAAGUAGUAUCAAUAACCCAACAAACCACAAACCCAACCAAACACCUAGCAAAUAGAAAUUCUAACUAACAUAGAAUUCUAAUUACAACAUAAUUUUACACUGCAUAUGCAUAAAAACUGGUACAUUUUGUUAAGAUGUGUUGUGUAGUUACCCUAGCUCCUGUUUACAAUCCCGUACCAUUAAUCUACUAUAGUCUAUUGGAGGUUGAAUCCAAUAAACAAUAUGUGAGCCACAGAAAAGAAAGGACUCGUCCUUUCACAUAUAAAAAUACCGGGGAGAAACAAGGAGAGAGAUAACAAGAAAUAAGAGAAGAUAGAUGCAAGAAGAGAAAAAGACAAGCAUUCAUGGUCAUCCAUACCUCCUCAAAAAAUGUCAUUGCAGUAAGCCGGUACCCUGCUAUAAGCAAAUAUUCUUUUACAGCACAGUUAAGAUCUCUGCGCUCAUUAUCUUUCAAUGGACCCAAAUCAGAAAAGGAAACAUCUCUCUUUUGCCGCUGAAAUUCUGGUCCAUUAUGUAAGGAAACAUUGGCAUUUGAAUCUGAAUACAAAUAUGAGUAGAAAGUCAUGGAACAGAAACGUUUGUGGUUUAUUAGUAUUGGAGAAUAUUGCACAUAUAGUGAAUCUCGCAUUUUCCACUGUAUACAGGUGCAAUACUGAUUCCCGAAAAUAUAAAUGCAAUGAACAGUAACAAGAAGAGGAAAACGUGGUGUGUGUCUCCACCAUUGACAUUCAUUUGUUAGAAGGUUUUCUAGAAAACAAUUCCAGUACAUCUAGGAACAGGCAUGGAUGUCCAUAUCCAGUAUAACAAACCCACAAAGCUUGCCUCGUUAUUUUACCUAAUAACCUCACUAUAGACAUGCCUAUGGCAUUAUGGUCGCACUUUAUGACAAGAUACGUCCAGAGAUUUAAUAACCAAACUCUGUAAUAAUGCAAAGUUACUUAAUGCAAAGUUCUGCAGCAAACAAUAUCACAGUGACUACCGUUCGAAAAGAUAUAUCAGACUAGAAGCUAAAACAAGCAUAAGAAUAGAAUUUGAAAUUCUGGAAAGAAGGUAAACUUACCUCUCAAGUCAUUUGAAGGUGAUUCUGCUUUCUUCUGCAAUUCGGCCUUCAGUUUUGAAAUGUCCUCUUGGGCUAAGCGAAGCUCAUAUUCACUAAUUGCUAAUUUUUCUUCUACUGCUUCUUUCUCCUCUAGCAAACAUUGAGGGUCUGCAACUGCAUUCCAAAAAUGAAAGCAGUAGAAAAAUAAAGCAUUAGUAAUGUUCCAAAAGAAAAUAUUAGUAUCAAGAUUAAUGAGGUACAAGAAGUUUUCCUUUUCAAGCUCCAAUUAUCAGUUCAUCAAGCAGAGACAUAAACCAUUUGUAAAUCAGUUCUGUCACUUUACUGAGAAAAGUUCAAUUAAAGUUAUUUUUUGUUAGCUCGGCUUCUGUUCAGUUGGCUUGUUAGGCUUUCUUGGCCACACCACACCCCAACACACACUCAGUCAAUCACCACCAGCAGAAAUGCCCUUUGCAGUUGCGCUUACAGGCUGCAACAUACAAUACUAAUUUUUUUUCCCUUUUCAUUAAAAAUUAAACCUUUAUGGGUUGGGCUGGUAAUGGUAGCCUCAUUAAAUAAAAAAAAUAAAUUAAAAAAAAAAAAAAAAAAAAAAAAAGCAUACGAGGAUGUUCUUAGUUGAGUUUUUUGAACUGACCAUCAAGCUCGUUGCACUAAUUUUGACAAACUUAAUUUCUGAAAAUUUAAGGUUUUAAUGAAUAACAGCAAAAAUGUACCAGAAAAAAGGGAACCAAAGAAGCAAACACAGUUCCUCUUAACAGAAAACACAACUAAAGAAUGAGAAAGCCAGAACAAAGCCAUCAAGGAAGUGAUCUCACCCUGGCAGCCGAAAGCACAGGCACAGAUAUGCAGCCACCACGUACUCACACUUUCAGUUGCAUUCUCUAAAUAUGUUAAGUAACUCCUCCGCAGAAAGUAACAGUUUCAUAAAAUAGAUAUGUUCUAAACUAAUUGCUUUUCUCAGUUCAGGCUAAUUCCUAGAAUAAACCGGUGUUUUCGUCCAACCAACUGAAGUCCCACCUAUCGCCAUUCCUUUACACAAUGCUUCUACAUGAUGGUUGAGGUAGCCCAUUUGGGCACAUAACAAAAAGAAUUUCAAACACUUUUGAGUUCUGCAACUAGUUUCAAGUCUAACUUGUUCCUCAAACAAACAAAAUGUAAUUCAACUUUCGCUAUAAUUGCCAGCGGCAACGAGGUUCCAAAUGCGAAAAAAUUCAGUUAGCAUUAACAAGAAGCCGCUAAGGAGAUAAACGAUCUUUCAAAACUAGGCAAAGUAAACGAUCACAAGCGCGCCAAUUCGUGGCAUUAACAAUGCCAAAGAAAACAGAGUAGAAAACCAGAAUUCCGAAUCUAUUAGCUCACCACAUUCCCCACACUUUCUCAGCAACCAAACAGAAAACAAGAGAAUUUCAAAUUAACCGAAUUCAAACAGAUUCAGAAGUGCGCGUGCGAGUGUGAAUUGAUCGUACGAACCUCGGAGAGAGUUGAAACGAGAAAUCUGAUCGGGAGGGAAUUUAGAGGAGUCGGCGAAGAAGUCCUUGAGUCGAAUGGCCUGGUCGUCUCUGCCAUCGUCGAGCAGCUCGUGGAGCAGCUCGAACGCCGUGAGCAGGUAGUUCUCCUCGAGCAGAAAAUUCACGACGCAAUUGCACAACGACGACCUCUCCACGUCCAUCGGAGCUCACUAUCUCCUCCGCAACCUUAGCGCGACGCCAUUGAAGAACCAGAUAACCAAAGCAGAUCUCUCUCUCUGUCUUUCUCUCUGCCUAUUUUCUUCAGGAGUACGUCCGGAUCGAGUCGUUGAGUUGGGAGAGAGGAGGCAAGGACCGACCGAGGGAAAGUGGGAUAUUCGGUGCGACGCGUCUUUCUUUUGAUCCGUGCUUCUUUGUAUUUUCGACCGUCGAUCCUAUGAUUGUUGUUGAUAGAUCUGCCUGCAUUUUUCAUUAGCACGUUCACCACGUGUGAUUUUGCAUGGAAAACCGGUGCACCGCCAAGAAGGUCAACUGUUGACUCUCAAAUUAGAGAAAUUUUGCAGUGUACAUAUCAUUAUAUAAAUGAAAAGAAGUUUUAUUUUUCAAAUGUCCAACAAUUAACAUAUGAUGUAGUAUCCUUUAUUUGAGCCCAUUGAAAAAUAUCUUCACGAAUUAGAGAAAUGCCAAAGAAACUCUAAAAAUGAAACUCUCGAUAAAUUAUCUGCUACUUCAAAUUUUUUUUUACAUAUGAUUUUAUAAUUUUACACUUAAAUUAAUAUUAAACUGUGAGAUUUAAUGGGCUCAUCCUAGAGCUUCUAUAUUCAUUUUUUUUUUUUUUUGCCUCUAUGUUCAUUUUUUUGUGAUUAUCUAUUUGGGUCUAGAACUCCGCCUAUGUCUUACAUGGCCGGUCCCAAGCCCGGAUAAAGGAGGAGGGGGAGGGCGUCAGGUAGUCGACAGCCGGCACUCCAUGAUCACGUCGAAUCCUUAUGAAAAUGAAUCCAGAACAAAAUCGCGCUAAAGCUAGGGCGUCACCCGUAAGUGGCGCGCUGUGUGGCCCGAGCACAGUGAUAAGUGAGCAAGGGUCGCUGUAUCUCUAUCGGCACCCGGAUGCAGUGUUAAAUGAGCAAGGGGGCCAUAGAAACUUCUUUUCGAACGACUCCACUCAAAGUUGUUUGGGAGCAUAUGCUCCUAUCAACUUUACCCGAGACACACAAAAGAAGUACUUUGAUCCUAUUAGACGGGGGAGGGUGAAGAAGCUAGGACAGAAGGUAGAGUUCAAGAGAGCAAAAUGCGUUUAGGAACGUGGAAUAUAGGAACCUUAACGGGAAAAUCUAUGGAAGUAGUGGAAGUUAUGGUGAGGAGAAGGAUAAAUAUUAUGUGCCUACAAGAAACUAAGUGGGUUGGUAGUAAGGCAAAGGAUCUAGAAAACUCAGGGUUUAAACUUUGGUAUUCGGGCACAAAUAGAACGAGAAACGGUGUUGGCAUCAUCGUGGACAAGACCUUGGUACAAGAUGUUGUAGAUGUCAAGAGGGUAGGAGAUAGAAUCAUGGCAAUCAAGAUUGUAAUAGGACAAGAACUUAUCAAUGUGAUUAGUGCGUACGCACCUCAAGUAGGGUUGGAUACGAGUUCGAAGGAGAAAUUUUGGGAAGAUCUUGGAGACUUGGUGCAAGGAAUUGCUCAGACGGAAAAGUUAUUUAUAGGAGGAGAUUUAAAUGGACACGUGGGCAGGGAGACAGGCAACUAUGGAGGUUUUCAUGGUGGCCAUGGUUUUGGGGAGAGAAACGAGGAUGGGGAAGCUAUCUUGGAUUUUGCAAUGGCAUAUGAUCUCUUCUUAGCCAACACCUUCUUUAAGAAGAGAGAAGAACAUGUGAUCACCUACAAGAGUGGGUCGUCAAAAACACAAAUAGAUUUUCUUCUAAUGAGGAAAGGGGAUCGUAUAACUUGUAAGGAUUGCAAAGUUAUAUCAGGAGAGUGCGUGGCCAAUCAACAUCGCUUGUUGGUGAUGGAUGUACAUAUCAAAAGAGUAAGACAAAAGAACAAGUCUUGGAAGUGCCCAAGGACUAGAUGGUGGAAUCUAAAAGAAGAAAAACAAGCCAUUUUCAAAGAUAAGGUAAUCACCCAAUGUGUGUGGGAUAGAGAGGGGGAAGCUAGCCAAAUGUGGGAUUCCAUGGCUAGUUGUAUCCGAAAAGUAGCAAAAGAGGCAUUAGGAGAGUCCAAGGGCUUUGCCCCACACCAAAAGGAAUCUUGGUGGUGGAAUGAAGAGGUACAAACAAAGGUGAAGGCUAAGAAGGAAUGUUGUAAAGCCUUAUACAAGGAGAGGACCGAUGAAAAUGGUGAAAGGUAUAGAAAAGCGAAGCAAGAGGCGAAGAAAGCUGUCAGAGAAGCUAAGUUAGCGGCUUACGACGAUAUGUAUAAACGACUAGAUACCAAAGAAGGAGAGUUGGAUAUCUAUAAACUAUCUAGAGCAAGGGAAAAGAAGACAAGGGACCUAAACCAAGUGAGGUGCAUCAAGGAUGAGGAUGGAAAGGUUCUUGCUACAGAGAACGCGGUUAAAGACAGAUGGAGAGGUUAUUUUCAUAAUCUUUUCAAUGAAAGGACAUGAAAUGAGUGCUUCUUUAGGGGAGUUGAGUAACUUCAGAAGAGUGUAGAAACUACUCUUUUUAUCGUCGAAUCCGGAAGGAAGAAGUGGUUGUAGCUUUGAAGAAGAUGAAGCAUAAAAAAGCAAUAGGCCCAGACGAUAUACCAAUCGAAGUGUGGAAACUUUUGGGAGAGACAGGUAUAACAUGGCUCACUGACCUUUUCAAUAGGAUUUUGAAAACGAAGAAGAUGCCAAAUGAGUGGCGAACGAGCACUUUGGUGCCUAUCUACAAGAAUAAGGGCGACGUACAAAAUUGCAUGAACUAUAAGGGUAUUAAGCUAAUGAGUCAUACAAUGAAGCUCUGGGAGAGAGUCAUUGAGCAUAGAUUGAGGCAAGAGACACGGGUUUUGGACAACCAAUUCGGGUUCAUGCCAGGGCGCUCAACCAUGGAGGCAAUCUAUCUCUUACGAAGAUUGAUGGAAAGAUAUAGAGAUGGGAAAAAGGAUUUACACAUGGUCUUUAUAGAUUUGGAAAAAGCGUAUGAUAGGGUCCCAAGAGACAUUCUUUGGAGGAUUUUAGAGAAGAAAGGAGUACGAGUAGCAUAUAUCCAAGCUAUAAAGGAUAUGUAUGAAGGAGCAAAGACUGCCGUAAGAACUCAUGAAGGACAAACCGAAAGCUUUCCCAUAACUGUAGGAUUACAUCAAGGCUCAUCCUUAAGUCCUUACCUUUUUGCGUUGGUAAUGGAUGAGUUAACAGGACAUAUUCAAGAUGAUAUUCCUUGGUGUAUGCUUUUCGCAGACGAUAUAGUGUUGAUAGAUGAAACUCAGGAAGGGGUAAAUGCAAAGCUUAACCUUUGGAGAGAAGUGUUGGAAUCUAAAGGUCUUCGCCUAAGCCGAUCAAAGACAGAAUAUAUGGAGUGCAAGUUCAGUGCAAAUGGAGGCCAAAACGAGUUAGGGGUGAGGAUCGGAGAUCAAGAAAUACCAAAGAGCGACCGUUUUCGUUACCUAGGAUCUAUCUUGCAAAAGAACGGAGAAUUAGAUGGAGAUCUCAACCAUAGAAUACAAGCUGGAUGGAUGAAGUGGAAGAGUGCAUCCGGCGUGUUAUGUGACCGCCGUAUGCCAUUGAAGCUCAAGGGAAAAUUUUAUAGGACGGCAAUAAGGCCGGCGAUGCUGUAUGGCACAGAAUGUUGGGCGGUGAAACAUCAACACGUACACAAAAUGGGUGUAGCGGAGAUGAGGAUGCUUCGUUGGAUGUGUGGGCACACGAGAAAUGGAUAAGAUUAGGAAUGAGGAUAUCCGGGGUAAAGUAGGAGUAGCCGAAAUUGAAGGAAAGAUGAGAGAAAAUCGGUUACGGUGGUUUGGACAUGUGCAAAGAAGGCCUACUGACGCUCCGAUUAGAAGAUGCGACUAUGGGACAGAGGUUCAGGGCCGAAGGGGUAGAGGAAGACCUAGGAAAACUUUGGAAGAGACUCUAAGAAAAGACUUAGAGUACUUGGAUCUAACGAAGGACAUGACACAUGAUCGAGCACAAUGGCGUUCUAAGAUUCAUAUAGCCGAUCCCACUCAGUGACUUGGAUUUUCCAAGUCUCCAACCGAGAAGUUUUCCUCACUCGGAAAAUUAAGGGAACACUACCCCAACCUACAUGCUCCACUCAGAAAGCUUCAACAUACAAGCUUCAACAAAAGAAAAUUCAAAGAACUUAGCGAAGAAGGCUUUGGUGCAUUUAACACAAUACGUUGAAAUGAAGGAAAGCUUAUUUAUUGAUAUCCCCGAUAAGCUACAAAUAUGUACAUAUACAUGAGUCAAAAUAAACACACAAGAGGGAGCCUUCACAAAGGUUGCUUAGGAUAAGUCUCAGCAGUCGGUAGAGCUCCAGAAAGAGAAGGCACCGGAGGGGGAUCAUUUGGAGCCUCAGUACUGGACAGAACCCUAGAAGGAGGAGACAUCAGAGGUUGAUCAUUUGGAGCUUCAUUACGCGGUACAGCCCCAGAAGACGAAGGCAAUAAAUGCCUUUGGAACAAACCCACAAAUCUCUGAUGAUCAAGUAAAACCUGACCAUCAGUUUCCUUCAUCUGGUCAAGUUUCCUCUUCAUGUUUGUAGCAUAGUCAUGUGCGAGCCGGUGCAACUGUUUAUUCUCAUGCUUGAGCCCUCUAAUCUCCUGUUUGAGACUCAUCACUUCAGCCGCCAAUGAUUCAACUUGGCGGGUUCGAGCAAAUAGGAGUUGGGCCAUAUUAGACACAGAACCUGCACACUGAACACUGAGAGCCAGCGAAUCCUUAACAGCUAACUCAUCAGACCGUUUGGAAAGUAGUCUGUUAUCUUUGGGAGUGAGAAGGUUCCUGGCCACCACCGCAGCGGUCAUAUCAUUCUUCAUCACGGAAUCCCCAACGGUAAGAGGACCAGUGGGGAGACGAAGGAUAGGCGCCAUAUGUUGUCUGGAGAAGGCGGGGCUGCCUCUUCAACAAGGUUCAAGUCAAAACGACGGUCGGAGGGGCCAGACAUUUUCAAAGGUGUUGAAGAGAGAAGAGGUCGGACAAAUCAAGAUCUAAGAAGUGCAAGAAUGAAGCUUCUACUGGUGGAGAUUCAAGUGUGCUUUGGAACUUAAUGUCAGCCCCUAUAAAAAUCUGCACUCGAUGGAGCUUCAGAAAUCGAAGAGGCGCCUGCUCAGAAAUCGAAGAGGCGUUUGCUUUCUCAAAAGUUGGGCUGCUUAGAGAUCACGAGGGUUGAUCUCAGAAAUCGAAGAGGCGUUUGCUUUCUCAAAAGUUGGGCUGCUCAAAAACCACGAAGGCUGAUCUCAGAAAUCGAAAAGGCGCUCGCUUUCUCAAAAGCUGGGCUCCCCAGAGACCACGAGGGCCGAUCUCAGAAUCCGAAGAGGCACCUACUUUUCCAGCCUUGUCAGCACCUGUCACACGCACACUCAGCUUUGCGGAAAUUAUGGGCAUUCUGUCGAAGACUUCUAGGGAAGUAGAAAACACAUGAAUCUUAUUGUUCAAUCACCCACUUCCCACACGCAACAAUAGCUCAUGGGUACCACAGAAAACUUUGCCAAAGUUCUCUGCCAAAGUUGAGCACGUGAAGCUUGCAGCUCCCACUACAUCGCUCUAACCAAGAAGGGUAAAAAAAUAGCAAAAGAAACAGCACUAAGAAAGUUUAGACCCAUAAAUUUUGAAGGUCUAGCUACCAUAUUAUUACCCACAAGGGUAAAGGAACAGUACCACUGCUGGAUAAUUGGAAAGUCCCUGUGUGUCAACCUCUGUGCUUCGUGGCAAGGUAGACUAGCAAACAUGCCCAACCUUUACUCACAUUCGAGAAAAAACUCCCAAUAAGAUUGCUUGCUCCAAAAUCGAAGAGGCACCGUCCUCCGAAUCUCGAGAGCCAGACUCCCAACAUGACUACUUUCUUAAAAAUCGGAGGGUAAAGGAACAGUACCAUUGCUGGAUAAUUGGAAAGUCCCUGUGUGUCAACCUCUGUGCUUCGUGGCAAGGUAGACUAGCAAACAUGCCCAACCUUUACUCACAUUCGAGAAAACACUCCCAACAAGAUUGCUUGCUCCAAAAUCGAAGAGGCACCGCCCUCCGAAUCUCGAGAGCCAGACUCCCAACAUGAUUACUUUCUCAAAAAUCGAAGAGACACUGCUCCCCGAAUCUUCGAGAGCCAGACCCCCAGCAUGAUUGCUUUCUCAAAAAUCGAUGAGGCAUCGUUCUCCGAAUCAAUCGAAGAGGCGCUCGCUUUCUCAAAAGCUGGGCUGCUCAGAGACCACGAGGGCCGAUCUCAGAAAUCGAAGAGGCACCUACUUUUCUAGCCUUGUCAGCACCUGUCACACGCACACUCAGCUUUGCAGAAAUUAUGGGCAUUCUGUCGAAGACUUCUGGUGAAGUAGAAAGCACAUGAGUCUUACUGUUCAAUCACCCACUUCCCACACGCAACAAUAGCUCAUGGGUACCACAGACAACUUUGCCAAAGUUCUCUGCCAAAGUUGAGCACGUGAAGCUUGCAGCUCCCACUACAUCGCUCUGACCAAGGAAGGUAAAAGAAUAGCAAAGAAACAGCACUAACAAAGUUUAGACACAUAAAUUUUGAAGGUCUAGCUACCAUUAUUAUUACCCACAAGGGUAAAGGAACAGUACCACUGCUGGAUAAUUGGAAAGUCCCUGUGUGUCAACCUCUGUGCUUCGUGGCAAGGUAGACUAGCAAACAUGCCCAACCUUUACUCACAUUCGAGAAAACACUCCCAACAAGAUUGCUUGCUCCAAAAUCGAAGAGGCACCGUCCUCCGAAUCUCGAUAGCCAGACUCCCAACAUGACUACUUUCUCAAAAUCGAAGAGAGGGUAAAGGAACAGUACCAUUGCUGGAUAAUUGGAAAGUCCCUGUGUGUCAACCUUUGUGCUUCGUGGCAAGGUAGACUAGCAAACAUGCCCAACCGUUACUCACAUUCGAGACAACACUCCCAACAAGAUCGCUUGCUCCAAAAUCGAAGAGGCACCGCCCUCCGAAUCUCGAGAGCCAGACUCCCAACAUGAUUACUUCCUCAAAAAUCGAAGAGACACUGCUCUCCGAAUCUCGAGAGCCAGACCCCCAACAUGAUUGCUUUCUCAAAAAUCGAAGAGGCAUCGUUCUCCGAAUCUCGAGAGCCAGAUACCACAGACCACUUUUUCAAAGUGCUCUGACAGAGUUAAAACAUGUGAAACUGGCAGCUCCCACUACCGUGUUAUGACCAAGCAGGGUAAAGGAAUAGCAUUACUACUUGUUAGGGAGACUCCUAUAUAUGUCGACCUCCAUCCCCAACGGACAGGCAGACCUGCAAAAAUGCUCAACCCUUCAUCAUAUCUGAGAGGGCACUCCCAACGAAGUCUUUCGAAAUAUUUAGCUUUCUUUCCCCCCGAUAAUACCUCUGCAAACAAGCUAUACUAGAGCAAGAAUAUCUCAUAUCAUCAGGGUUAAAAGCAAGAGUAUCCCAUAUCAUGCUUUUUCCCUGUCUUUUCCUUUGGCCUUGUUUUUACCUGCAAGACAAGGAGAAAGAGAGCAAUCAGUCAGCACUUGGAAUCAAGCUUCCAGCCAGGAACUGACUGCCUGGAACCCCUUACCUGAUUACUUACCUGGCAUUGCUCUCGAGUACUCAUCUUCAACAUCUUAUGUUUCCAGGGAAGAUUCCGCAUCUGCUUGAGGAACAGAUAGGGCAAGUGCGAAGGAUACAAGGAAGCAUGUGGAGACAAGCGUAACAGCACACGUGCCGAUACAUCCAUUACUCUGUCAAAAGCAAAAGUAUCCUAUAUCAGCAGGGUGGAACGUACUCUAGAUUUGAUGGACUUGUUUUGACCCUCAAAUUCUUCAGUCGGCCUUAUACUCUGGAGGAAACCAGAAAACCCUCCAGCUCAGUUCAAGAAUAAGCCUGUGGAAAGUUACUUCUUCAAAAGCAAAAGUAUCUCAUAUCAUCUUUUUUCAUUCAUUUUCUUCUCUUUAUCCUUCAUGCUGCUGCAAGAUGGGGAGAAGGUGAACAAUCAGUCGGAGCUCUGAUUGCUUACCUUGUCUGUCACCUCUUUCAGUAGACCCCCUAGCUCGGCGACUUGGGAGACUCCUACUACAUGGUUUGUAUCGCGCUUGACCAAGCCUGAAACUACAAGUAAGCUUCAAGUGAAAUUGAUACAUUACCUUGUGCAUCUCCACCAGUUAAAGAUACCACCCCUGGAUGGAGGAAGAGUACUUCCAGAGAAGAUGCCACAUCUACCUAUGAGACAGAUAAGGCAAGUCAAGACGACACCACACUCCGAUACUUAGAAGUUUCGUGAUUACGAGAUCAUUCUCCCACAAUAUUUCCUAAUGUCAUUUGUACUAAAUCAUUCACUUGUACUCACUAAAGGAGAGCUUGAACCUAUGUACUUGUGUAAACCCUUCACAAUUAAUGAGAACUCUUCUAUUCCGUGGACGUAGCCAAUAUGGGUGAACCACGUACAUCUUGUGUUUGCUUUCCUAUCUCUAUCCAUUUAUAUACUUAUCCACACUAAUGACCGGAGCAAUCUAGUAAAGAUCACAAAAAGCGACCGUUUUCGCUACCUAGGAUCUAUCUUGUAAGAGAACGGAGAAUUAGAUGGAGAUCUCAACCAUAGAAUACGAGCUGGAUGGAUGAAGUGUAAGAAUGCAUCCGGCGUGUUGUGUGACCGUCGUAGGCCACUGAAGCUCAAGGGAAAAUUUUAUAGGACGGCACUAAGGCCAGCGAUGUUGUAUGGCACAGAAUGUUGGGCGGUGAAGCAUCAACACGUACACAAAAUGGAUGUAGCGGAGAUGAGGAUGCUUCGUGGGAUGUGUGGGCACACGAGAAAGGAUAAGAUUGGGAAUGAUGAUAUCCGAGGUAAAGUAGGAGUAGCCGAAAUUGUAGGAAAGAUGAGAGAAAAUCGGCUCCGGUGAUUUGGACAUGUGCAAAGAAGGCCGAAUGACGCUCCGGUUCGAAGAUGUGACUACGGGACAGAGGUUCAGGGCCGAAGGGGUAGAGGAAGACCUAGGAAAACUUUGGAAGAGACUCUAAGAAAAGACUUAGAGUAUUUGGAUCUAACGGAGGACAUGACACAAAACCGAGCGCAAUGGCGUUCUAGGAUUCAUAUAGCCGACCCCACUUAGUGGGAAAAGGCUUUGUUGUUGUUGUUGUUGUUGUAUCUAUUUGGGUCUAGACUCUAGAUACAGAUAAUGGGCUCUUAUUGAUUUAUAAUGGAUUUGGAAAGAAUCUUGUAUUAACAUGAGUUACAAAGCCCACUUUCUAAAGAUGCAUUUUUACGUAUUUAGGCGAAGAUGAAUAUUUUAAGUCUUAUUAUUGGAGAGCUUUUCGGCCAAUGAGAAAUGUAAAAUGUCCAUUUCAUGGCGUUACAGAAUACUAGACUCAUCGUUAUAAUUACUUAUAAGUAAGAGACCCUAAAUUCAACCCAAUAAAUGACGAGUUCGAUGUCAAAUUAUUCUUGUAGACUCUUUAUAUGACUUAACCCACAUCUCCCAUGCCUUAAUGCAAACUAAAAUAUAGUUAUUAUGCAUGUGUAAAGCAAAAAGUGGGGUAAAUUAAACUUAUAUUUAAUUGUCAUAUUACCAACACUGUUCUAAAAAAUUUUACUUAGGUCGUGACUCUCACUUAGACAAAAAAAUUAAUAACUUUCAUUUUGCAUUUUAUUUUUUCAAUCAAUUAUAAGAGACUUAUUGAAUACUUUGAUAAACACUCAUUAUAUGUGUGUGCCCCAUGUUUUCAAUGUUUUAUACUUUAUAAUCGACAUAUGUCAUUUCAUUUUGUAAUUUAUAAUCGACAUAUUUAUACAAUAUGUAAUAAAUUUACUAAAUCUGCCUAGUUCGCCUCGGCCUCCGUUUAGGCCCCACCAAGGAGCUAUGCCCCAUCCAACCGCCUGAGUAGCGCUUAGCAUUUUUUUAAACUUUGAUUACCAAUGAUUAUGAAGUGAUUAAUUAAACUUAAUUAACAUAAAAAGAGUAUACUUGUCAUUUCACCCUUAGUUGUUUUUGUGUGAAAUAUAUAUGAGAAUAUGUUCCGUAUUUUAUUAUAUUUGGUUAUCUUUUCAAUCUCAUCAUUGCAAGCCUAUUAGGAUCAAGUUCCUUAAUACGCAGGCGAUUAAGGUGAACGAGAUUGUGGUAAUUACAAUUCAGGCUCAAGGUGAUUGAUGACGCGUUCAAAGUUCUUUAGAUUCAUUGGCUUCAAGGAACCUUCGUUUCUUUCAAUUUUUGCAACUUGGGUUUAUUAUGUUAUAAUUUCAUAUUUUUGUUUGCAAGCUUCCUCUUAUAUAUAUUGGAUUCAUAUUCUUCGUUUGUAUUAAAUCUAGGCUUGGCAAACGGGUCGUGUCUGUCGUGUUCGUGUCGUUUUCGUGUAACACCUGUUAUCUUAACGGGUCGUGUCGUGUCACACUCGUUAUCUUAACGAAUCCUUAACAGGUCGUGUCACAAGUGACCCGACCCGUUAUGACCCGUUAAGAAAAAUAUUUUUUUUUUUAAAUUUGCACAUACCACAUAUUACCAUAUAAAUAUUACUUCAAAACAUUAAAACAUUUGUCAUGUAAGUACUAUAACUACACUCGAAAAUAAGAGCCUAAUAAAAAAAUAAUACAUACACUACUAAUCUAUUAUAAAUAUUAAAGGGUAAAUUACAUAGUAGCCCCUCAGGUUUGAGCUCUAUUGCAAUCUCAUACAACAUCUUUAAAACAUUUCACUUUCAUACCUCAAGUACUAUUUUAUUUCAAUUUCAUACAACCGUUAGAUUUUUCAUCCAUGGAUCUGUUAAAUGCUGACGUGGUUGCCACAUAUAUGACACGUGGCUGCCAAAUGUCUGCCACGUGGCAAAUAAAAAUAAUUUUUAAUUUUUUUUAAAAAAAAAACAUAUCUGCCACUUUUUUUUUUUUGGGUAAAUUACAUAGUAACCCCUUAGGUUUGAGGUCUAUUGCAACCCCAUACAACAACUUUAAAACAUUUCACUUUUAUUCCUCACGUACUAUUUUAUUUCAAUAUAAUACAUCCGUUAGAUUUUCCAUCCAUUAAUCCGUUAAAUGCUGACGUGGCUGCCACAUUUGUGCCACAUGGCUGCCAAAUGUGUGCCACGUGGCAUAAAAAAUAAUUUUUUAAUUUUUUUUAAAACCACCUGAAUCUUAAAAAAAACUAAACUAAACUAAACUGAAACCCACCUCCCGCAACUCCCCACCCCCGCAAACAAACCCAGAAACCUCACCCUUCCCCCCCCCCCCAACCUCCUUCUCCUCCAUUCUCUUCACCUUUCCUCUCAUAAAAAAACCCAGCAAACCCCCACCCCACCGCCACGUUCCCCGAUCCUUUUCUUCUAUUCACCCCACCCCCUUUCUCCCUUCUCUCAUCUGCAAACCUAAUUCCAUUUCCAGACCACCACCAACCAAGCAUAGAAAAAAUUCAAAAUUUGAAAGGACAAAAUUAAAUACAUACCUCAUUGUCAGAGUUAAUCGAUAAGCAUGGUUCGAGUUGCAGAGAGGAGAAAAUAGUGGGUGAAGGGAUAAAGGGGGUAGCGGUAGGGGUCGGGUUCUGGGUGAGGAGGGUCGCGAGCGCACGGGGGGGGGGAGGGGGCGAGGGGAGGAUGAGGCGCGUCGAGCGCGAACGGGAAGGGGGGCCGAAGGAGGGUGGUGGGUUCUGACUGAGGUGAGUCUGGAAGGCAGGCGUAAGGCCUCUGUGGGUUGGGUGGGUGGGUGGGGGUGGGGGUGGGGGAAAACUGAACGAAUCUGGGUUGUAGGGUGGGGAAAAGAGAUCUGGGUUUUGGAGGGGGUUGCGGGGAGAUGGGAUAGGUUUAAGUUUUUUUUUUUUUAAUAAAUGAGAAAAUUCAAGUUUUCUAAAAAAAAAAUUAAAAAAAAUAUUUUGCCACGUGGCACACAUUUGGCAGCCACGUGGGACAAAUGUGGCAGCCACGUCAGCACUUAACGGAUCAAUGGAUGGAAAAUGUAACGGAUGUAUUAUAUUGAAAUAAAAUAGUACGUGAGGUAUGAAAGUGAAAUGUUUUAAAGUUGUUGUAUGGGGUUGCAAUAGACCUCAAACCUGAUGGGUUACUAUGUAAUUUACCCAAAAAAAAAAGUGGCAGAUAUGUUUUUUUUUUUUUUAAAUUAAAAAAUUAUUUUAUUUGCCACGUGGCAGACAUUUGGCAGCCACGUGUCAUAUAUGUGGCAGCCACGUCAGCAUUUAACAGAUCCAUGGAUGGAAAAUCUAACGGUUGUAUGAAAUUGAAAUAAAAUAGUACUUGAGGUAUGAAAGUGAAAUGUUUUAAAGAUGUUGUAUGAGAUUGCAAUAGAGCUCAAACCUGAGGGGCUACUAUGUAAUUUACCCAAUAUUAAAUGUGCAAGGAUAUGCAAAAUGAAAGAGUUUUUGUUUUCAAGGUUGUAAGUCUUUCUCAAAAGAUUAAAUCUCAGCCGAUCCAAAUGGUCAUCAAUUUUUUAAAUUUAAUUUAAUAUAUAUAAUUAUAUUAUAUAAUUACUAUAGUUUUUAGGGGUAUAAAAUUGUUAAAUUAAUAUAUAUAAUUAUUAUAGUUGAUUCAUACUUUUAUUAAGUAUAUAACAUAAGAUUUUGUGAUAUCCACAUCCACUAGUGUAAAUAUUUUAAAUUGAAGAUCAAAUUCAUUCUUUGUAUUCAUAUAUGGUCAAGGACUGUAGCUCUAAAAAAUCAUCAAAAUUGGAGUUAAAAUAACCGUUAAAUCGUGAUUUUUCGUUUAUAACCGUCGAAAAGUUUUGUCCCGUUACUUGAUCUCUGAAUGUUUUUUUUUUGUGUGAUUUUUUUGCUUAUGUGAUCUCGAAGCAUAUACAAACAAGUUUAACGGUUGGGAUCGUUGAAAUUAGUUUCGGAGAAUUUGUAUCCCAUCAAAACAAUAGAUUGACUAACACUUAAAGUUUAUUUAUACUUUCAUUAAGUAUAACAUAAGAUUUUGUGUUAUCUACUUGUGUAAAUAUUUUAAAUUGAAGAUCGAAUUCAUUCUUUGUAUUCAUAUAGGGUCAAGGAGUGUAGUUGUAAAAAAUCAUCAAAAUCGGAGUUAAAAUAACCGUUAAAUCAUGAUUUUUCGUUUAUAACCGUCGAAAAGUUUUGUCUCGUUACUUGAUCUCUAAACGUUUGUUUUUUGUGAUUUUUUGCUGAUGUGAUCUCGAAGCAUAUACAAACAAGUUUGACGAUUGGAAUCGUUGAAAUUAGUUUCGGAGAAUUCGUAUCACCCAUCAAAACAAUAGAUUGACUAACACUUAGAGUUUAUUUCUACUUUCAUUAAGUAUAACAUAAGAUUUUGUGGUAUCCACUUGUGUAAAUAUUUUAAAUUGAAGAUCGAAUUCAUUCAUUGUAUUCAUAUAGGGUCAAGGAGUGUAGCUGUAAAAAAUCAUCAAAAUCGGAGUUAAAAUAACCGAUAAAUCGUGAUUUUUCGUUUAUAACCGUCGAAAAGAUUUGUCCCGUUACUUAAUCUCUGAAUGUUUGUUUUUUGUGAUUUUUUGGUGAUGUGAUCUCGAAGCAUAUACAAACAAGUUUGACGGUUGUGAUCGUUGAAAUUUGUUUCGGAGAAUUCGUAUCCCAUCAAGUUCAAUGGUGUAUGUAUACAUAUAUAUAUAUAUAUAUAUAUAUAUUAAGUAGAUUUAAAUCUAUUUAUUUUGUAUGUAUAAUUGACCGGUACACAGAGUAGUACAUCACGUGUCAUUAUAAAAAUAGUGGGAUAUAUCAUGUGCGAUAAAAAGUUAAUAACUUAAAAAAAAAAAUUCUCACCACUGCACUUCUAUUAAUUUUCUUUUUUCCCUCUCUUUUUUGUUUCCUUUUCAACUUUUCAUAUAAUUUUCACUUUUCCCUCCACCCUAUCCAUCCAUCUUUCCCUAAUUCCCUCUCUUUUUUGUUUCCUUUUCAACUUUUCUUAUCAUUUUCAUUUUCCCUCCCUUUUUCUUCAAAAAGGGCGGCACUGCAGCAGGGAAUGGAAUGGAUCGAUUAUGGAAUCAAAAUUCAAAUCAAUGGAUGCAUACAUAUUAAUUAAUAAUUAUUAUAGUUUUUAUAAUUCAAAAUUUAAUAUAUAUAUAUAUAUAUAAUUAUUAUAGAUAGUUAAUAUUUUGGGGUAUAAUUAUUAUAGUAUAUAUAAUUAUUAUAAUUAUUAUAGUUAAUUUAAUAUAUAUAUAUAUAUUUAUUAUAGUUUUUAGGGGUAUAAAAUUGUUAAAUUAAUAUAUAUAAUUAUUAUAGAUAGUUAAUAUUUUGGGGUAUAAUUAUUAUAGUAUAUAUAAUUAUUAUAAUUAUUAUAGUUAAUUUAAUAUAUAUAUAUAUAUAGAUAUUUAUUAUAGUUUUUAGGGGUAUAAAAUUGUUAAAUUAAUAUAUAUAAUUAUUACAAUAUUUUUUUAGGGUUCUAAAAUUAUAAAAUUAAUAUUCUGCUUAUCGUGUAUCGUGUUACCCACGUGUAUACCCGAAUCAACCCGUUAUCUUAACAGGUGCUUAUCGGGUUACCCGAUAACGACCCGAAUCGUUAUCGUGUCGACCCGAACACUUGUUAAUUUCGUGUCGUGUCGGGUUAUCGGGUCGUGUCAGGAAUUGUCAGGCCUAAUUAAAUCUUGUAUUUACUCUUGUCAUAAAUGAAAUAUAUCUUUUUUUUUAAUAAACGAUAUUAUCUAUACUAAAAAUGGAUGAUUUUAGCCUCACAAUAAAAUAUAUCAUCUUUUUUAACAAAGAACUUUGAGCGAAAUAAAAUAAUAACAUAUAUAUAUUCCUUUAUUUGAUCUUGUAAUUCAUAUUACAAAUUCUUGACAUCAUCAAUGUGUCAAGAUGUCCACAUUAUUUAUUCUUCUCCUUUACUUGCUACGUAAAGAGAGAUACAUCAUCUAUAUGUAAAUCCCAUUUCAUUACAUGCUCAUGGGCAGAAUGUAAUGACGUAGUCAGGUCCGCCAUUGCAGGUGAAUGUGCUGUUUUUAUCAUCAUAAGCGUAGCUAUAAGCUUGAGGGCACUGCUGCUCAAAGAUCUGAGAGUACUCUGUGGGAGGACAUGUCCCCGGCUGAUCAUUCGGCGGCGUGCAGCAGUACUUCGGCUCACCGAAAGCCACGCA
This 148593-nucleotide long non-coding RNA is filed under the name Malus domestica (apple). Its description in RNAcentral is "long non-coding RNA (MDOM_LNC017770)". Lineage: Eukaryota; Viridiplantae; Streptophyta; Magnoliopsida; Rosales; Rosaceae. The record is from RNAcentral.